Molecule: long non-coding RNA, 157119 nt
Filed under: Citrus maxima (pomelo)
Lineage: Eukaryota; Viridiplantae; Streptophyta; Magnoliopsida; Sapindales; Rutaceae
Description: long non-coding RNA (CMAX_LNC003366)
Source: RNAcentral
AAUUAAGCCAGAUGUUGUUAUAUAUAACACCUUGUUUAUUGGCCUUUUUGAAAUACACCAGGUUGAGCGUGCUUUCAAGCUGUUUGAUGAGAUGCAAUGUGAUGGCGUGGCAGCUGAUACCUGGGCAUAUACAACCUUUAUUGACGGGCUCUGCAAGAAUGGUUAUUUUGUAGAGGCAGCUGAACUAUUUCGUACUUUGAGAGUACUCAAGUGUGAACUUGGUAUUGGAGCAUACAGCUGCCUCAUUGAUGGAUUGUGUAAAAUAGGCAAACUGGAAACUGCUUGGGAACUGUUUCAAAGUUUGCCUCGUGUAGGCCUAAUGGCAGAUGUUGUAACAUAUAACAUCAUGAUCCAUGGGCUUUGUAAUGAUGGGCAAAUGGACAAGGCACAUGAUUUAUUUCUUGAUAUGGAAGCAAAGGGUGUGGAACCCGAUUUUGUCAUAUUUAAUACGCUUAUGCUGGGUUUCAUCCGCUGUAAUGAGACAUCAAAAGUUAUUGAACUCCUUCACGGAAUGGAUAAGAGAAAUGUAAUGCCAGACGCAUCUAUACUUUCAAUUGUUGUGGACUUGCUUGUAAAGAAUGAAAUUGGUUUAAACUCGAUUCCACAAUUCAAGAGACAAAAGUAAGCAGACGGGUUGAAUCUUGAUUUAGUAGUGCGUCUCUUCUGCUUUAAAACCAGAUCUGGGGAAUCCCAUUCUUAUUACAACGUGUGAAGGAGUGUUGUGUAUUGUUGGCAUGUUCCCAGGUUCUGUUCAUGGAUUCUGUUUGCAGACAUGGCCGACUCUUUGUCUCAUCAGAUAAGUUUCAAAUAAUUCUGGCAACGUUUUGUUGUAAAAUUACUUUUUUAUCAUUUAAUUCAUAUGUUUUCCUUCUAUAAUGCCUCUUUCGCAUUUCCUGCAAGUGCAAAAUUUUUGAGCUCUUCCUCUUAGACCUCUUUUUCUUCUCUAAAUAGAUAAAAUGGCAUUUCAUUGUUCUCUUGCGAGGUUGCUGGUUUAUGCUGAAACUUUCAGUUAGUUAAAUUGAUUGUCUUUGAAAUUGGAACUUGUAGUUGAACUAGUUUGCAUUUCGAAUAUAUGAGAUUACCAAAUGUAACGGGAAUUGGUGCCGAAUUGAUUAUGUUAUCAGGUUUUUCAGUCUGUGUUCAUCUUUUAUUUCUGUUAAUAAUUAAUAGCACAGCUUGUCUUCUCUGCUUCUUUGGUUCCUGUCUAUUGUCAAAUAUAAACUUGUAAAGACAUUUUGUUUUGGCAUGGCACAUGCUAGAUUUUGUUUUUGGUUUGAAUGACACUACACAUCUAAGUAAUUGUCCAGAUUUUUUUCAUUCCUAGUGACAUGGCACUCAAUUGAAUGGUGACUCAUGUAUCAUGAUUGUGUGUGUUGGUAUUUGUUAUACUACGUGUUGGCAAGACAAAGUUAACCCUUUUUUUUUUUUUUUUUGGCUUUUGGAUUUUGUUUCAUUAUAUAUAUAUAUAUAUAUAUAUAUUGUAUACCGUUAUUAGCUUCGACAACUUGAGUUGCAGUCUUGUGAGUUUAGAACCUGCCAAAGUAAGCAUACACAUGACAAUGAAGAAUUGAAGAUUGUGAACGGUUAUUAGCUAUUGUUGCAAGUUUAGAACCUAUAAAUUGUAUACAGUUAUUAGCUAUUGUUGGAGCCUUAAGUGUGAACUUAUCAUCGUUGCCUACAGUUGCCUCAUUGAUGAAUUGCGUAAAAUAGGCAAACUGAAAAUUGCUUGGGAACUGUUUCAAAGUUUGCCCCGUACAGGCCUAAUGCCAAAUAUUGUAACAUAUAACAUCAGGAUUCAUGGGCUUUGUGACGAUGGGGCAAAUGGAUAAGACACAUGAUUUAUUUCUUGAUAGACCAUUCUCAGGGCACAAAGGGUGUGAUGCCCAAUUGUGCCAUAUUUACUAUGCUUAUGCGAAAGAAUGAGACAUCAAAAGUUUCUUCACUCAAUGGAUAAAAGAAAUGUAAUGCCAGAUGCAUCUAUAGUUUCAAUUGGUGUGCGCUUACUGGUUAAGAAUGAAAUUAGUUUAAACUUGAUGCCAGAAUUCAAGAGACAGUUCAUUAGAUGAGUUGAAUGUUGAUUUAGUAGCCUUGAAGUUUUGAAAAUGUUUCCUGAUGGAUAAAUUGAACUUGUAUGCACACGUGUGAACUAAAAGAAAAAUGAUAUACCAUUGUGGAAUCGAAAUUCUUUUGAAUGGAAAAAAGUUUGUCAGGAUCGCCUGAUUUCUAAUUGAUUUUAAGGGAAAUUAUCAUCGGUAUACCCUUAAAUGUCAUUGGUAUCAAACGUACUACAACACUUUUCGCUUAUAUCACUCGUAUACCCUAAGUUGACAAAAGAGUUCUGGCGUCCAACUUUCCGUUUACUACCGUUAAGAACUUAACAGAAUUUGAGCAAAAUGACUAUUUUACCCUUUAAACUCAAAAUGAGGUAAAAAAAUAAAUUUGCCUUGAAAAUUAAUGUAAAUUUUCAAUACACAAAUUUUUUUUAUUUUGUUUUUAACAAUACAUUUUUUUAUUAAAAAAAUAUGAAUUAUUAAUGGUACAGAUUAUUAACAAUUAUCCAUAAAAAAUAUUCAUCUUAUACCAUAAAAAAUUAUUAACAACAUCUUAUUUAUAAUUAUACAUAUUAUAUCAUAAAAAAUUCAAGUUGGAUCUUGGAGGAGUAGAUCUUCAAUAAUUUAGGUUAAAUUUUGGAGGAGUAGAUUCGGUUGUAAAGUAUGUUUUUUUUAAAGCAAUUAUUAACAAUUAUCUGAUAAAUGGGAUGACAUGUCAUUUUUAUCAAAAUAUAUCAUAUGACAUGUCGUUUUUUACUAUGUAAAUGGGAUGCCAUGUCGUUUUUUAAAAAAAGACUAGAUUACCCUUAUGAUGUCAGCGCUCACAAACGGCAGUUAACGGAUCGGUGGAUGGCAGAAGUGUUUUGUCAAUUUAGGGUAUACGAGUGAUACACUUGAAAAGUGUUGUAACACGUUUGAUACUGGUGUCAUUUAAGGGUAUAUAAUUGAUAAUUUCCCUUGAUUUUAAUAGAAAACGUGCUUUAAGCAUGAGGUAAUACUAUAAAGUUUUUUUAAGAAAGGUUAUAAAUUCCAGUAAUUGAGUCUAAAUUUGAUAUUAUAUUCAUAUGGUAUAAGGUAGAAUAUUAAUUUUAUCAGUUAUAAAAUUUACUAUCUAAUAGAUGAACAACACUUAACAGUCUCAUUACAUUACCAUCAGUUACUCCACUCUCUUUUCCUUCUCCUUCUUCUAAUGUAAUAACUUUAUACUUGCAGAUUGGUUCCUCUGUUUCCAUGAGGCACUAAUAAUAAAUCCACUGUGAUAACUCUUGAGUAUCUACCACUUCGUCUGUAAUUAAAACUCAACAACUCAGAUGAAAAACUUAAAACUAAAAGAGAUACCCAACUCGCAAGCGACUUUCGCAGCCCUAUGGGCUACUACCCUUUCAUUCUAGAUUCUUGCUUAGAGAGAGAGAACUUGUGAAGAAAACUUCUAUCAGUAGGAGAGCGCUUACAAAGUAGAUUAUUUUAUAUUUCUCUAGACUGACUUUUUUACUUUAUCAAAGACAAAAGCAGCAUAAACAAAGACAGAAGAUUAACAAAAGCAUCAAUUGCCAAAGAGUGAAGAGUAUUAUUAUAUUUUAAGAACAUAGGUUAUGACCAACUUAAAAGAAGCAGUUAGGGCUUGUUGGAUAUCGUUUUAAUAGCCUUAUUUUCAUUUUUGUUUUGGGAGUAUAAAUAUAAUACAUAUUCAGUGGGUUGAAUCUAAAAAAUAAAUUAUAAAACAAAGAAUUGAUAUUCACUUUUAUAGUUAUAAAAUUAAGAACCUGUUGAACAUGUUCUCAAACAAAUUACAAAUUAAAUUAAAAACAAAACCCCAAAACAAAAUCUAAAAACUUAUCUUCCUCUCCCAAAAUCUUAUCCCCUCCCUCUCGUUAUCUCAUCACAACGCUGCUUUCUUCAUGGUUGAUACUUCUCUUUUAACCACAACCCACUUGAACUGUGCACUCAUCUUUCUCUCCCCUUCCCUUUUAUCUAGGUCUACUUCACAGCUCUCUCCCUCUUGGUGGCUGUUACUUGUUCAUCAACUGCAAUCCAUCGUCGCAAGGUACGACAUUGGAAUAUUUGACCAAAAACAUGUCAGGACAGAGUGAUGUCUAUCAUGGUUUAUUGCUGCAAGUACAUUAUUUUCUUUGUACUAAAGUGAAUCUUUGAUGUAUUUAUUAAAUUUGGUGGAGCAAUCUUAGUUAAUUUUGAUGAUUUAUAUAUGCAUUUAAUUUCAUUUUUAAUAAUUCAUGUGCAGGAAAUAUGGAUUAUGGGCUUUGCUUGGACUGAUGGUUUGCGCAAUUUCAUUUGGAAUCAAUCAGCUUCAAGGAUAAACACUCAUCCUUUCUUGUGCAUGGGACUUGCUUUUCUUCCAUCCAACAUUUUGGUUCUUUUUUUCUAUGGUAGUAGUUUUAUGUUUUGUGUUGGUGGGAAACUUCAUGCUGCAAUUUUGUCAAACUCUGUUGACAUACCCUAAUCAGUAAUGACUUUGCUGCAUGGCGAAAGCAUAAGCUCAUAGUUGACAUUGUUGUCAUUAGAGCUUGUUUCUAUAAAAUAAGUGUAAUUUGAAAGUACAUUGUACACUAAUCAAUUUGAAUUAUCCCCAACAAGUUUUGAUCAUGCUUGAUGCAUGAUGUCUAUCAUUUAAUUUUUUUUAUAAUUAUUUUGUUUAACUUAUAUGUAUUGUAAUACAUAGCUUAAUUAUAGUGUUAAAACAAUGGCAAUGUAAUUUUUUUUUAUUAAUGCUAAUACUAAAACUUUAUCAUCAUGUAAUACUUUAUAAUUGUUUUGUUUAAAUUAUUUAUGGUAUGUCUGCGUAUUAAUUUAAUAAACAAUUAGUUUUUACUAAAAAAGUAUGACUUACAUUUUUAGCAAAAACUGUUCAUGAAAAUAGUACUACCGAAUACAUUUUCUCUAUUUUUAUCUUUUUUAAUUGUGUUUACCGAACACAUGUUACUGUUUUCAAUUUUAAAAUACAAGAUAUAGAAAAUGAUAUCAUAUGCUUAUUUAAUUCAAAAUGCAGCAACUGCCAAACACUAUAUUUAUUCUCAUUUUUGUUUUUAGAAAAUAUUAAUUCAGAAACAAUACUAAACAAGAACUUAGUUUUAGUACGAAUAAUGUUGUGUUAGUUAUAUAGGCUUACAUGCACCCUUAGAUUUAUUGAAAGUAUCAAACCAACCCCCUAGUUACCGUUGACUGAUAUCUAACCAGUUGACCGAUGUUGACUCUUAAAAGUAACUAUAACAUCUAUAUUGUAAUCUCACUUUAUUAACUAAUAAAUUUUAAAAAUAUAAAUAGAUCAAUAAUAACAAAAUAAUUAAAGUUGAAAUCCAAGAAAUUACCCAAAAAACCAUACCUAAACCAAACCUGAAAACCAAAAUGCAUAAAAUUUCAUUAAUUUAGGUUGUGACAAUGAGUAGUCCACAUUAUAUGAUGAAGGAACAACUUUUGUUAUUUUACCAAGUUAUUAAUGCUAUGUUUACUUACUGGAGCGGGCGUGAGAAGUGUAGAUUUCUCUCACUCUAGAGUUUACUUGCAUAUUCUAAGAGGUGUGGGAAUCCCACUUCUUUGAUCCCACCCAAUUUUAAAGUAUGGAGUGUGAUUCCCACUCCCAUGAGGGAAGGUCCACUCCCAUAACUUUCUUUUUUACCUUUCUUUUAUUAAAUUUACUACAAUCAUAUUUAGUAAAAUAAAACAAAUAACAUCAUAUUUAUUUAAUAAAUAUUAUUAUAUUAUUUUAUAAAAUUCUAUUUAUUAAAAAGAAUAAUAUUAAUCUUAUUUACAUAAAAUUAUUAUUAUAUUUAUUUAAAAAUAAUAGUAUUAUAUUUAUUUAAUAUUAAUAAUUAAUAAUAAUAAAUAGUUUAUUCUAAGAAAAUAUUAAUUUUGCACUAUAUUAUUAAUAAUUAUGUUUCAUUUGUGUUGCUCUUAUCAAUAAUUUUUAAUUUACAUAAUUAAAAUUAAAACUAAUAAAAAAUUAUGAUUUACAUAAUUAAUGAUAUUAAUAAUUAUUGUUAAUUUACAAAUAUAAUGAAAUAAAUAUUUUAUUUCAAAUAUAUUUUUUAUUAAUUUUGUAAUUAAAAGUUACAAUUCUUUAAAUAAAGGUAAAACCAUAAUUUGAAACCAUUUACUCCCCUUCUCAUUCUAGUGAGAGGAAACAACUUGCUUCCACUUCACACCAUCAAUCACAAGAUUCUCACUUCUCAAGAUUUCCACUAUAAUCUAAAAUGUAAACACUGUCUAUAACAUCAAAUAAAAUUCUUAAUUAAGUAAACCAUAAGGUGCUUGCGUAUAAAAAAAAUUAAUAAUAUUAAUUUUCAUAAGAAUUUAUGCUCGUAGUAUUACUUUACUUUUUAUUAACCAUUGCUUCAACUUAUGGUAGAUAUUAAGAGAACAAUAAUAAUAGAGCUAUAAAUGUUUGCGUACUAUCAAUCAACUUAACACUAUAAUUACCAACAAACCCUUAAUACCACAAAUAAUUAAAUUAUUGGGGUUUUAAAAUGACUCUCCAGACUUUGCAAGACUUCUUUAUAUGUAGGUGCCAUGGUUCCUAUAAGUAAUAUCAGCCACACUUUUUGUUAUUGUUAAACAAAAUUUAUAGGUACAAUUUGUGAAUUUGUACAAAAUGUGGUAUUAUACAUUUGAAGCAUGAACCGACAAGACAAUGUUGUGUUAAUAAUAAAGAAAUAAAAAAAAAUUGUAUAAAAUACAGAUGUUGUAGUGUAACUUGGAUUCUUUUUCUUUAUGAUUGCACCUAUCAUGUGAUUAUUAAAAAAACCAAAAAAAAAAGAACUCCUGAGAUUUUAAAAUUUUGUAAUUGUACUAUUUUUGGAUUAUCAGAAGACUUCCUCUCCUUAAAGAUGCCCUUAAUCCAUAAAUGGUCCAAAAAAUAAUUCAUGAAAUGAAUUUAUUAUUUUAGAUAAGUUUCAAGUACGCAUACCUUUUAUAGCUCCAUAUUGCAUAACUCCUCAUUUCAAUCAAUGGAUGCAUUUGUUUACUUUUUCUUUUUUGUAAAUUUUUGAAUGGUCGUAAUUCUAUAGAUAAUUAAUUAAGUGUUAUUGCUUUCAUUAUUUUGUAGAUGCAUAUGAUGGGUGGGGACGUUGGGGGACAUGGAUCUCAAUACACUAGAGGGCUAUAAUAUUUAUUCUUUAAGAGGAACCACAACCAACAACAAUGCUUUAAGUUCCAUUUCAUGUUACUUUUGUGCACUAGAUUGCAUAAACAACAUUUAUUAUCCAAGGUCAGCCUCUCAAAGACUUUGGUUACAAGACAAAGCAUGGGAUUGCGGCCAAAAUUUUCUUGCAGUGAAAGGCUUAGAAGCUGAUGACAGCUGCUGAAUUGUGGGCUCCAAUGGUUUUAAUAUUAUUCUCUUAAAAACAUAUGUGUUGAUUAGAGACGAGAAGAAGAGGAUGAUCUGAUUCAGCCAGUUGUAGAAGAAAGAGCACGCAGUGGAGUUCAGAUUUUGAAUUCUCUUGUUAAAUUGUUUUUAAUUUACUACAAGGUAGAAUACGUUGCAUUGUUAAAAAAUACUUUGAACAUCCUAUUUUUGUAUUACAAAUAUACCAAAAAUUAAAUUAAUUUUUUUCUUUAUUAGUAUAAACUAAAUUUUGCCUGAAUCCUCAUCCUUGUAAGUGGAAUUUUAUUGUGAAACUAAUAGUCCUUCCUAGUUGAACUAACUAUCACUUUGAACAUAUGUGUCAUCUCUAACAACAGCUUCCAAACCUACAGUUGCCUGCUUCUUAGCAUUAGAAGCAGUAUCCGCAUUGGCUUUCAACCAGCCAUAAUUAGGAGGAGGGCACCGUUGUUUCUGUUUGUCAAUUUCCUUCCUUGAACCAUAAGCCAUAAUUAGGAGGAGGGCAAACUUCCAAAUAACAUUCAAAAUGGUGUUGUGAAAAAUUUUCACCCUUUUGGUAAUAAAAAAAAACUUUAUUUCUAGUUCUCUAUUAACAAUCUUACCAUUAAGUUCUCUCUUGAGUAGAAACAUCAUAUAUAUUAAUUUAUUGUUAAUAUAAAAAAAAACUAAAUAUUUAUAACUUAAAAGAUAAGUGUUGAAUAGAGGUAGUCUCACAGAAAAAAAAAGUAUUUCAAAGCAGUAGUGAUAUCAGAAUUUUUUGUAAUGAUACGAUAGUAUCACACUAGAUUUUUUUCCGCAUUACAAAAAGUUUGUAUUCAAGAAUAAAUUAGCAAUAUCAGGAACAAAAAGCCUCCAGGACAUGUCAUAUUAAUUUUGUGAUAUAUUAGUUGGUGGAUCUUCUUUCCACAUUACAAAAAAUUAGAAAUGCAAUCUAAAUCGAUAUCAAUUACUAAUUUUAUAUUGAAUGGGUCCUACAUGAAAAUAAGGGGUAUUUUUAUAAUUUAAGAAAUUAUUAGCGAUUUACCCUAAGUUUACUUUGUGUCCAAAAAUACUAUGAAAACUUUAACUUGUUUAGUUUUUUUACCUUAAUUUAUAAUUUAUAUCAAUCGCUCACUAAAAAGAUAGAAUAACAUCAUAAAAUGACAAAAUAAAAACAAACACAAAUGACAAUACCAAUCAUUUUAUAAGGAUAAUCAAGUCAUUUCGGCACCAAAUUACAUAUUCAAUUAUUUUAAAUAUUAUAAAUUACUUUUAGAUUGAACCCCGGUCAUUUUAAUAAUCAUGGCCAUUUAACCUAUCUAAACAUGAUAUUUCGAGUAGACUUAUGUUUGUGUAGGAAGAUAAUGUAAAAAAAGUGGCACUUUUAUUCAACUGAAUAAAUUUCACAAUUUAAAUAAACAAAAGGAUAAAAUUUCAUAAUUAACUAUUAUUUGAACUAAUUGAUUCGGGAGCCAUGAUUUGUAGCGGUCCCAAAAGCAUAACAUUAUUGUGAGUAAUGUUAUUGUGAGAUAAAUUAUUAAUUCUCGUACUUGCAAAAUAAACGGCAGAAUGCGGUUUAGGGACGGAUUAUCGAGGCAUUUGUUAAUAUUCGGAAAUGAAAAGAAAAGGGCAAAUAAAAUUUUAACUUAUUAUUAUUAUUAUUUUUAAAGAUUGUAACUCAUAUGAUUAGACAAAUAAAGGAGCUAAAGGCCACUUGGCGGCUUCACUAGGAGCUGUUUGAGUUUAAUUCUAUUGGUAAAUGACAAUAGUGGUUAUUUUAUAAGGAUAAUUCAAUCCUUUUGGCACCAAAUUACAUAUUAAAUUAUUUUAAAUAUUAUAAAUUAUUUUUAUACUAAGUGAUGGAUCUAAUUAUUUUAAUACUCAUGACAAUUUAAUCUAUCUAAACAUGAAAUUUUGAGUAAAUUUAUGUUUGAGUAGGAGGAUAAUGUAAGAAAAAUUGACACUUUUAUUCAACCGAAGAAAUUUUACAAUUUAAAUUAGAAACGAUAAAAUUUAAUAAUUAUUGUGAGUAAUGCAUUCUACUUGUAAAUAGUCGGUAUUGGAAGGAAAAGGGCAUAUAUUUCUCUCCUAUUUUGGUAAUUCUCUUCUUCUUCAACCCCAAAUAAUCAAAAGCUCUCCAAUGGCUUUCGUAUCCACAACUCGUCCAUUUCAUUUUACUUCAAUUUCUGUAUCAGCUCUUAGAUGUAAUUUCUCAUCUUCGUUCCCUCAUACCGGGAAACCCACAUCUUCAAUUUUGGAAAAUGAACCCUCCUAUCCGAAUACAACAGCUAAACUGAAGGAGUCGCUACGACUGACGGUCAAAGACCGAGCCUCACUCGAAAAAUUCCUCAGAGAAAGGUUCAAAUCAUCCGGUGAAGGUGAUAUUACUACUAUUACUCCUAAUGAAGCCUUUUGUAUCUUUGAUUACAUGCUCAAUAUGCGCCCUUCUCCGCCUCCUGUCUCUUCCUUUAAUAUUUUGUUUGGUUGUCUUGCUAAGAAUAAACAUUAUGAUACUGUCCUUUCACUCUUCAAGAGACUCAAUUCAACUGGGUUGUUUCCAGAUCUUUAUACGUACAAUAUCUUGAUUAACUGCUUUUGCAAAAUGGGUCGAGUUUCUCCUGGUUUUGUUGUUCUUGGGAGAAUCCUCAGGUCUUGUUUUACUCCAGAUGCUGUGACCUUUAAUUCUUUGAUUAAAGGUUUGUGUGCGGAGAGUAGAAUCAUGGAGGCUGCCGCAUUGUUUACGAAACUCAAAGCGUUUGGUUGUGAGCCUAAUGUCAUUACGUACAGUACUUUAAUUAAUGGAUUGUGUCGAACUGGCCAUACAAUCGUUGCUUUAAAUUUAUUUGAAGAGAUGGCUAAUGGAAAUGGGGAAAUUGGUGUUGUUUGUGAGCCAAACACUGUUACAUACACUACUAUUAUAGAUGGUCUUUGUAAGGAAGGUUUUGUGGACAAGGCCAAGGAACUGUUUCUGAAGAUGAAGGAUGAGAAUAUUAACCCUAACGUGGUUACUUAUAACUCUUUGAUUCACGGUUUUUGUUACGCUAAUGAUUGGAACGAGGCGAAGUGUUUGCUUAUUGAGAUGAUGGACCAAGGGGUACAGCCUAAUGUUGUGACUUUCAAUGUCAUCAUGGAUGAGCUCUGCAAGAAUGGAAAGAUGGAUGAGGCAAGUCGGUUGUUGGACCUGAUGAUUCAAAUUGGUGUGCGUCCAAAUGCUUUUGUCUAUAACACAUUAAUGGACGGGUUUUGUUUGACAGGUAGAGUUAAUCGUGCGAAGGAACUAUUUGUUUCUAUGGAGAGUAACAGGUGCAUGCAUGAUGUUUUUAGUUACAGUAUUUUGAUAAAUGGUUACUGCAAGAAUAAGGAAAUAGAGGGAGCGCUAAGCCUUUAUAGCGAAAUGCUCUCCAAAGGAAUUAAGCCAGAUGUUGUUAUAUAUAACACCUUGUUUAUUGGCCUUUUUGAAAUACACCAGGUUGAGCGUGCUUUCAAGCUGUUUGAUGAGAUGCGGCGUGAUGGCGUGGCAGCUGAUACCUGGACAUAUAGAACCUUUAUCGAUGGGCUCUGCAAGAAUGGUUAUAUUGUAAAGGCAGUUGAACUAUUUCGUACUUUGAGAAUUCUCAAGUGUGAACUAGAUAUUCGAGCCUACAACUGCCUCAUUGAUGGAUUCUGUAAAUCUGGCAGACUCGAAAUUGCAUGGGAACUAUUUCGUAGUUUGCGUCGUGGAGUCCUAAUAGCAGAUGUUGUAACAUAUAACAUCAUGAUCCAUGCGCUUUGUGCUGAUGGGAAAAUGGACAAGGCACAUGAUUUGUUUCUUGAUAUGGAAGCAAAAGGUGUAGCACCCGAUUGUGUCACAUUUAACACGCUGAUGCUAAGUUGCAUCCGCAAUAAUGAGACAUCAAAAGUUGUUGAACUCCUUCACAGAAUGGAUGAGAGAAAUGUAAUACCAGAUGCAUCUACACUUUCAAUUGUUGUGGACUUACUUGUAAAGAAUGAAAUUAGCUUAAACUCGAUUCCACAAUUCAAGAGUCAAAGGUAAGUGAGUUUAAUAUUGAUUUAGUCGCAUGUUUUUUCUGCCUGAAAACCCCGAUCUGGAGGAUCCCAUUCUUAUUACAACAUGUAAAGGAGUGUUGUCUAAUGUUGGCAUGUUCCUAGGUUCUGUCCAUGGAUUCUGUUUGCAGACAUGGCUAACUUCUUGUCCAACAGAUAAGUUUUAAAGUCUUUCGACUUUAUGCUGUAAAAUAACUUUUUUUUUUUUUUUUUUUCAAUUCAUGAGUUUUCCUUCUGUAACACAUACUUCUCAUUAGCUUGAAGUGCAAAUUUCUUAGGCUUUUCCUGUAUGGCCUCUUUUUCUGCUCUAAAUAAAACGGCAUUUUAUUUCCCUGUGAGGGUAUAAGGUUUAUCUUUAAACUUUCUGUUAGUUAAAUUUGUUGUCUUUGAUAUAGGGAACUUCCAGUUGAGCUGAUUUGUAAUUCGAGUAAAUGAGAUUACCAACUGUAUUGGGAAUUGAUGCCAAAUUAAUUAUGUCAUCAGGUUUUUCAAUCAUUGUUCAUCAUUUAUUUCUGUUAACAAUUAAUAGCUGCCUCAUUGAUGGAUUGUGCAAAAUAAGCAAACUGAAAAUUGCUCGGGAACUGUUUCAAAGUUUGCCUCGUGCAGGCCUACUGCCAAAUGCUGUAACAUAUAACAUCACGAUUCAUGGGCUUUGUAACGAUGGGCAAAUGGAUGAGGUACAUGAUUUAUUCACGCUUCUGUCUAUAACACGUUAAUGGAUGGGUUUUGCUGGACGGGUAGAGUUAACCAUGGGGAGGAACUAUUUGUUUCUAUGGAGAGUAUGGGUUGCAAACAUAAUGUUUUUAGUUACAGUAUUUUGAUAAAUGGUUACUGCAAGGAUAAGGUUGGGUGUGCUUUAAAACUGUUUGAUGAGAUGCGGCGUAAUCAUGCGGCAGCUGAUACAUAUAUAUACGGUACCUUUAUUGAUAUGGAAGCAAAGGGUUUGGAACCCAAUUUUGUCAUAUUUAAUACGCUUAUGCUGGGUUUCAUCCGCAAUAAUGAGACAUCAAAAGUUAUUGAACUCCUUCACAGAAUGGAUAAGAGAAAUGUAAUGCCAGACGCAUCUAGACUUUCAAUUGUUGUGGACUUGCUUGUUAAGAAUGAAAUUAGUUUAAACUCGAUUCCACAAUUCAAGAGAAACAAGCGAAUGAGCUGAAUGCUGAUUUACUUGCAUGUUUUUUUUUGGCCUAAAAUCUGGAUCUGGAGAAUCCCAUUCUUAUUACAACAUGUGAAGUUGUGUUGCGUAGUGAUGGCGUGUCCCCAGGUUCUGUUCAUGGACUCUGUUUGCAGACAUGGAUGACUCUUUGUUUCAUCAGAUAAGUUUCAAAGCCUGGCAACUUUUUGUCGUAAAAUUACUUUUUAUUUUUCAGGUCAUGUGUUUUCCUUCCAUAAUGUUUCUUUUUCAUUUUCUGGAAGUGCAAAGUUUUUAUGCUCUUUCUGUAUGACCACUUUUUCUUCUCUAAAUAGAUAAAAUUGCAUUUCAGUUUUCCUUUGUGAGAAGGCUACUAGGUUUAUGUUGAAACUUUCUGUUAGUUAAAUUGAUUGUCUUUGAUAUCUAGAACUUCUAGUUCUACUGUAUUAAAAAAAUAAAAUAAAAAAGAACUUCGAGUAUAAUUAUGCAUCAGGUUUUUCAACGUGUUCAUCUUUUAUUUCUGUUAACAUUUUGGCUUUGGACAUGCUGGAUUGUUUUUGGUUUCAAUGAUACAAAACAUCUAACUAAUUGUCCAAAGUUCUUCAUUCCUUGUGACAUAGCAUUCAAUUGAAUGGUGACUCAUGAAUCAUGAUUGUGUGUUUUGGUAUUUGUAUACUAUGUAUUGGCAAGACAAAGUUUGUUGAAACUUGAGAAACUUUUCUCCGCCUACCAUUCUUGAUUCAUAUUCUUAUGCUAACAAAUCUUGAUCAUGAUGAGUCUCCUCUUUUCUUUACAACCCACAAAUAAAGUCCUGGCCAUAAGCCUCAAGGCCUAUUGGCUAUUGCAGCGGUGAGUUCACUCUCAGGAAUCAGAUCUUUCAAAUUCGAGGAAAUUUGAAAAAAUUGCAAAUGUCUACAAAGCAAAUGUGAUCUAAAGGUCCUUUUUGUUAUCACUCACACAACAUUACUCAAGAGUAUCUAUGUUUUACAGUUGGUUCUGUUGUGAAAUAGCAUUUCUGAUUAUUAUAGAAGACAAUUCUUCGACGCAUGUAUUUGAGAUGCGUAUAGAGCGUUGGAAUUAUAUGCUAAAGUAAGCGUGCAAAUGACAAUGAAGAAUUGAAGAAGGGGAAGGGUUUACUUGUCAUUUUGUUUUGGAAAGCAAUGCGUUUUAUGCGGCGAUUUUUUUUUUCUCUACGUUGUGAAAAAAUUUAACUGAUUUUGAAGAUCCUUAAAGAUCGUCCAUCUUGGUUCUGGCUUUGUUGCAGCCUUGAAGUUUGCAAAACGAUUCCUGCUGGAUAAAUUGAACUUGUAUACACACAUGUGAACCAAAAGAAAAAUGAUACAUGCACCGAAAUACUUGUUAAAUAGAGAAAAGUUUGUCUGGAUAGCCUGGUUUUGAAUUGAUUUUAAUAGAAAACGAGCUUCAAGCAUGUGCUCCAACUACUCUGGCAUGAGGUAAUACUAUAAUUUUUUUUUUUCUUUAAUGAGUGAGGCUAUAAAUCCUGAAUUCCAACUUGACAUGGCAUUAAUCUGGUGAGUGGCAGAAUAUUAAUCAAACAGAGGGGCUAAUAUGCUUUCUGGAAUAUGAUCCGCUGGCAACCGGAAAGCCAAGGAAUUAAUUAUUCCAUUAUUAAUUCCAAUGGCAUCGUUGUAUCAGCUAAAAAGCACAAGAUAAAACAGAUCUACGCACUUGCCCCAUUUAUUUAAGCAUACUGUUGGUUUAGCAUUUGCUUAAAUUUGAAAGUAGAGUGUUUCCAUGCCACAUUGCCAUGACAUUGGUGAUUGGCCUACAUUUUUUUUUUUUUUUUGUGUAAUCUUUUUUGGUUGCAGUAAUAAAAUGUUAAUCCUUUCUUCUCAUGAAUGUUUUCUUGAACUGAAAUGUUAAUAAUUUCUUCAUGUUGAGGCAUUAAACUACUACAGACCUAGGGUGGCAAUAUAUGGAAGUAAAUGGUCGUUUAGUAGGACCCUUUAAUUAGGGUAUUAGCUGCUCAAUUUGGAGAUCUCAUGGACCAACAAUUUAUCUGGAAUGUCACAUUCACAUAUUUGAUUGAAAAAGGAAUUAAGGAAUUUCAGGUGGCCCGGAAACGCAACCGACUAUACCCGGCAAUGGCAGAAGACAUUAUAGAUUAUAGAUUAUUGAGUUAAAUAUGAAUGGUGGGAUUUCAGGUGGCCUAAAAAGUUAAACAUGAAUGUUCUAUUUAAGGUGCUCUGUAACUCGUAGUUCAACAAAAAGUUUUAAAACUAGAUAUUAAAAUGGUGGGAUUUUGUCUUUUAUCUCUUGUUUCUCUUCCCUUAAUCGUUUCUUGGCAUGUUUUAUCAACUCUUCCCUUGGGUCAUUUUGUAGGACGGGUUACACCAGCUAAACACAUGGGAAGGUUAUGUAGACUGGACUCUGGAGGAAUAAACCUGCCCUGAGAGGCCGUCAUGGGGGCAUGCUUUGCUGCUUGUUUUGUCUUGGGUCUGUCUAUUUUUCCUAUUACUAAAGCACAUUUUCCACCGUUUUCUCACAUGCUUACCAUCAUGUAAAAACCUUAGCUGCUGCGUACGAUUAAACGUUUACACUUUAUAGUAAAAGAAAUUACAUAUUAAGAGAAAUAUUAUAUUUGCAUGUUGAUAUGAAUUAGCACUAGAAACAUGAGGCUUGCUAAUUAGAAUUGUUAUAUUGUCGAACUCAGCUGUGGAGGUACUGGAGAAUCCAGUAUAUCUGGCCAAUGCAAGCAACCUUGUGCUGUAUCUUUCAAAAUUUAUGCAUUUUUCAUCAUCCAGCUCUGCAAACAUAGUUACCAAUUUCAUGGGUUCCUCUUUGCUCUACUUGGCUUUUUAGCGGUUGCUUUCUUCAACACCUACAGCAUCUAUGUCAUAAGUGCGGCAAUAGAAUUCACGGUAAGUUUUUUGUUAGGAUCAAACUUUUUAACUUGUUAUAUUUUUGUAAUUUCUUACUAAUAAGGGAGAGUUGCCUAUUUUUAUCCGAUUAUCAUGCCUCAUACAAUUUUCUUGGGAUUUGCUUCGAUGCCUCUGUGACUCACUAUGAAACUCAAAAACUUUCUAAAACUAGCUCCAAAUACACAUUUCUUUGGAUUAAACUUCAUCUGGUACUUCCUCAGCAAACCAAAGGUUUCUUUCAAAUGCUGCACGUGGUCACUCGAGUUGUGAGAUUUUGUGAUAAUGCCAUCCUUAUAUGCCUCCAUUAUGUUCCCAAUCAGCAGCUUGAAGAUCUUAUUCACGAAUCUCUAGUAUGUUGCUCAUACAUUUUUCAAGCUAAAGAACACGACAUUAUAACAAUACAGCCCUUGGUUAGUAACAAAAGAAGUAUGCUCCUCAUCCUGAUCGAACAUCGGUACAUGGUUGUAAUCCAAAAAGGCAUCUAUAAAUGGUGGUAAUGGUUUUACUGGAUGGUCUAGUGGUUCUAAUCAUACUGGUUUUGGUUCUCAAAAUAGAGGGCUACUGUCAACUCCAGGACGUGGGAAUUUUUCCUCUUCGCCAAAUUUCAAUCCUGGUAAUGGUCCUAUCAACAAACCCCCAAUGGGUCUUUUUCCUUUUGGUAAUCGGAUUCAAUGCCAAAUCUGUCAGAAAAUGGGUCACUCAGCUAUUGAUUGCUACAAUCACAUGAAUCAUGCAUAUGAGGGUCGUAUCCCUCCCCAUCGGCUUUCUGCAAUGAUUUCUACAUCAACAUCUUUUGGUUCCCCAAAUUGGUUAACAGAUACUGGUGCUAAUGCUCAUAUAACUCCAGAUAAUGGGAAUUUAAUGCAUCCUCGUGAUUACAAUGGUCAGGAUACCAUCGGUGGUGUCGUCGGUGGUUCAGGUUUGCCUAUUAAAUCCAUUGGUCAUUCUUACUUAUCUGCUAAUUCUUCCACUUUUCUUUUAAAUGAUGUUCAUCAUUGUCCACAAGCUUCCCAUAGUAUUUUAUCCGUUCAUAAAUUUGCUAAUGACAAUCAUUGUAGUUUCACCUUCUUUCUUGAUUAUUUUGUUGUAUAGGAUCUGACAACGAAGAAGACAUUUUUCCGCGGACUGAGCAGUAAUGGUCUUUAUCUAUUUCCUGGUCGAAUUUUUCAACCUAGUCAUCCAUUUGCUUAUGUUGGUGUUUGUAGUGAUGCUCGAAUUUGGCAUUCACGGCUUGGACAUCCUUUGUCCGUAGUUUUAAAUCAACUUAUAUAUUUUAAUAAGCUACUCAUUUUAGGAUCUCGAUCUUUAUUUUUUUGUUCGUCAUGUCCUUUAGGAAAGAGUCAGAAAUUACCUUUUACAUGUUCUUUUUCAGUCUCUCAUUCUCCUUUGGAAUUAAUACAUUCUGAUGUUUGGACUUCUCCUAUUCGUUCUAUUUCUAGUUAUAAAUAUUAUGUUAUCUUUAUUGAUAAUUUUUCCAGAUAUGUAUGGCUUUAUCCUAUGCGAUUGAAAUAUGAUGUUUUUAUAAUUUUUAAAACUUUUAAAUCGUUGGUCAAAAAUAUGUUUUCCACUACUAUUAAGUCACUUCAAACUGAUGGUGGUGGUGAAUAUGUUAAUCAUCAGUUUAAGGAUUAUCUAAAUACUCAUGGCAUUAAUCAUCGUCUCACAUGUCCUCAUCAUCCUGAACAAAAUGGUAUUGCUGAACGUAAACAUAGACAAAUUGUUAACAUGGGCUUAACUUUACUUGCACAUGCCUCCAUGCCUACUACUUAUUGGACUAAAGCUUUUUAUACAUCUGUAUAUUUAAUCAAUCGUCUACCAUCUCAAUCUUUAAAAUUUCGAGUACCGUACUCUUUACUAUUUUCUAAAACUCCUCAAUAUGAUUUUUUAAAGAUCUUUGGAUGUGCAUGUGUUUUCUUGGGAUACUCAUUCAAUCAACAUGGAUAUCGUUGUUUGCAUAUUUCCUUCAGGCACUGUAUUUAUAUCUCGUCAUGUUCUUUUUAAUGAAAAUUUAUUCCGUUCGUUGACCAUGUUACUACUAGGCCUCCGGGGGUGAGUACUUCAAUGUCAGAUUCUACAGGACUUAAUAUUCUUUGGAUUAAUGCUAAUACUUCACAUUCAGCUCUAACAGAACCUACAUCACAAUCUCCUUCCCAAGCCAAGUCACCAUCUUCAUUUAAUUCACCUUUACCCCAUUCCUUAUCAUCUCCAAUUAAUUCUCCAUCAUUACGUUCAAGUGCCUCUUUAUCUUCCUCCACUCCACUCAUCUCAAAUACAAAUUCUCUUAGCCUUAAUUCGACCCCCACUAAUUCAAGUAAUAAUACAAUUCCAGAAUCAUUAUCUUCACCUACACUAACACCAUCGAUGCCCUGUGAUAAUAUUAUCUUCUCAUCCAAUGGUCACUCGAGCAAGAGCCGGUAUUGUGAAACCAAACCCAAAAUAUGCAAAUGUAGUUACUAAUGAUGCUGUUGAGCCUAAUGGUUUUGUACAGGCAAAUAAGGAAUCUCGUUGGCGACAGGCAAUGGGUGAUGAAUUUAAUGCUCUUCAAAGAGCUGGUGCUUGGGUAUUAGUUCCUCUACAUCCAUCUUACAAUGUCCUUCUAAAUAAAUGGGUGUAUCGAAUUAAGCGAAAAGCUGAUGGAAGUAUUGAGCGUUAUAAAGCUCGUUUAGUUGCUAAUGGUUUUCAUCAACAACCUGGCCUUGAUUUUGGUGAGACGGUCAGUCCAGUGGUUAAUCACAAUAUCAUUCGUCUCAUUUUAGCUAUAUCUGUUACCAAUAGCUAGUCUAUUCGACAGUUAGAUGUGCAAAAUGCUUUCCUGCAUGGUUAUUUACAGGAGGAUGUCUAUAUGCGCCAACCUAUUGGUUUUGUUGAUCCACAAUAUCCAACUUUUGUGUGCAAGCUUCGCCGAUCUCUCUACAGCCUUAAACAAGCUCCUAGGGCAUGAUUUCAAUGUUUCUCUAGUCAUUUAGAACAAUUGGGCUUUCAUGAAUCACUAGCAGACUAUUCUCUAUUUAUUUAUUCACAUGAUUCAGUGCUUUUAUAUUUACUUAUCUAUGUUGAUGAUAUUUUAAUUACGGGAAAUAGUUCAUAUCAUAUUUCUCAAAUGAUACAUCAUAUGAGCAAAUUAUUCUCUAUGAAAGAUCUUGGUCCUGUACAUUAUUUUCUAGGUAUUGAAGCUACUCAAAUAGCAAUGGGGCUCCACUUGUGUCAAACCAAGUAUAUUCUAGAUCUUUUACAUAGCACUGAGUUCCUUCAUUCAAAGCCUAUGACAACACCAACAAUGAGUGGUCGUCGUCUCAGUCUGUUUGAUAGUGAUUUACUUUCAAAUCCCACCGAAUAUCGUAGUGUUGUUGAUGCUUUGCAAUAUCUUAUAAUCACUCGUCCGGAUAUUUCAUUUGCUGUUAAUCAGGUUUGUCAAUACAUGCAUCGUCCUACAACAACUCAUUGGUGUGCAGUUAAACGCAUCUUGCGGUAUUUGAAAAGUACAACCACUUAUGGUCUGCUUUAUUCAUCUGGUUCAAUGGAACUACAAGCCUUUUCUGAUGCCGACUAUGCUGGUGAUCCUGAUGAUCGAGUAUCCACAGGGGGUUCUUACAUAUUUAUUGGACCUAAUCUCAUUUCCUGGAGUUCUAAGAAGCAAAAAAGGGUUUCUCGUUCCAGUAUUGAGGUUGAGUACAUACAGCUUGCAUAUACAACUGCUACUUUAUCUUGGUUUCGAUCUUUGUUCAAAGACUUACAUAUUCCUCUGUCUUGUCCUCGCAUGUGGUGUGAUAACAUAAGUGCCAUUUCCUUGGCCUGCAAUCCUGUGUUUCAUGCCCAGACUCGUCAUGUAGAGGUUGACUAUCACUAUGUUUGAGAAAAGGUUAUUCGUGGAGAGCUUGAUGUUCGUUAUAUCUCUACUCUCGAUCAACUUGCCGAUUGUCUUACUAAAGGCCUGUCUACUUCUCGCUUUCGCUAUCUAAUUUCCAAGCUUCCAAUUCGUUCUUGUCCUGUCAGCUUGCGGGGGUGUGAUAACGAUAAAGAUAAAACUUAAAAUAUUCUUAUCGUUAGUCUUGUAAUUAUCUUUGUAGUUAUCGUUUGUCUUGUAAUUAUCCUUGUAGUUAUCUUGUAAGCUAAUGUUUAUCAUAUGUAUUCUUAGCUUGUACAUAAGUUUGUUUGAAGUCACUUGGAAUUUAAAAAAUCCUAUGCUUCAAUAUAUUAUUAAUCAAAUCCCCUUAUAUCUUGGUAAAAUCUUUUUUACUCUUUCAUUCGCAAGGAGCUGGAUGAUGGCUGGAAAUAAGGAAAUUCAUUUUUUUUGUUUCACCCCAAUUGUUCUUGUAUUUGCAUAUUGCCAUAUAUCAUAAAAUACAAAUUUAUGUAUGUCAAAAUGAAAUCGAUCUUAAAAAAAAAAAAGAUCUCGCGUUACUGCCGCUCACACACCCCCAUGCCGCAGCUGCUAUUAAUUCUGUUUGGCGCACCAGCAUUACAGCUUCUAGCUUUUCUUUAUUCCUUAAGUUGAUAUUGUUCCUCUUUAUAGGCUUCAAGUUAAUGUCGUCUUCAGUCAUUCUAGAGUCGCUUACUUUUGAUCUGGCUAUUGUUGUUUCUACCUCCUUCUUCAUUAAUUGCCGUCAGCCGCAUAAGGGAAGGAUGUAAGUUUAUGUUUACGAUUCCUAAUGGUGAUGAAUAAGACAUGGCGUAAGAGAUAUGUUAACUGAAUUUAGUGUGUUUUCUAGGAUCAUAUGCAAUACAUAUGUAUUUCUUGUAUAAUUGUUGUUUGUAUAUUGUAUUUCAAUCGGGCAUGGCUAUCUUUGUCUUACUCUUGUACAUUUCUAUUACUUUAGAUAAUUAUUAAGGUGUAGAUGGCUUUCACGGAUAAAUAAUAAGCCAUUUUAGGAGCUUUUCGUGUAAAAAUAUAGAACUUAUACUGUUGAAAUGUCGAGUAUACUUAGUAGUUGAUAUUUGUUUAUAUUUUUACAUUAAUCUGGGAUGGGAUUUGAACUUUAUAACCGAAAUUGAAUCUAAACCAAAAUUAAGAUAAGAAUAUUCAAACUAAAUCGAUCCAAAAUGCAAACCUAAACCAAAUUGCGCUAAAUUAAAUUUGAUUUAGUUUGGUUUGGGUUUACUCUCUAAACCUGAUUGGAUUGACUUCUCUAACCCAAUUAAGUUUGAGCCCAAAUUGAAACCUAAACAACCUGAAUCGAAGCCCGAUUUGCCCACCCUUAUGAUACGAACCCAUCCAAAAAAUAACGCAACCCUAAUCAAUUUAAUCUCCAAGAUUAAAUAGAAGCGCUACCCAAUGCUCAAUGAAAGCAUGAACCUUAGUAUGUGAGGACGCUACAAUCAGUUAUGGAUGAUUUGAUUAUAAGUUAAGAGUUUGAAUGACACAAAAAUUUGAUAAAUUUAAAGAGUUUGUUUAAGAAUAAAAAAGAAUUAAUUCUCUCACCAAUUGCAUCAAAAUUUAUUUGUCUUUGUUUAUUAGAUGCGAGUACAUUAUAUAGAAUUGGUUACAAAAAUUUUUAGAAAUAAAUCCUAAACCGAAAUCAAAUUGGAAUCCUAAUCUAAUGCAAAUAAGAAAAGAAUUUUAAUUAAAUCAGAAUCCUAAUCAAAGCAAGUAGGAAAGAAUCUAAAUCGAGUCAAAAUUAUAAUCUAAGUAAAUAGGAACGAAUUUAAAUUACACCAAUUAAAAUAAAAACUCAACAAUUAAAAUAGAAAUAACUUAUUGUUUCUCUACCAGCCUCAUCCAGAAAUGAGAAAGUAUUCAAAAAGAAAAGUAGUAUAUUUUUCAAAUGGAAAAGUAUUUGAAAAAGAAAAAUAAGAUAUUUUCCCGCCGUAAUGUGCAAGCCAACUUCUUAUUUUAUGGAAGUGAUUAUUUGGAAACUUUAAGAGCCGUAAUCAUGCAUUUAUCACGUGCAAUUCCUUUAAUAGGCCUCCAUAAAUUUGAUUGAGCCUCAAUUACUUGAAUAAACACAUUAAACGCUUCUUUAAAUUUGUUUGUUCGAGCUUUAGUGACAGGUCCGAUGAUAACUUGAAUAGGAUCUGAAUAUAUCUAAUCCCACAUACUUAUGAUAGUUUUGUCCUCAAUCUCAUCAUUUUACUUCCAUAAUCUCGACCCAAUCUUUAAAUUUUUUUCAUGCUAGCUUGACUUUACUAUGACUGCCUUGAGAUUUUCAACUGGUUUUUAUCUCCCUUUCUUGAAAUCUGUUUAAGUGUCAAGUUAUCUACGUGGCUUCUUUAGUCGCGGACACAUAAUAGCACCUAACAAUUCUCUAGUCACCCUGUACAACUUUCGCCACACUAUUUACUCAUUCUUUGAGUGCCAUGUAAUGGUUAGACAUCAUGGACUUGCUAAUCCUCAUAAAGGGUCUUCCAAAAAUUAUUUGAUAUGGGCUGUCUUCCUCGACUAUUAUAAAAAAUCUGGCAUGAUGGUCUUUUCAAAUGGUCUGGAGCCGAUUGUUACUAGCAGCUCUAGGCAUUAAUUUUCUUCUUCUAUGUCCUUUCAAAGAACUGUUGGUGUGCUUGUUGGGUAAAAAUUCAAAUGCUAUGGGUGUCAAUGUGUAAGUGUACACAACAAGUAAUAUAAUGAUAAGUAUUCAAGAUUAUCUCCACAGGAGUUGAUGUUACGGAAAUUACUACAGCAACUUUAACAAUUCUGUUUGAAGUGAAAGUAGAUUGAUUAAUUAAACUAAUAAACCACCUAAUAAAAUGCAAUAAGUAAAUAUGCAGAAAAGCAAACUCUCAUGUCAAACACAAAAAUAAAAUCAAUAGGAAUGAAGUAGUUGAGUGACUAAACUCUCUUAAUGGAAUUGACUAUUUCUUGCAAAUUUCGAUCCAGUUGCUACAGCACUGGGCAGAAUCCUCAUGCAUCAUCAGCUGUCGCAUGUUAGAUGUCUUAUAUCUAUAUGCAACCUAACAAUGACCAAUUGUUAUGCCAACAUAAUAUAUAACAUUACACAUUUAGGUUCUAUUACCCUAUAAGGUGAAUCUCUAUAUCUUGUUCAUCACUAACAUAAUAUAUGACCCUUUUUGGAAUCAAGUUGAACUCAAUUUAGGAACUCAAUCUAAAACUAAAUAUUAUUCUGAUAUGUUCCACUAAGAUAGGUCAUUUUGUGGCUCUUUCCUAGCUUGUAUCAUUAAGUGGGUGGUCAGCCAAAAUAAUGACUUUAAAUAAACACUAUCACAACAAAAUGUUAUAGCAAACAUGCAGCCAGGGACAUAGCCAGGAUUUUGAUCGAGUUGGGGCACAUUUAAAAUAAAAAAUGACUCGAAUGCGCGAUUGCUCGUGUGGUAAAUGUGGGCCCCACAAACUCUAAAUGGGAGCUUGCCACAUGUACAAUCGUGCUCCUUAUAGAGUGUCUCUGCAUGCAUCUAAUUAAAACGCUAUUAAAAUAUAAUACACUUCUAAAAAUUUAAAUGGCAAUAUAUAACAUUACAACUAUAAUAUUCAUUGAUAAUAAAUUUACUUAGUAUAAUUAUUCUCAGUGAAAACUCCUCAAUGAGAUUUUAUGAGUUGAAAAUAAUGCAUUAUCAAUAUAAGUAAAAAUAUAUUUUUCAAUCUACAAGACUAGGUUAUAACUUAAUUUGCUCUUAAAAUCUUUUAAUAAUAACAAAAAAUAUUUAUAUAUUGCAACACACAAAACAAAAUGAAUGCUAGAUAAAAUUCUAGAUUUUAAAACUAGACAAAAGAUUAUCAGAAAAUUAAAAAUUAGAAUUGGGUAGACUUACAACUUAUGGUUCAAUGUCGAAAGACCAACUAUUUAAUUUGGCUUGAAUAGAAAACAAAAAGAUUAAAGACUGGUCCAUUAACCAUUUUACUAACAUUUUGUUGUGAUUUUUUUUCAUUUUAAUAUUUGUUCUUGUGUCUUUAAUUGAGUUUCAUGAAAUGUUAAUAACUAAUUAAAUUAUUUAUAAUUAGAAAUUUAAACUAGGGACAAUAUGAAAUAUUUCAAAAUUACUAGAGUCAAUUUCAAAUUUUACAAUUCAGUUGGGGUAUUUUUCAUAAAUAACAAAUAAAAUACAAAUUUUUAGUAUAAUUUUUUUAAAAAAAAUUUAAAAGGCAGCAGGGGCAUGUGCCUCAGCUCGUCCCAUGCUGGCUCCGUCUCUGCAUGCAGCAACAUAUAAAUUCAGUUAAAGAGCCAUUAAAGUUGUUUAUCACUCAACCACAAGGAAUAUUAGUUCAUGAUUUUCAAAAGGAAACUAAACAACAAAGUUUCAGCCGGCAAAUACAUUCUCAUGUCAAAAAAUUAAACAAUAAAUCAAAAUAAGAAUAAGAAAGACUGAAUUCCAAUUGAUUCCAGCAAACUUCUCCACUGAUGCAGUCUUGAUUCUUGCUCCUGAAAUCUAUUUUUCCUUGUUUCUUUUCUAUUUAUGAUCUUGGUUGACGGCCUCCUUUUUUUCUUUUGUACAUGUGCCUAUGUUAUAGUACAAAAUUAGGGUAAAUGGAAGUUUAGAGCGCGCAUCUUCCCGAUUAGGAAAUUGUAGAUUGCAAUCCGUUAAGUAUCUUGCGCGAAAUCUUCUCCGUCAUUGUUCCCAGAUUGUUACAUCACGGUUUGCUACAACAAUAGCUACAGUAUAUGCACUGUUCCAAAUUUACUCCAAUUCUUCUAUAGCCGUAUUCUUUUGUCCUUUUUGCAAACCCAUUGCUACAACAUCCUUCCCAUGAAAAUUUAACUUUGGGUUACCUACAAUUAUACAUGUGUUUUAAGGACAUAAUUAUUAGAAAUCAAGCAAAUUUUAUUAAACUUAAACUAAAAUGAAUGUUAAUGUAAACUAUCAUUAAAUGCACUAAAACACAUCAAUUACCCUCUAAGUAAUCUUGAUUUAAGUUUAAAAGUAUCAUGAUAAUCUUAUUUCAUAGAGUUAUCAAUGCUCUAACUUCAAGUCGCGCGAAUCUAUAAGGAUUCUUAUGAAUUCUUUGCUCGUUACAUUAGCUUUUAACACCAAAACAUCUUCAUGCAAGUAUAGUAUCCCUUCCUCAUCGUAUUAUGUCCAAAUGAUUGGAACUUGCUUGGUUCUUGCUCAUUUUUUCAAUAAAGCAUUGAAGAGAAUAUCAUGACUUGUUAUUGCAUACCUUUUGUAGUACUUCUAGGCUUUGUUAGAGUUAUUUACAAGAGUUGGCCCUCUUACAAUAACUCUAUCUACUGGCUCUUCAAAAAUCAUAUCACCAGUAUUCUUUUUUGCUGUAUGCACUGUUGAUCUGUCAUUGGAUAAGAACUGUCAAUAUACUUAUUCAAAUAAUAAUUUCUUACCAGAACUUCUACUUAUUUUUUUAAGUCGUGACACUGUGGUUUGGUGUGGCCAUGGGUGUUAUUCAUCGCAUUAUCCUAUCUCUUAGAAAAUUUUGGCAAGUAAGGACUAGUGAAGGUAGGUUUGGGUUUUGGUUUAGUUGACCUUAUAUUUUGAGUUGGGUUAACUUGGAUCGUUAUAGUGAGGAUGGCUAUCAACUAGUUAUAUCAUUUCAAGUAGCUCUAUUUAGAGAGGGGUGGGGUUAAUUUCUUUUUACAUAGUAUGGGGAGAUAAGAGUGGCCAAAAUCGAAUUUAGAUUGGAUUCGGAUCAAUUUGAUCAUAUAUUAAAUUUUUCGGAUUGAUUAAAAAAACUCAUCUGAAUGUACUGGAACUUCAAUCUAAUAUGAAUAUAUUUGGAUCAGAUGAAUAAUUUGGCUUAAGUUAGAUUUGGAUCGGUUUGGUAAAUCUCAAAUUUAAUUUUAAUUUACAGGUCACUAAACUCAAUGGAUAAGACAUAAUUUGUAUAUCUCUGUAAUAAACAUUCAAUUUUGAUAUUCAACUACAUAGAUAGAAGAAAAAUAAGUCAUUUACAUUACAAUUGUGGUGCAUAUCACUGAAAAUUAUCAUAAUAAUUCAUAUUUUUCCAAACAAAAUUAAAAGAAACCAUAAUUUAAACAACAUAAUAAGCAAAUAGAAUUUCUAAAGAAAAGGAAAAAGAGUAUAUGUAAGCUAGAAAAAGAGAAAUCAUGUAUUAGAGAAGAAAAGAGCAUUGUUGCACAAAAACAACUAAUACCAAAACUAAUAAAAAAAAUCUCAUAUUCAUUUUCCAAUUUUCUCAUAAGCUUACGCAAUUCUUCCUCUUCUACUCUUCAAAAUCAUUUGCCAAUUUUCUCAAUUUUCUCAUAAGGUGAUCUCUGGACUUGUGAUGAGAAAAUUACUUGAGUAACUUACGGCUGCUUAGGUUUGGGAUUUUGGGGAAAACAAGUUAGGUUUACACAUUACAAACUUCACUAGUCAAAUUGUCGAAUUACAUCCGAAUUAGAUUUGAUCCGAUUAUAAUCUCAUCGGAUUGGGUUGUUUCUAUUUAAUCAAAUUACAACAAUAGUCCAUAUUCAAUUUGAAUAUAUUUGGAUUGAAUCAAAUCCAAUCCUAUGCUGACCCUUAUGGGAAUAAGUAGCCGUCCUUAUUAUGACCGCUCUACUCACUGAUGGUUUGUCAUGAUGCCUAACUAGUCCACUUAUUUUUUAGCUCUCCUUUCAUUUCGUUUUAACUCCUCAAGUUACUCGUCUCUAACUCUUGCUGCUUUUUCCUCCUCGAUUUCAAUAUCCACCUUCACCUAGUCAUAAGCAGCCGAAUAAGAGUUUAUUAUUGGGUUCCUUAAGUUAUACCAUAAUUGCCCUAUCUUUACUCCCUCUUUUAAUCCCUUCAAGGCCUGAAGAUGAUUGAAAGCUCCAUGGUCAAGGAUUGUUUGGUGAUAUAUCUUGAAAAAUCUCUUAGAGUUUGAUUUUCUUCUUACUCGAGCCUCAUUGGCUCUAUCAUGUCAUCCUUUGGUGUUAUUGCUCCUAAAAAAUGUUCAGCAAAGUCUCCAUGCAAUUGAUCAGAAGUUCUGAUGCUUCCCUAUGGCAAUUUGCGAUACUAAUCAUGUGCAUGCUAUUCUAAUGUCAAUGGAAACACUCCACACCACUGUAGUGGUGUCAAACCAUGUACUCUAGUCAUCUCAUUAAAUUGUUCUAUAUGCAUAAAAGGUCACUCUUUCUGGAAUAUUUUAGGUUCAAAACUAAUCCCUUGAUAUUGUUGUGCUCAUGAUUUUUGCUGAGAGUAAGAUUCAUUAUCCAUAAUUAUUCUCCGGCUCAGUGCUCUUUCAAUCCUAUACUUCUUCAUAAUUCGUGCUAAUCUAUGCACCUUAUCUUCUAAUUUCCCAACGCGACUUGGGUUCUACACCCUUAUCUACUUGUAGUCAGCGUUCUGUUUAUUCCAUAGAUUUUCACCGAAGUAAGUUUGGUUGCUCUCCAAAAAAAAAAAAAAAGAAAUCACCUAAUACUUUCGGGGCAAGGCAAGCUUCCAAAUAACAUUGCAAAUGAUUUAGUGAAAAAGCUUUCAUCUAUUCCGGUAAUUUAGAAGCACUUUAAUUCAAUUCUCUCUUAAGAGUCCUAUCACUUUAGGAUGAUUUUUAAGUAAAAUCCUUGUAUAGAUUAUAUUUUUGUUAAUAUAACAAACACUAAAUAUUUAUGAUCUGAAAGAUAGUUGUUGAAUGGAGAUCGUUUCACACAAAAAAGUAUUUAAAAAGAAUGUGGUAUUGUAAUAUUAAAUAAUUUUUUGUAGUGAUAUAAGAGUAUCACACUAGUUUUUUUUUUUUUUUUUUUUUUGCAUUACAAAAAAUUGAAAAUAAGAUCUAAGUAAUUUCAAGAAUAAAUUAGCAAUAUUAGGAACAAGUUUUACGAAAAGCUUCUGGGACAUGUCAUACAAAUUUGUUAUAUAUGACAGUCUCUACUAGAUCUUUUUUCCACAUUACAAAAAUUAGAAAUGAGAUCUAAAUCGACCAAUUAUAAAUUUUAUAGUGAGUGGGUCCUAUAUGAAAACAAGGUUUUUUUUUUAUUAUAGUGUAGUCAAUUAUCAGCCAUCUACCCUAAGUUUAUUUUAUAUUAAAAAAUACUAGGAAGAUUUAAUUUGUUUAGUUUUUUACUUUAAUUUUAUAAUUUGUAUUAGUUGUCUACUAAAAGGGUCCGGCUACGGUGCAAUGGUGAUACGGUACCACCGUUGCAUUCAGUCGUUGGAUCCACUUGGAUGAAUGGAUCCAGUGAGAUCCAACGGCUGGAUGCAACGGUGGUACCGUACCACCGUUGCACCAUAGUUUUCUCCCUACUAAAAAGAUAUAAUUAUCCUUACUAAAUGACAAAAUAGAAACAAAUACAAAUAAAAACUGCGGUCAUUUUGUAAGGGUAAUUCUAUCUUUUUAGCAUCGAAUUGCAUAUUAAACUAUUUUAAGUACUUAAAAUAAUAUAAGUUCUUUAUCAAAUAAAUAAAAUUUUAAACUAUGUAUUUACCAAAUAUUUUAAAAUCACAGCUCUUCUACUACAUCUCCAAAUAAAUUCUUAAAAUCAUAAAUAACUAAAUUAAUGGGGUUUUAAAAGGACUCUCCAGACUUUGCAUGAUUUCUUUAUAUGUAGGUGCUGGGUGAUCAUGUUGGUUCCUAUAGGUACCAUCAGCCACACUUUUUGUUAUUGGUGAAAAAAUAAUUUUGGGUACAAUUUGUGAAUUUGUAUAACGUGCGGUAUUAAACAUUUGAAACAUGCAAUGACAGUAAUCUAAUCAAUAAUUAAAAAAAAAUUGUAUAAAAUACAUAUGUCGUAGGCAACUCGGAUCCUUUUCUUUAUAAUUCCAUAUCAUGUGAUUAUCAAAAAACUUCUUGGGAUUUUUAAAUUUUGUAAUUGCACUAUCCUUGAAUUAUCAAAAGACUCUUGAUAAUGUUCUUCUUCUUAAAGAUUCCCUUAAUCUGUAAAUGGUCCAAUAAUUAGUUCAUAAAACGAAUUUAUUACUUUAGACAAGUCUCAAAUAUACAUACCUCUUAUAACUCCGUAUUGCAUAAUUCCUUACUUAAAUGCAUUUGUUUCCUUUCUCUAAAUUUUAGAAUGGCUCUGUCUACUAAAUUUCCUCUUUAAAUUUGACUGCCAACUGGGAAUUUUGCCAAAAUUUCCACCCCAUCUUACUCUCUGAAAUAUGUCCUCCACGUUACUAUAGCAAAUUUAACAUCUAGGAUACUGAAAACAUUUUGUUUUAAUUUUUAAAUCUUUAGCUGUUGAAAAUAGGUCUUUAGCUGCUCAUCAGGAGAAAAUUUUCAUCUAAAACUUUUUUUGAUAAGGCAAGCUUCCAAAUAACAUCCAAAUGGUUUGGUGAAGGUUUUUCACCUUUUCUGAUAAUCCAAAAGCACCUUAUUUCUAGUUAUCUCUUAACAGUCUUAUUACCUCAGGUUCUCUCUUUAUUAAGUAAAACCUCAUAUAUAUUAAUUUGUUGUUAAUAUAAAUAAAAAUUAAGUAGUUGUUUGUUUUUUCAACUUAACGAAAAGUUUUCAUUCAUUAAAUUAUUAUCCCAAACUUUUUAGCUUUUUACUUAAUCUAAAAAGUAUGAAUAAUAUCAUUAAAAGAUAUUUUCCAAAAUAUCUCUAUCUAAUUAAUUAAUUUUCAUCAUUAUCCGAAUAAAAUUUAAUAAUUAGUAUUAUUACUCAUCUCUAUAACUUAUGAUAAUAUAGUGGUAGACUAUUACGAAUUUUACCAUCUUAUUUUCUUCAGAUUUGAAUUAUUUAUCUUCAUAAUUUUUUAUGACUAUUCUUAGUAUAAAAACAUCAUAAAUUAUAAUAAAAUGGAUUGACAUAUACUAAUUUAGAAUAUUAAAAGGUUGUGUUCAAUUGAAAAUAAUUUAUGUUAUGAUGAUAUAUUAUCUUUUAUAUGUUCUUUGAAAUGUUUAUUAUUUGAUGAACAUUUACAAUAUGUUAGGACACAAAUGUAGAAAUACUAAUUUUUAGAUUUUUUUAAGUUAAAAGAUAAACAACUUAAUAUUUAUUUUUAACGAUUCAAUAAAAAAACAAACAUAUAAUUAAGAUUUAGACAUUCAACUCUAUUCAAAAUUCAGACUAAUUCACACAUAUUUAGAUUUCAGACAAGAAACAUAUGCCACCUAAAUGUUUAUGACUUAAAAUUAUUUAAUAAUCAUGGCACAUUUAACCUAUCUAAACAUGAAAUCUUGUGUAGACUUAUGUUUAAGCAAGAGGAUAAUGUGAGAAAAUUGACACAUUAAUUUACAAUUUGUAGGCCAACUGAAUAUUUUUUGUUUGUUUUUUUAUUUUGAUAAUAAAACAAGCCUCGCAAGAGCUUAGGUUUUUAGCCAACUGAAUAAAUUUUCCCACUCAAAUUAGAAACAAUAAAAUCUAAUAAUUAUGAGCCCAUCAGACAAACAGUGAGACAUCAUAUUGUUAAUACCUACUCGUAAAAUUAACGGGAUAACACGGUUUAUGCGGACAGAUUAUCAAGGUAUUGUUAAUACCUUCUGUAUCGGUAUUUCUUUUUUUCUUCUUCUUCAACCCCAAAUAAUCAAAAGCUCUCCAAUGGCUUUCGUAUCCACAACUCGUCCAUUUCAUUUUACUUCAAAUUCAAUAUCAGCUCUUAGAUGUAAUUUCUCAUCUUCGUUCCCUCAUACCGGAAAACCCAAAUCUUCAAUUUCGGAAAAUAAACCCUCGUAUCCGACCGCAACAGCUAAACUGAAGGAGUCGCUACGACUGACGGUCAAAGACCGAGCCUCACUCGAAAAAUUCCUCAGAAAAAGGUUCAAAUCAUCCGGUGAAGGUGAUAUUACUACUAUUACUCCUAAUGAAGCCUUUUGUAUCUUUGAUUACAUGCUCAAUAUGCGCCCUUCUCCGCCUCCUGUCUCUUCCUUCAAUAUUUUGUUUGGUUGUCUUGCUAAGAAUAAACAUUAUGAUACUGUCCUUUCACUCUUCAAGAGACUCAAUUCAACUGGGUUGUUUCCAAAUCUUUAUACUUACAAUAUCUUGAUUAACUGCUUUUGCAAAAUGGGUCGAGUUUCUCCUGGUUUUGUUGUUCUUGGGAGAAUCCUCAGGUCUUGUUUUACUCCAGAUGCUGUGACCUUUACUUCUUUGAUUAAAGGUUUGUGUGCGGAGAGUAGAAUCAUGGAGGCUGCCGCAUUGUUUACGAAACUUAGAGUGUUUGGUUGUGAGCCUGAUGUUUUUACAUACAAUACUUUGAUUAAUGGAUUGUGUCGAACUGGCCAUACAUUUGUUGCUCUAAAUUUAUUUGAAGAGAUGGCUAAUGGAAAUGGGGAAUUUGGUGUUGUUUGUAAGCCAAACACUGUUACAUACAAUACUAUUAUAGAUGGUCUUUGUAAGGAAGGUUUUGUGGACAAGGCCAAGGAACUGUUUCUGCAGAUGAAGGAUAACAAUAUUAACCCCAAUGUGGUUACUUAUAACUCUUUGAUUCACUGUUUCUCUCAUGCUGAUGAUUGGAAUGAGGCCAAGUGUUUGCUAAUUGAGAUGAUGGACCAAGGGGUACAGCCUAAUGUUGUGACUUUCAAUGUCAUCAUGGAUGAGCUCUGCAAGAAUGGAAAGAUGGAUGAGGCUGCCGCAUUGUUUACGAAACUUGGUGUGUUUGGUUGUGAGCCUGAUGUUUUUACAUACACCACUUUGAUUAAUGGAUUGUGUCGAACUGGCCAUACAAUUGUUGCUCUAAAUUUAUUUGAAGAGAUGGCCAAUGGAAAUGGGAAAUUUGGUGUUGUUUGUAAGCCAGACGCUAUUACAUACAGUACUAUUAUAGAUGGUCUUUGUAAGGAAGGUUUUGUGGACAAGGCCAAUGAACUGUUUCUGCAGAUGAAGGGUAAGAAUAUUAACCCCGAUGCGGUUACUUAUAACUCUUUGAUUCACGGUUUUUGUUAUGCUAAUGAUUGGAAUAAGGCCAAGCAUUUGUUUAUUGAGAUGAUGGAUCAAGGGGUACAGCCUGAUGUUGUGACUUUCAAUGUGAUCAUGGAUGAGCUCUGCAAGAAUGGGAAGAUGGACGAAGCAAGUAGGCUGUUAGAAUUGAUGAUUUUGAGAGGAUUGAAUCCCAACACAUCUACUUAUAACACAUUAAUUGAUGGUUAUUGCUUAACUGGUAAAAUAGAUUGUGCUAGGGAAUUAUUUGUUUCUAUGGAGAGUAACGGGUGCAUGCAUAAUGUUGUGAGUUACAACACAUUAAUAAAUGGGUACUGCAAGACUAAGGAUGUAGAGGAAGCUUUAAAUCUUUAUAGGAAAAUGCUGUCUAAAGGAAUUAGGCCAACAGUUGUUACAUAUAACACCUUGUUUCAUGGCCUUUUUGAAAUACAGCAGGUUGACCAUGCUUUAAAACUGUUUGAUGAGAUGCAGCGCAAUGAUGUGGCUGCUGAUACCUCUACGUAUAAUACCUUUACAGAUGGGCUCUGCAAGAAUGGUUAUAUUGUAGAGGCAGUUGAAUUAUUUCGUACUUUGAGAAUUCUCAAGUGUGAACUUGAUAUUCAAGCCUACAACUGCCUCAUUGAUGGAUUAUGUAAAUCCGGCAGACUUGAAUUUGCGUGGGAACUGUUUCGUAGUUUGCCUCGUCGAGUCCUAAUGGCAAAUGUUGUAACAUAUAACAUCAUGAUCCAUGGGCUUUGUAACGAUGGCCAAAUGGAUAAGGCACAUGAUUUAUUUCUUGACAUGGAAGAAAAUGCUGUGGCACCCAAUGUCAUCACAUUUGGUACACUUAUGCAUGGUUUUAUCCGAGUCAAUGAGCCAUCAAAAGUUAUUGAACUUCUUCACAAGAUGAAGGAGAAAAAAGUAAUGCCAGAUGCAUCUAUAGUUUCAAUUGUUGUCGACUUACUUGUAAAGAAUGAAAUUAGUCUGAACUCACUUCCGUCAUUUCCUGUCCGAGAGCGACAGGGGGAAGUUGAUGAGUCAAAUGUCAAGUAGUAGCAGCAUGUGUUUUGAGCCUAAAAACCUGAUCUGCAGCAUCUCAUUCACAUUGCAAAAUGACGUCGCCUGGUGACAGCAUGUUCUCUCUGGUACUGUUCAUGGAUUCUUGAUUGUUCUCGUGAUCAGAAGAGUCUCAUUCAUAUUACAAAUCCUGAUCUGGACAAGCUAGCAUACGUGAUCACCAACUGCACAUGGUUGUUGAUGCCAGAUUAAGUAUGGUAUCAUGUCUUUCAACUUGUUAUUCACUAUAGUCUUUCACCCUCUGUCUUGUUCUCUCUUAAUGACCCAUUGCUUUAGAAGCUAAUGAAUUAGUUGAAGCUUGUCACUUUAUUGGCACUGACUAUCAUUUAUGCUUUGAAUUUACAGCAUAUUUUAUCCUUACUGUACUCUUCGCAUAGUUACCUUUGAGGGCUGCUAGUAUGUAAAACUAAAAGACCUUAUAUAAGCUUUUCAGUGUAUAUCUGUUCUGUGAAAUGAUUCAUUCUGCAAGGCCCUAGGCUUAUGACUCAUCUAUGAAAUGAUUUACCCUCACCUGCACACAGGCAUUUGUCCCUUUCGAGCAAUCUUCAAACAAUGUGAAAAAAAUGCUUGAAACACGACACAGACUUCACUGUUUACAUGAAAAGCGGCAGAAACUUGUGAAAUUACCGAUUAAAAAGUACCUACUGUGAGGAAGAUGCUAUAAAACUCACUCGGAAAAUGUAAAAUGGUUAACAGACAUCCACCAGAAGCACAAUUCAGAACAUGGGCUGCUUUUGGCUGCCCGGCUUUCAGAAGUCAAUAUUUAGAUGAACUUUGGGGAGAUUAGGAUCACCAGUCAGUCAGAUUUAGAUAGAAAGUGAGAGAUUGCUAUUGCCGAGUCAUUGCUUCUAUCCUAAAUGCUUUGAUCUACCUGAAAAGUAUAUAAAUAUCGGGGUUAAAACAGAGCAGUUGAAAUCGUAUUGAUGAACUCAACUGAGAUAAAUGAUAAAAGAAAACUAACCUACAUUCUGUACAAAACUCGCCCAUCUUCCUUUAAGAGCUGACUUCCCAAGAAGAGAUCACCACAAUAGUUCACAUCAACAGUCUCCACUUGAGAGUUUUUAUAACCACAAUAUUCAUUCCAUUCAAACCACAUCCUUGAGAUCAGUUCCUUCUUCAGGAGACUCGGCAGCAACCAAUCUAUAUGCAUAAGCUUUCUUUGUUUGGCCUGGCUGGAAAGCCCAGCCGAUUGCUUGGCGGAUUUCUGAUGGAGUACAGGGAACAUCCAGAAUAAUGAUCCAAAUUUUUGUGGACUUACAUGUAAAGAAUGAAAUUGGUUAAACUCGAUUCCACAAUUCAAGAGUAAAUGAGUUUAAUCUUGAUUUAGUAUCAUGUCUUUUCUGCUUUAAAACCAGAUCUGGGGAAUCCCAUUCUUCUUACGACAGGUGAAGGAGUGUUUGUGUAUUGCUGGCAUGUUCCCAGGUUCUAUUCACGGAUUCUGUUUGCAGACAUGGCUAACUCCUCGUUUCAGAUAAGUUUCAAAGUCUGGCAACUUUUUGUUUCAAUUCAUGGGUUUUCCUUCUAUGAUGCAUCUUUCUCAUUAGCUGUAGUUUCAAAUUUUUUAGGCUCUUCCUGUAUGACCUCUUUUCUUCUCCAAAUGGAUAAAAUUUGUUUUUCAUUUUUCUCCUGCGAGGGUACAGGUUUAUGUUGAAACUUUCUCUUAGUUAAAUUGAUUGUCAUUUGAUAUUGGAACUUCUAGUUGAACUAGUUUGCACUUCGAAUAUAUGAGAUUACCAACUCUAAGGAAUUGGUGCCAAAUUGAUUAUGUUAUCAGGUUUUUCAGUCUGUGUAAUUGUCCAAAUUUUUUUCAUUCCUAGUGACAUGGCAUUCACUUGAAUAUGAAAACCUACGUGUUCGCAAGACAAAGUCUGUUGAAACUGACAAACUUUUCUCUAUGAAUAUUGAAGACAAUAUAAUAAGAUAAAAUUAAUCAAAAACAUCUAUACUUGACAGGGCUGGAACGUCUGUUAUUAGUCCUCGCCUUCCAUUCUUGUUUCAUCUUCUUCUGCUAACAAAUCUUGAUCAUGAUAGUCUUCUCUUUUCUUUGCAACCCACAUAUAAAGUCUCGGCCAUAAACCUCGAGGCCUAUUCUCUUUUGCAAUGGUGAGUUCACUCUCAGGAAUCAGAUCGAAUUUGAAGAAACUGCAAGGGACUACAAAGCAAAUGGUGUGAAGCUCCUUUCACUUAUCACUGGCACAGCAUUACUCUGGCAAAUGGUUUAAAAUACCAUUCGCGUUGGAAGUUCAAUCAUUACUGUUUUUUUUCCCCCUCUUUUUACUUGCUCUUGCUAUUUUUGUUGUCUGAAAUUAUCUGAAGUUCCAUGCAUGCUCCAAUAGAACGAGUAAUGUAAUGUAGGUGCUGACCAACUCCAAAUAAGUAGUUAGUUGCCUAGUAGUUGCUUUCCAUGAAAUUUGUUUUUGGUAUGAAUAAUGUUGUCUUAAUUUUACAAGCUUCCGUGCAACCCCUCAUUUAAUAUUAGAUUUAUCCGUUGAUUGAUGCUGACUCUUGAAAGUAAUAUAAUAUUGUAUAAAUAUAAUGAAAUCUCACUUUAUUAAUAAAUAUAAUUUAAAAUAAAAAAUAAAAAAUAACUAAAGUUGAAAACCAAGGAGCAACUUCUAUCCUCUUAGUCUCUUACCAAGUUAUUAAAUAUAGAGCAGACAAAGGUAUAUGUAUAAUAUAUAUAAUUUUCUUCAUGAUUCAAAAUCAUAUCUCAAAUGUCAAAUAAAAUUCUCAAUUAAGGGUGUUCGGGGAUUAGAUUUUACGAAUUUUAUAUUAUUAUCGGAUAAGAUAUAAUAUGGUAUUAAUGUAAUUAUAUUUUAACUUAUUUAUUUAGUAGUAAGUACUAAUGUCAUAUUUAUAAGUUUUAUUUUUAAUUAAAUAAAUAUUUUUUAUUAUUUUUAGAUUCAUGAAUUUUUAUAGAUUUACAUAAGUAGAUUCAUAUUCAAUCCACCGAUUACAAAUUAUCAAAUUUUCAAUCUAAUUUAAUCUAUCAAUCUAUAAAUUAUUUUAAAUAUUAUAAAUUAUUUUUAGACUGAGUGAUGAAGGGUCAUUUAAACAAUCAUGGUCAUUUAAUCUAUCUAAUCAUGAUAUUUCGAGUAGACUUAUGUCACAUUUAAUCUAUCUAAUCAUGAUAUUUCGAGUAGCACCCGAUUGUGUCACAUUUAAUACGCUGAUGCUAGGUUGCAUCCGCAAUAAUGAGACAUCAAAAGUUGUUGAACUCCUUCACAGAAUGGAUGAGAGAAAUGUAAUACCAGAUGCAUCUACACUUUCAAUUGUUGUGGACUUGCUUGUAAAGAAUGAAAUUAGCUUAAACUCCAUUCCACAAUUCAAGAGUCAAAGGUAAGUGAGUUUAAUAAUGAUUUAGUCGCAUGUUUCUUCUGCCUGAAAACUCAAUGUGGAGGAUCCUAUUCUUAUUACAACAUGUAAAGGAGUGUUGUCUAAUGUUGGCAUGUUCCUAGGUUCUGUCCAUGGAUUCUGUUUGCAGACAUGGCUAACUUCUUGUUCAACAGAUAAGUUUUAAAGUCUUUCAACUUUAUGUUGUAAAAUAACUUUCUUAUUAUUCAAUUCAUGAGUUUUCCUUCUGUAACACAUACUUCUCAUUAGAUGGAAGUGCAAAUUUUUUAGGCUUUUCCCGUAUGGCCUCUUUUUCUGCUCUAAAUAAAAUGGCAUUUUAUUUCCCUCCUGUGAGGGUACAAGGUUUAUGUAUAAACUUUCUGUUAGUUAAAUUGGUUGUCUUUGAUAUAGGGAACUUCCAGUUGAGCUGAUUUGUAAUUCGAGUAUAUGAGAUUACCAACUGUAUUGGGAAUUAAUGCCAAAUUAAUUAUGUCAUCAGGUUUUUCAAUCAUUGUUCAUCAUUUAUUUCUGUUAACAAUUAAUAGCACAGCUUGUCUUCUCAGCUUCAUUGGUUCCUCUAAAAAAUAAUCUUGUAAAGACAAUUUUUUUUUUUUGGCAUGGUAAAUGCUAGAUUGUUUGUGGUAAAUACAAAAUUGAUACAAUCAACUUGUAUGAUAAGUUUUAAAAGUUUAUUCAUAUUUAUAUUACAUAAUUAAAAGUUCAUUCAUAUUUAUAUGAGAUAUCUAUUUUAGGACACAGUUUAAUAAUCAUGGAAACUAACCAUUUAAUAACAAUUAUGGUCGUUUAACCUAUCUAAACAUGAAAUUGUCAGCUGGCUUAUCUUUGAGUAGGAGGAUAAUGUAAGAAAAUUAAUAUUUUAAUGUACAAUUUGUAUGCCAAGCGAAAAAUUUCACAAUUUAAAUUAGAAAAAAUAAAAUUUAAUAGUUAAAUAUUAUUUGAGCCAAUUGACUAGUGGGACAUUAUUUGUUACUGUCCAAAAAGCAUAACAUUAUUUUGAUAAAUGGUUACUGCAAGAAUAAGGAAAUAGAGGAAGCGUUAAGCCUUUAUAGCGAAAUGCUCUCUAAAGGAAUAAAGCCAACAGUUGUUACAUAUAACACCUUGUUUCUUGGUCUUUUUGAAAUACACCAAGUUGAGCGUGCUUUAAAACUGUUUGAUGAGAUGCAGCGCAAUGGUGUGGUUGCUGAUACCUCUACGUAUAAUACCUUUACUGACGGGCUCUGCAAGAAUGGUUAUAUCGUAGAGGCAGUUGAACUAUUUCGUACUUUGAGAAUUCUAAAGUAUGAACUGUGGUGUCCAAUUUCAUCACAUUUGGUACGCUUAUCCAUGGUUUUAUCCGAAUCAAUGAGCCAUCAGAAGUUAUUCAACUUCUUCACAUGAUGAAGGAGAAAAAAGUAAUGCCAGAUGCGUCUACAGUUUCAAUCGUUGUCGACUUACUUGUAAAGAAUGAAAUUAGUCUGAACUCACUUCCGUCAUUUCCUGUCCAAGAGCGACAGGGGGAAGUUGAUGAGUCAAAUGUCAAGUUGUAGCAGCAUGUCCUGUCCAUUGCUUCAAUCCUAAAUGCUUUGAUCUACCUGAAAAGUAUACAAAUAUCGGAGUUAAAACAGAGCAGAUUAAAUCGUAUUGAUGAACUCAACUGAGAUAAAUGACAAAAGAAAACUAACUUUUCCUGUUCAAAGCUCGCACACCUUCCUUUAAGAGCUGACUUUCCAAGAAGAGAUCACCACAAUCGUUCACAUCAACAGUCCACUUGAAAUUUUUUAUAACCACAAUAGUCAUUCCAUUCAAACCACAUCCUUGAGAUCAGUUCCUUCUUCAAGCAAGUGGGAUGGUCUUCCUCUUGAGGAGACUCAGCAGCAACCAAUCAAAGCACAAUAAAGGUAACAUCCAGAAUAAUGAUCCAAAUUUUUGUGGACUUACAUGCAAAGAAUGAAAUUGGUUUAAACUCGAUUCCACAAUUCAAGAGUUAAUGAGUUUAUCUUGAUUCAGUAGCGUGUCUCUUCUGCUUUAAAACCAGAUCUGGGGAAUCCCAUUCUUAUUACAACAUGUGAAGGAGUGUUUGUGUAUUGUUGGCAUGUUCCCAGGUUCUGUUCACGGAUUCUGUUUGCAGACAUGGCUAACUCCUCGUUUCAUCAGAUAAGUUUCAAAGUCUGGCAACUUUUUGUUGUAAAAAUAACUAUUUCAUUAUUCAAUUCAUGAGUUUUCCUUCUAUGGUGCAUCUUUCUCAUUAGCUGUAGUUUCAAAAUUCGAGCGAAUUUGAAGAAACUGCAAAAGACUACAAAGCAAAUGGUGUAGAGCACCUUUCACUUAUCACGGGCACAGGAUUACUCUGACUUUCUGCAUUUUACUGUUGGCUAUGGUUUGAUGCAUUAUUUAUUGUUCUCAAAUACCAUUCUCGUUGGAAGUUCAAUCAUUACUGUUUCUUUUUUCCCCCCUUUUUACUUGAAGUUACCUGAAGUUCCAUGCAUGCUCCAAUCGAACAAGUAACGUAGGUGCUGACCAACUCAAAAUAAGUAGUCAGUUGCCUAGUAGUUGCUUUGCAUGAAAUUUGUUUUUGGUCUUAAUUUUACAAGCUUUCAUGCAACUCCUAAUUUGUUGGAAGUAUUAACUCAACCCGUCAUUUAAGGUUAGAUUUAACCAUUGACUUAUGUUGACUAUUAAAAGUACUAUAAUAUUCUAUAAAUAUAACGAAACCUACUUUAUUAACAAAUAUAAUUUAAAAUAUAAAAAAUCAAUAAUAAAAAUAACUAAAGUUGAAAUCCAAGGAGCAACUUCUAUCCUCUUACCAAGUUAUUAAAUAUUAGAGUAGAUAGAGGCAUAUACUUUUCUUGAUGAUUCAGAAUCAUAUCUUCAAAUAAAAUUCUCAAUGAUUGCAGGCCUCAAUACCAUUAGGAUGAACUAGACCAUCAUGAAUUUUUGCGCAUCUUGCAAGGUCCAAUUUCUCCAAGUUUAUGAUCAAGCCAAAAAAUGUCAUAAUUCCUUUUAUAGUAAUUUCAUAGUGUUUACUAAACUGUAAUAGAAAUGGAUUGAAACACAAAUAGGGAUGGCAAUGGGGAGGGGGGAGGGGACCAACAUCCCCGUACCCAUCCUUGAUAUUUUGUAUAUGUCCCCAUCUCCUUCCUAUCCCCAUCAGAAUUACUUGAGGGGAUUCCCGUCCCCUCCCCGAAUAAUAACAGGGAAUCUCCGAGGGUCCCCGAUCCCCAAAUAACUGAUAUAUUUGUUUAGUUUUCAAACUUAAUUUAAUCAUAUUAAUGUAAAAAUAUAUAAAAUAAAAUGAAAUGAUCAUGAAUGGGCCUUAUAUUUCAUUCCACUCCUUCAAACUUUUGGUAUAUAUAAUAUUCAAAUAAUGAUUUUCAAAACAAAAUUCAAAUAAUGUGAUUUUUAUACAAUAUUGACGUGAUUGUUGUCCAUGAGUAACGAUACCUACUGAUCACCGACUAUGAUGCAACAAAGCCGCAUGUGUGGCUGCUAGUUGACGUUGCGACGAGUUAGGCUACUCGGACACUGACAACGUAACGUGCUACUGGGCUAUGAUGAGAUGAAGACGAGUUGAGUGCUUACUACUGCAUGAAUAAUUUGGAAAUGAUGAGCAAGACUGUGAGAAAGUAAUUUAGAGUUUGAUUUGUGAGUUAUAAGCUUGUGGGAUUGUGUGCUUUUGGUUGUAAUUAAGUCUAAAUUAUAUUAAACAUUUUAUAUUAACUAAUAUUUAUUAUUUGUAUAAAUAUUUUGAUAUUUUUUAUUUACACCAAUAUUUUAUAUUUUACAAUUUAAAAUUUAUCGUUUAUUGACUAAUAAUUCUAGAAAAAUAAAAAUAAAAUAAAAUAUUAAAAUAGGGAAAUGGGGAGGGGACGGGGAUUCCACCUCAUCCCCAUCCCUUCCCUGAAUAAGUAAUUGGGUAAAAAAUUGUCCUCGUCCCUUUCCCGAAUAAGAAGUGUGGUAUAAAAUCGUCCAUGUACCCUCCCCAAAUGGAUAAAAUCCUCAAGGGCCCCAUUCCCAUGGGGAUUUCUGCCAUCCCUAAAUUAGAAUAAAUUAUUUACUUAAACUGUAGGAAUUAGAAUCAAAAUAAACUGGAUUGUCAUUGAUGUGUCUAUUUUGUCUUGGAAUUGAAAUCAAAAUGAGUUACAUUUUAACAACUUACUAAAAAGUGCUUAAUGAGCUAUUGUCAUAAUUAUUAUUUUAUAUUUUAAUUAUGGUAAUUAUUUAUUCAAAAAUUAUAAUAAUUAUUAUUGUUAAUAAUAUAUUCAUAUAUUAAUUAAUUGAAAAUUAUUUAAAUUAAUUAAUUAUUAAUCAAUUAAUAUAUUAAUUGAUUAAUUAUAAUAAUACAUUAAUUAAUUAUAACUGAGGACAAAAUAGAUACUUUUUAUUUUGUGAGGGGGUAAAAUGGUCAUUCCAAGGAAUGGGAGACUCAUUCCCGCCUCCCUUGGGAAUUAAUCUUCCAUUUGCCAUUCCCAAAUUGCGGUGGACUCAACGAUUUCAAUUCUGAUUCUUGACUCUAUUUUAUGAAGUAAAUGCUCUCAAUAAUUUCGAUUCCCCAAUCCGAAGAAGUAAACGCACAGUUACUGUUUCUUCUAAAGCUCAAACUUGUCAGGUUUGAGAUACCUGAUAGAUACUUCAGUCAUGCAUCCACUCCAUCAUAAGACAAACUGAAAGUUAGAAAAAAAAGGGACAAUUCAAGGAAAAUGCACACAAGUGAGGUUUCAAAAUUAAAGUAGACACUUCAGCUGCAAAUCAGCAUACACAUACAAUGGAGGUCAUACAAAUAUCAUUUCUAUAACCGCCCUACUGUAUUCUUGAAUGAAGAUGGUUUAAAGUCAAGUAAUAAGAUAUUUAAACUUAAGCAAAACAAUACAAUUAAAUUUGCUGGAACUUAUGAGUAACUUAAUCUCAUCUCUCCUCCUAAUUUAAUUGGACAGGCGUAAAUUUUCCAUGUUAAUAUGGAUGAAGUAAAUUUUCUUUUUAUAAUAUAUCUAUGCAUUAAAAAAAAUUAAUAAUAAUAACUUUUACAAGCAUUUAUGCUUGUAUUAAUACUCUACUUUUUACUACACGAUUGCUUCAGUAUAUGGUGGAUGUUAAGAUAACAAUAAUACUAGAAUUACAAACACUUGCAUACUAUUAACUAACUUAACACUAUAAUAUUGUUUACGGUGUAAGCCCUCGAGGUGAUGUUAAUAUGCCAAAGAUUUAAAAAUAUUAGUUCUAGCUUUUGAAGAAAAAUAUGCUUUCAGUCAGAAGGGAAAAAAACGAAAAAAAAAAAAAAAAGCUUUCUAACAAGAUAUCAAAAUGGUUAAUAAGAAGAGCAGUAGUAAUGGGGUAAAAGCUCGUUUAAUCCCUAUAUUUUGAGGUUAGUACUUGUUUAGUUCCUAUAUUUUUAAAAAUGCUUCAAAACAUCUUUGCCGUUAAAUAUUGACACCCCUGCCGUUACUUUGUAUUCCUUUUAGCUUACUUUUACAAUAUUACCCUUUUUGCAAUAUUGUUUCUUUUUUUGGACAUUAAUAAUAAAUAAAAUUACCAAUUUAACCCCAAAAAUAAAAUAAAGACAAAGAAAAUAUAUAUUAAUCUUUGUCAAAACUAUGUCAAAAAAAUAAAUAUUGUAAAAAAAAUUAAACUACUAAUUUUUUAGACAUUAAUAAAAAAAAAUAAUAUAUUAACUCCUCGUGGAGUAUUCAAAAAAUUAAUAUAGAUUUUUUUUUGUUUCUAUUUUACUUUUUUGGGUUAAAUUGAUAAUUUGAUUUUUCUUGUUAUUAAUGUUUAAUAAAGAAGAAAUAUUAUUAUACGAGGGUAAUAUUAUGAAAGUAAGUUAAAAAGAACAAAAAAUAACAAUAAGGGUGUCAAUACUUAACGAUAACGAUGUUUUAAGACAUUUUUAAAAAUAUAGAGACUAAAUAGAUAUUAAUCUCAAAAUAUAAGAAAUAAACGAGAUUUUACCCGUAAUAAUGUUACGAGGGGGUUCAAAUGGAGGGGGACAGGUAUUUCCAAAUUUGUAUCCAUUAAUUUUUUUAAAACUCAUAUCUGUCACUUACUUGUUAUUAUUUUAAAUAUCAAACUUGUCAACCCUUAAGAGGAAACAUGUAUUUAACGGACUUUGCGCGGCUAAUUCUCAUCAUUCGCUACUCUAAAUUUUAUUUUACAGAUUUGCCCAUCAUUUACAACAUUUAAUUAAAUACACUUAAAUUAUAUAGAUUCAACGGUUCAACCUUCAUAUAUCACAUGAAAAGAAUACUGAAUUUUUAACAUCUCUCAUCAAGAGAUUGUACUGUGUUUACUCAAUUAGAUACCAAGUUUAUAUUCCAACUAAUGUGUUAAUAGUAUUUGAAUUAAAAAUGAUAAAACUUAAUAAUUAAUUAUUGCUUAAGUCAAUUAAAUAGUAUCAUAUCAUUUGUUUGAAAAAAAAAUCUUUGUUGUUUCAAGAGUAUUAAUCCUUUUUCAUUUACUUAUUAUCAUUACUAUCUGCAACUAAUCAUAAUGAUUUGCAUCAAUAUGUGAUUGUUUUUUUUACUCCAAGAACAGCUUUUAAAUGCAAUUUCUCUUCUUCCCCACUCACCCUUGAAAACCCACUAUUUGUGUACUUCCAAAAACGAUUUAUUGCUGACCGCCAAAGACCGAUACUCACUGGACAAAUUCCUAAAAGAAAGAUUCAAAUUCCAAUGUCUUAUACCUAUUUGAUUUGCAGUCCUUGUUAUGCUAAUGACUAGAAUGAGGCAAAGUGUUUUUUAAUUGAGAUGAUGGAUCUAAGGGUGCAGCAUGAUGUUGUGAUUUUCAAUGUUGAUCAUAGAUGAGCUUUGUGAAAAUAGAAAGAUAGAAGAAGCAUUUAGGUUUUUAGAAUCGCAUCAAUGGAUGGGUUUUGCUUGACCUAGGGAACUAUUUGUUUCUGUGGAGAAUAAAGGGUGCAGAAAUGACGUUGCUAAAUACAACAAGUUGAUAAAUGGGUAAUGCAAGAAUAAGGAAGUAGAGGAAGCGUUAGGCCUUUAUAGCGAAACGCUUUCUAAAAGAAUUCUCCUAGAAUAUGUUGAGGGGAUGGGGCAGCUGCCCCCAUCGCACCCUAAGCCAACAGACUCAAAACUGUAAAUGAAAGAAUCAUGAUGAUCUGUUUUGGUUUGUGAGAUGUUAGAGGAGGAGGAUUGACUAGUAACGGGGAGAUGUUUGGGUUUAUAAGGUGGUAGGUCACUCCACUUAAAAGGCUAGUCUUUUGGGUUAGAUACUUAGAAAUCUUAUGCUAAGUCCCCCCAACAAGCGGUAUCAGAGCUAGACCCUAGUAGCCGGAAUGUAGUGGUGGAACAACUCAGGUGUGUCGGACGAAAGGACCUGAGUCCGGCGGUGGUUUCGUCCGAAGGGGGGAUUGUUGAGUUGUAUCCCACAUUGACUAGUAAAAGGGAGAUGUUUGGGUUUAUAAGGUGGUAGGUCACUCCACCUAAAAGGCUAGUCUUUUGGGUUGGAUACCUAGGAAUCUUAUGCUAAGUCCCCCCAACAAGUGGUAUCAGAGCUAGACCCUAAUAGCCGGAAUGUAGUGGUGGAACAACUCAGAUGUGUCGGACGAAAGGACCGGAGUCCGACAGUGAUUUCGUCCGAGGGGGGGAUUGUUGAGUUGUGCCCCACAUUGAUUAGUAAAGGGGAGAUUUUGGGUUUAUAAGGUGGUAGGUCACUUCACCUAAAAGACUAGUCUUUUGGAUUGGAUACCUAGAAAUCUUAUACUAAGUCCCCCCAACAUGGACUUUCUUCUAAAGAAUGAUAUCCGUUUAAACUCAAUUCCAGAAUUCAAAAGCCAAAAUUGAAUAUUGAUUUAGUAGCAUGUUUUUCUGCCUGCUGAAAAUCGAAUAUGGAGGGUCCGUUUCAUUAUACCAAAUGUGAAGGAGUGUCACGUUGUGAGGGCAAUGUAAUAUCCUCGCCAUCUGGUUCAGUUCACCAAAGAAACUUCCCCAUUAAUUUCUUGAAAAAGUUAAGUUCAAACUGUAAAUGAAAGAAUCAUGAUGAUCUAUUUUGGUUUGUGAGAUGUUAGAAAGAGGCCAUUGUUAAAUAGACAUGAAUGCUGGAGAAAACUUUAUGUUCUUUUAUUGAAUUAAGUUGAUCCUACUCGAUCUCUGCAUUUUGGAUUCCUACUUCAGAGUCGAAGAAGUGAAAUAUGGUGUGAAAAAAUUGUAUGCUUAAGUUAAUUUGAAUCCUUGUUAUUUAAUAAAAGCUCAGCUUCUUUCAAUCCGCACCUACGGUGGUCAUUUUUUUUUAUAUAUAUGGCGAGUAAUAAAUAGAUAAGAAGUAAUGUUUUUAGAACACACAAAAUAUUUUUAUUUCAAACACUAACAAAGUUGCAGACAAAAUAUUUAAAUAAUCUUGAUGUAUGUAUCUAAUAGCGUGUUUGUUAAGUGGAAAUAAAAAUGAGGGAAUGAGAUACAUUAACUUAGCCCAAGUGGUUAGAGCCACUCCCUCACAAAUGUGGGGGAAGUGGUUCGAGCCUCCGCAGACGCAUUGUAGGAAUUUAAUUUAAAUGUCCUUUCUUAGAGUUCCAGAACUUGAGUGAAGUCAGUCUUUCUCCCAGAUUGGGGCCCAAGUGGUUAGAGCCACUCCCUCACAAAUGUGAGGGAAGUGGUUCGAGCCUCCUCCGCAGACGCAUUGUAGGGAUUUAAAAAUUUAAAUGUCCUUUCUUAAAGUCCCAGAACUUGAGUGAAGACAGUAUUUUUCCCAGGCUGGGAGUUGACGUCUCUCGAAUAUUUGAGAGGUGAAGGCAGUCUUUCUCCCAGACUGGGAGUUGACGUCUCUCGAAUAUUUGAGAGGCUUAAAAAAUCUAAGCGGUGCCAUAUCAGCAUUGAUGUCAACAGGUCUCAGUAUAUAUAUGAUUGUACAUAUCAGUUAUACUCUCAUGUAAUAUGAGUUGUAAUUUGAGCAAUAGUCUCAUGUUAUAAAAAAAAAACUUAUUUACUUAUAAAGAGAGAAGGAGGAUCGAGAAUUAAAUUUGCUGGCCUCACAUCAAUUUAUGACUAACUCUUGGAUUUCUAAUUUCUAAAGGGGGUUUGGAAUCUAAAUCUCAUUUUCAAGACGGAUUAUACUACCCCCGCCCAAAUGUAAUAAUUUUCAUUUUGUCCUUCUUUUAAAUAUUUAAAAAAUAAAUAAAAAUCGCAUGAGUACUGUGCAAAGAUCGAUUGUUACUGAUACUCCUCACGGAUAUUUGUAUUACUGUCGGUCAUUGUUGUUGCAGUUGCUGCCUGUUGUCGCUGCUACUAUCGAUCAUCGUUAUUGCCUACUGCUAUUGAUUGCCGGUUAUAAUGAUGAUUAUUCUUGCCUCAGUUAUUGUUGAUGUUAUUAUUACUCGCACCGAAUUACAUAUUAUUAAAUUAUUUUAAAUAUUACAAAUUAAAUUAUUUUUAAAUGAGUGAUCAAACCUGAUCAUUUAAUAACCAUGGCCAUUUAACAUAUUUAAACAUAAAAUUUCGUGUCAAAUUAUGUUUGAGUAUAAGGAUAAUGUAAGAUAAUUGGUACUUUAAUUUACAUUUAUGUGCCAACUGAAUAAAGUUCGCUAUUUAAAUUAAAUUAGAAACGGUGAAAUUUAAUAAUUAACUAUUAUUUAGCCAUUUAAACGCAGAGACACAAUUUGUCACGGUUCCAAAAGCAUAGCAUCAUUGAAAAUACCGUAUCCCACUUCUCUUUUUCUAUUUUGGUAAUUCUUUUUUUCUUCUUCAACCCCAAAUAAUCAAAAGCUCUCCAAUGGCUUUCGUAUUCUCAACUCGUUCAUUUCAUUUUACUUCAAUUUCAAUAUCGGCUCUUAGAUGUAAUUUCUCCUCUUCGUUCCCUCAUACCAGAAAACCCAAAUCUUCAAUUUCGAAAAAUGAGCUUUCAGAUCCGACUACAACAGCUAAACUGAAGGAGUCGCUACGACUGACAGUCAAAGACCGAGCCUCACUCGAAAAAUUCCUCAAAGAAAGGUGCAAAUCAUCAGGUCAAGGUGAUAUUAAUCUUAUAACUCCUAAUGAAGCCUUGUGUAUCUUUGAUUACAUGCUCAAUAUGCGCCCUUCUCCGCCUCCUGUCACUUCCUUCAAUCUUUUGUUUGGUUGUCUUGCCAAGACUAAACAUUAUGAUACUGUCCUUUCACUCUUCAAGAGACUCAAUUCCACUGGGUUGUUUCCGGAUCUUUAUACUUACAACAUAUUGAUUAAUUGCUUUUGCAAAAUGGGUCGAGUUUCUCAUGGUUUUGUUGUUCUUGGGAGAAUCCUCAGGUCUUGUUUUACUCCAGAUGCUGUGACCUUUACUUCUUUGAUUAAAGGUUUGUGUGCGGAGAGUAGAAUCAUGGAGGCCGCCGCAUUGUUUACGAAACUUACAGUGUUUGGUUGUAAGCCUGAUGCUUUUACAUACACCACUUUGGUUAAUGGAUUGUGUCGAACCGGCCACUUUGAUUAAGCCUGAUGCUUGGGAACUGUUUCAAAGUUUGUCUCGUGUAGGCCUAUUGCCAAAUGUUGUAACAUAUAAUAUCAUGAUCCAUGGGCUUUGUAAUGAUGGGCAAAUGGACAAGGCACAUGAUUUGUUUCUUGAUAUGGAAGCAAAAGGUGUGGAACCCAAUUGUGUCAUAUUUAAUACGAUUAUGCUGGGUUUCAUCCGCAAUAAUGAGACAUCAAAAGUUAAUGAACUCCUUCAGCGAAUGGAUAAUAGAAAUGUAAUGCCAGACGCAUCUACACUUUCAAUUGCUGUGCACUUACUUGUAAAGAAUGAAAUUAGCUUAAACUCGAUUCCACAAUUCAAGAGUCAAAGGUAAGUGAGUUUAAUACUCAUUUAGCCGCAUGUUUCUUCUGCCUGAAAACCCAAUCUGGAGGAUCCUAUUCUUAUUACAUGUAAAGGAGUGUUGUCUAAUGUUGGCAUGUUCCUAGGUUCUGUCCAUGGAUUCUGUUUGCAGACAUGGCUAACUUCUUGUUCAACAGAAAGUUUUAAAGUCUUUCAACUUUAUGUUGUAAAAUAACUUUUUUAUUAUUCAAUUCAUGAGUUUUUCUUCUAUAACACAUCCUUCUCAUUAGCUGGAAGUGCAAAUUUUUUAGGCUUUUCCUGUAUGGCCUCUUUUUCUGCUCUAAAUAAAAUGGCAUUUUAUUUCCCUCCUGUGAGGGUACAACGUUUAUGUUUAAAUUUUCUGUUAGUUAAAUUGGCUGUCUUUGAUAUAGGGAACUUCCAGUUGUACUGAUUUGUAAUUCGAGUAUAUGAGAUUACCAACUGUAAUGGGAAUUGAUGCCAAAUUAAUUAUGUCAUCGGGUUUUUCAAUCAGUGUUCAUCAUUUAUUUCUGUUAACAAUUAAUAGCACAGCUUGUCUUCGCAGCUUCAUUGGUUCCUCUCAAAAAUAAUCUUGUAAAGACAAUUUUUGUUUUUUGGCAUGUUAAAUGCUAGAUUGUUUGUGUGUAUUGGUAUUUGUUAUACUAUGUAUUGGCAAGACAGUUUCUUGAAACUGACAAACUUUUCUCUAUGAAGAUUGAAGACAAUAUGAUAAGAUAAACUUUAACAAAAGCAUAGAUGCUUGCCAGCGCUGGACCUUUGAUUAAUAGUCCUCGCCUUUCGUUCUUGUUUCAUAUUCUUCUGCUAACAAAUCUUGAUCAUGAUUGUCUUCUCUUUUCUUUGCAACCCACAUAUAAAGUCUCGGCCAUAAGCCUCGAGGCCUAUUCUCUUUUGUAAAGGUGAGUUGAAGAAACAGCAAGGGACUCCAAAGCAAAUGGUGUAGAGCACCUUUCACUUAUCACGGGCACAGGAUUACUCUGACUUUCUGCAUUUUACUGUUGGCUAUGGUUUGAUGCAUUAUUUAUUGUUCUGAAAUACCAUUCUCGUUGGAAGUUCAAUCAUUACUGUUUCUUUUUUCCCCCCUUUUUACUUGAAGUUACCUGAACUUCCAUGCAUGCUCCAAUAGAACGAGUAAUGUAAUGUAGGUGUUGACCAACUCCAAAUAAGUAGUUAGUUGCCUAGUAGUUGGAAUAAAAUUCUCAAUGAUUGCGAGCCUCGAUAGCUUUAGGAUGAACCAGACCAUCAUGAAUUCUGGUGCAUCUUUUAAGGUCCAAUUUCUCCAAGUUUAUCAUCAAGCUAAAAAAUGCCCUAAUUCCUUUUCCAGUAUUUUCAUAAUGCGUUUACUAAAUUGGAACUGAAAUGAACUAGAAUAAAAACAGAAAAUGUAAAUUAGAAUAAAUUAUUUACUUGAAUUGUAGGAAUUAGAAUCGGAAUAAGCUGGAUUGUUAUUGAUGUGUCAACUUUGUCUUGGAAUCAAAAUAGAAAUGAGUUACAUUUUAACAACUUACUAAAAAGUACUUAACGAACUAUUGUCAUCAUUAUUAUUUUAUAUUUUAAUUAUGGUGAUUAUUUAUUCAAAAAUUAUUAUUAUUAAUUAUUUUUAAUAAUAUAUUAAUAUACUAAUUAAUUGAAAAAAAAAUUAAAUUAAUUAAUUGUUAAUAUAUUAAUUGAUUAAUUAUAAUAAUACAUUAAUUAAUUAUAACUAAAGACAAAACAUACAUUUUUUUAUUCUGUAACAGGGCAAAAUGGUCAUUCCAAAGAAUGUGAGUUAAAUUGUUUAAUUUAAUUUAUAUCUGUUGUAAUAUAUAGCUUAAUUAUAGUGUAAAAACAAUGACAAUGUAAUUUUUUUUUUAAUGCUAAUACUAAAACUUUAUCAUCAUGCAAUUUUUUAUAAUUACUAUUUUUUAAUUAUUUAUGGUAUAUUUGUUUAUUAAUUAAAUAAACUAUUAUUUUUUUAACUAUGACAUAAAUGUUUAGUAAAAACUAUUUAUGAAAUAGUACUACCGAAAACAUAUUCUUUAUUUUUAUUUUUUUCAAUUAUGUCUACCGAACACAUAUUACUAAUUUCAAUUUUAAAAUAUAGAAUAUAGAAAAUGAUACCAGACGCAUAUUUAAAAUCAAAAUACACCAAUUGUAAAAUUUCAUUUUCAUUUUCAUUUUCAUUUUUUUUUCAGAAAAUGCUAAUUCAGAAACAAUACCGACCAUAAACUUAUUUUUGGUAUGAAUAAUGUUGUGCUACUUUUAUAGAACUUACAUGCAACCUCAAAUUUAUUAGAAGUAUCAACUGAAACCCCUUUUACCAAGUUAUUACAACUAUAUUUACUUCUUGAAGUGGGAGUGAGAAAUGUGGAUUCCUCAUACUCCAGUGAUUACUUGUAUAUUUUAAGGGAUGUGAGAAUUCCACUCCAUGGGUUCCACCCAUUUUUUGAGUUUAUUAUUUUAUAAAAUUUCAUUUAUUAAAAAGAACAAUAUCAAUCUCGUUUAAAUAAAAUAUUAUUAUAUUUAUUUGAGAUUAAUGAUUAAUAAUAAAUAGUUUAUUCUAAGAAAAUAUUAAUUUUCUACUAUGUUAGUAAUAAUAAUGUUUCAUUUCUAUUGCUCUCAUCAAUAGUUUUUAAUUUAGAUAAUUAAAUUAAAACUAACAAAAAAUUAUUAUUUACAUAAUUAAUAAUAUUAAUAAUUAUUGUUAAUUUAAAAAUAUAAUGAAAUAAAUAUUUUAUUUUUCAAAUAUAUUUUUUUAUUAAUUUUUAAUUAAAAACUAUAAUUUUUUAAAUAAGGAUAAAACUGUAAUCUGAAACUACUUACUCUUGAUCCGAGACAAAGUAAACAUGUAAAUUGAAUUUUAAUUCCAAUUCCAUACUCCUAUUCUAGUGUAAGUAAACAAUCUACUCUCAUUCUACACUCCCAAUCUCAGGAUUCACACUUCUCAGGAUUCUCACUCUAUUCGAAAAUGUAAACGCUAACAAAAUGUAGACCAGACAUAGGUGUAUAUAUAUAUAUAUUCUUAAUCAAACAUCAAAUAAAAUUCUUAAUUAAGUAAACCAUAAGGUGAUUGCGCAUAAAAAAUAAUAAUAAUAUUAAUUUUCAUAAGAAUUUAUGCUCGUAGUAUUUCAUUACUUUUUAUUAACCGUUGCUUCAACUUAUGGUGGGUAUUAAGAGAACAAUAAUAAUAGAGUUAUAAACGGUUGCAUACUAUCAAUUAAAUUAACACUAUAAUUUGGUUUACCAUACAAAUCCUUAAUAUCAUAAAUAAUUAAAUUAUUGGGGUUUUAAAAUGCAGACUUGCCAUGGCUCCUAUAAGUAAUAUCAGCCGCACUCUUUGUUAUUGGUAAAAAAAAUUUCUAGGUACAAUUUGUGAAUUUGUACAACGUGCGGUAUUAAACAUUUGAAGCAUGAACUGACAAUGUUGUGUCAAUAAUAAAGAAAAGAAAACGAAUUGUAUAAUACACAGGUGUUCUAGUGUAACUUGGAUUCUUUUUCUUUAUAAGUGCACCUAUUAUGUGAUUUUUUUUUGAAAAAAGAAAAAGAAAAAAAGAACUCUUGAGAUUUUAAAAUUUUGUAAUUGCACUAUCUUUAGAUUGUCAGGAGAUUUUCUCUCCUUAAAGAUGCCCUUAAUCCAUAAACGGUCCAAAAAAUAAUUCAUAAAAUGAAUUGAUUAUUUUAGAUAAGUUUCAAGAAUGCACACCUUUUAUAACUCCAUAUUGCAUAACUCCUCAUUUCACUCAAUGGAUGCAUUUGUUCACUUUUUCUUUCUUGUAAAUUUUUGAAUGGCCGUAAUUCUAUAGAUUAUUAGUUAAGUGUUAUUAUUAUCAUUUUUUUGUUGAUGCAUAUGUGGGGUGGGGCCGAUUGGGGGGCAUGGAUCUCAAUACAGCAGAGGGCCAAAAUAUUUAUUCUUUAAGAGGAACCACAACCAACAACAAUGCCUUAAGUUCCAUUCCAUGUUACUUCUGUGCACUAGAUUGCAUAAACAACAUUAUCCAAGGUCAAAGUCUCUCAAAGACUUUGGUUACAAGACAAAGCAUGGGAUUGCAGCCAAAAAUUUCUUGUAGUGAAAGGCUCAUAAACUGAUGACAAUUGUCGGAUUGUUUUGGGCCUCAAUAGUUUUAAUAUUAUUCUCUUAAAAAUAUAUAUAUUGAUUAGAGAUGAGAGGAAGAAGAUGAUAUGAUUUAGCCAGCUGUACAAGAAAGAGUACGCAGUGGAGUCUAGAUUUUGAUUUCUCUUGUUAAAUUAUUUUCAAUUUACUACAAGGUAGAAUAAAUUGCAUUCUUAAAAAAUACUUUGAACAUCAUAUUUUUGUAUUACAAAUAUACCAAAAAUUAAAUUACUUUUUUUUUUAUCAGUAUAAACUAAAAUUUGCCUGAAUCCUCAUCUUUGUAAGUGGAAUUCUAUUAUGAAACUAAUAGUCCUUCCUAGUGCUAACUGUCACUUUGAACAUGUGUCAUCUCUAACAACAACUUCCAGACCUGCAGCUAGCUGCUUUUUAGCAUUAGAAGUAGCAUCCACAUUGGCUUUCAACUAGCCAUAAUUCGGAGGAGGGGACCAUUGUUUCUGUUUGUCAGUUUUCUUCCUUGAAGCAUACGCCAUAAUUAGGAGGAGGGCAAGCUUCCAAAUAGCAUUUCGAAUGGUAUUUUGAAAAUCUUCCACCCUUUUGGUUAAAAAAAAUAAAAACCUUAUUUCUAGUUCUUUCUUAACAAUCUUAUCACUUUAAGUUUUCCUCUUAAGUAGGAACAUCAUAUAUAUUAAUUUGUUCUUAAUACAAAUAAAACUAAAUAUUUAUGACUUAAAAGAUAGGUAUUGAAUGGCAGGCGUCUCACUCAAUAUAUAUAUAUAUAUAUAUAUAUUUAAAAGCAAUGGUGAUAUCAUCAUUUUUUGUACUGAUAUGAAAAUAUCACACUAGAUUUUUUUCUCGCAUUACAAAAAGUUUGAAUUCAAGAAUAAAUAAGCAAUAUCAAGAACAAUUUUUACAAAACGCCUCCAGGACAUGCCAUAUGAAUUUGUGAUACGAAAAAUAGUAUACUAGUCACUGGAUCUUCUUUUCCUCAUUAGGAAAAAUUAGAAAUGCAAUCUAAAUUGAUAUCAAUAACUAAUUUUAUAGUGAAUGGGUCUUGCACGAAAACAAGAAAUUUUUUUAUAAUAUAAGAAAUUAUUAGUCAUUUAUCCUAAAUUUAUUUUGUCUCAAAAAAUACUACAAAAACUUUAACUUGCUUUGUUUUUUUACCUUAAUUUAUAAUUUGUAUCAGUCACUCUCUAAAACGAUAGAAUCACUUCAUAAAAUGACAAAAUAAAAAUAAAUACAAAUGACAAAACCGGUUCAUUUUAUAAGGAUAAUUCAAUCCGUUUGGCUUCAAAUUACAAAUUAAAUUAUUUCAAAUAUUAUAAAUUAUUUUUAUACUGGGUGAUGGACCUAAUCAUUUUAAUACUUAUGACAAUUUAAUCUAUCUAAAUAUAAAAUUUUGAGUAGACUUAUGUUUGAGUAGGAGGAUAAUGUAAGAAAAUUUGGCACUUUUAUUCAACUGAAGAAAUUUUACAAUUUAAAUUAAAAACGAUAAAAUUUAAUAAUUAACUAUUAUUUGAACUAAUUGAAUCGUGCGCCAUCAUUUGUGUAAUGUAUCCUAUUGCAAAAUAAACGGCAGGAUGCGGUUUGCGUUAAUGUAUCCUAUUUUGGUAAUUCUCUUCUUCUUCUUCAACCCCAAAUAAUCAAAAGCUCUCCAAUGGCUUUCGUAUCCUCAACUCGUUCAUUUCAUUUUACUACAAUUUCAAUAUCAGCUCUUAGUUGUAAUUUCUCCUCUUCGUUCCCUCAUACCAGAAAACUCACAUCUUCAAUUUCGGAAAAUGAACCCUCAUAUCCGACUACAACAGCUAAACUGAAGGAGUCGCUACGACUGACAGUCAAAGACCGAGCCUCACUAGAAAAUUUCCUCAGAGAAAGGUUCAAAUCAUCAGGUGAAGGUGAUAUUACUACUAUUACUCCUAAUGAAGCCUUUUGUAUCUUUGAUUACAUGCUCAAUAUGCGCCCUUCUCCGCCUCCUGUCUGUUCCUUCAAUAUUUUGUUUGGUUGUCUCGCUAAGAAUAAACAUUAUGAUACUGUCCUUUCACUCUUCAAGAGACUCAAUUCAACUGGGUUGUUUCCAGAUCUUUAUACUUACAAUAUCUUGAUUAACUGCUUUUGCAAAAUGGGUCGAGUUUCUCAUGGUUUUGUUGUUCUUGGGAGAAUCCUCAGGUCUUGUUUUACUCCAAAUGCUGUGACCUUUACUUCUUUGAUUAAAGGUUUGUGUGCGGAGAGUAGAAUCAUGGAGGCUGCCGCAUUGUUUACGAAACUUAGAGUGUUUGGUUGUGAGCCUAAUGUUUUUACAUACAAUACUUUGAUUAAUGGAUUGUGUCGAACUGGCCAUACAAUUGUUGCUCUAAAUUUAUUUGAAGAGAUGGCUAGUGGAAAUGGGGAAUUUGGUGUUGUUUGUAAGCCAGAUGCUAUUACAUACAGUACUAUUAUAGAUGGUCUUUGUAAGGAAGGUUUUGUGGACAAGGCCAAGGAACUGUUUCUGCAGAUGAAGUAUGAGAAUAUUAACCCGGAUGUGGUUACCUAUACCUCUGUGAUUCGUGGUUUUUGUUAUGCUAAUGAUUGGAAUGAGGCCAAGUGUUUGCUAAUUGAGAUGAUGGACCAAGGGGUACAGCCCAAUGUUGUGACUUUCAAUGUGAUCAUGGAUGAGCUCUGCAAGAAUGGAAAGAUGGAUGAGGCAAGUCGGUUGUUGGACCUGAUGAUUCAGAUUGGUGUGCGUCCAAAUGCUUUUGUCUAUAACACAUUAAUGGACGGGUUUUGCUUGACAGGUAGAGUUAAUCGUGCGAAGGAACUAUUUGUUUCUAUGGAGAGUAUGGGUUGCACACAUACUGUUUUUAGUUACAGUAUUUUGAUAAAUGGUUACUGCAAGAAUAAGGAAAUAGAGGGAGCGUUAAGCCUUUAUGGAGAAAUGCUCUCUAAAGGAAUUAAGCCAGAUGUUGUUAUAUAUAACACCUUGUUUGUUGUCCUUUUUGAAAUACACCAGGUUGAGCGUGCUUUCAAGCUGUUUGAUGAGAUGCAACGUGAUGGCGUGGCAGCUGAUACCUGGACAUAUAGAACCUUUAUUGAUGGGCUCUGCAAGAAUAGUUAUAUCGUAGAGGCAGUUGAACUAUUUCGCACUUUGAGAAUUCUCAAGUGUGAACUUGAUAUUCGAGCCUACAACUGCCUCAUUGAUGGAUUAUGUAAAUCCGGCAGACUCGAAAUUGCAUGGGAACUAUUUUGUAGUUUGCCUCGUGGAGUCCUAAUAGCAGAUGUUGUAACCUAUAACAUCAUGAUCCAUGGGCUUUGUAACGAUGGGAAAAUGGACAAGGCGCAUGAUUUGUUUCUUGAUAUGGAAGCAAAAGGUGUAGCACCCGAUUGUGUCACAUUUAAUACGCUGAUGCUAGGUUGCAUCCGCAAUAAUGAGACAUCAAAAGUUGUUGAACUCCUUCACAGAAUGGAUGAGAGAAAUGUAAUACCAGAUGCAUCUACACUUUCAAUUGUUGUGGACUUGCUUGUAAAGAAUGAAAUUAGCUUAAACUCCAUUCCACAAUUCAAGAGUCAAAGGUAAGUGAGUUUAAUAAUGAUUUAGUCGCAUGUUUCUUCUGCCUGAAAACUCAAUGUGGAGGAUCCUAUUCUUAUUACAACAUGUAAAGGAGUGUUGUCUAAUGUUGGCAUGUUCCUAGGUUCUGUCCAUGGAUUCUGUUUGCAGACAUGGCUAACUUCUUGUUCAACAGAUAAGUUUUAAAGUCUUUCAACUUUAUGUUGUAAAAUAACUUUCUUAUUAUUCAAUUCAUGAGUUUUCCUUCUGUAACACAUACUUCUCAUUAGAUGGAAGUGCAAAUUUUUUAGGCUUUUCCCGUAUGGCCUCUUUUUCUGCUCUAAAUAAAAUGGCAUUUUAUUUCCCUCCUGUGAGGGUACAAGGUUUAUGUAUAAACUUUCUGUUAGUUAAAUUGGUUGUCUUUGAUAUAGGGAACUUCCAGUUGAGCUGAUUUGUAAUUCGAGUAUAUGAGAUUACCAACUGUAUUGGGAAUUAAUGCCAAAUUAAUUAUGUCAUCAGGUUUUUCAAUCAUUGUUCAUCAUUUAUUUCUGUUAACAAUUAAUAGCACAGCUUGUCUUCUCAGCUUCAUUGGUUCCUCUAAAAAAUAAUCUUGUAAAGACAAUUUUUUUUUUUUGGCAUGGUAAAUGCUAGAUUGUUUGUGGUAAAUACAAAAUUGAUACAAUCAACUUGUAUGAUAAGUUUUAAAAGUUUAUUCAUAUUUAUAUUACAUAAUUAAAAGUUCAUUCAUAUUUAUAUGAGAUAUCUAUUUUAGGACACAGUUUAAUAAUCAUGGAAACUAACCAUUUAAUAACAAUUAUGGUCGUUUAACCUAUCUAAACAUGAAAUUGUCAGCUGGCUUAUCUUUGAGUAGGAGGAUAAUGUAAGAAAAUUAAUAUUUUAAUGUACAAUUUGUAUGCCAAGCGAAAAAUUUCACAAUUUAAAUUAGAAAAAAUAAAAUUUAAUAGUUAAAUAUUAUUUGAGCCAAUUGACUAGUGGGACAUUAUUUGUUACUGUCCAAAAAGCAUAACAUUAUUUUGAUAAAUGGUUACUGCAAGAAUAAGGAAAUAGAGGAAGCGUUAAGCCUUUAUAGCGAAAUGCUCUCUAAAGGAAUAAAGCCAACAGUUGUUACAUAUAACACCUUGUUUCUUGGUCUUUUUGAAAUACACCAAGUUGAGCGUGCUUUAAAACUGUUUGAUGAGAUGCAGCGCAAUGGUGUGGUUGCUGAUACCUCUACGUAUAAUACCUUUACUGACGGGCUCUGCAAGAAUGGUUAUAUCGUAGAGGCAGUUGAACUAUUUCGUACUUUGAGAAUUCUAAAGUAUGAACUGUGGUGUCCAAUUUCAUCACAUUUGGUACGCUUAUCCAUGGUUUUAUCCGAAUCAAUGAGCCAUCAGAAGUUAUUCAACUUCUUCACAUGAUGAAGGAGAAAAAAGUAAUGCCAGAUGCGUCUACAGUUUCAAUCGUUGUCGACUUACUUGUAAAGAAUGAAAUUAGUCUGAACUCACUUCCGUCAUUUCCUGUCCAAGAGCGACAGGGGGAAGUUGAUGAGUCAAAUGUCAAGUUGUAGCAGCAUGUCCUGUCCAUUGCUUCAAUCCUAAAUGCUUUGAUCUACCUGAAAAGUAUACAAAUAUCGGAGUUAAAACAGAGCAGAUUAAAUCGUAUUGAUGAACUCAACUGAGAUAAAUGACAAAAGAAAACUAACUUUUCCUGUUCAAAGCUCGCACACCUUCCUUUAAGAGCUGACUUUCCAAGAAGAGAUCACCACAAUCGUUCACAUCAACAGUCCACUUGAAAUUUUUUAUAACCACAAUAGUCAUUCCAUUCAAACCACAUCCUUGAGAUCAGUUCCUUCUUCAAGCAAGUGGGAUGGUCUUCCUCUUGAGGAGACUCAGCAGCAACCAAUCAAAGCACAAUAAAGGUAACAUCCAGAAUAAUGAUCCAAAUUUUUGUGGACUUACAUGCAAAGAAUGAAAUUGGUUUAAACUCGAUUCCACAAUUCAAGAGUUAAUGAGUUUAUCUUGAUUCAGUAGCGUGUCUCUUCUGCUUUAAAACCAGAUCUGGGGAAUCCCAUUCUUAUUACAACAUGUGAAGGAGUGUUUGUGUAUUGUUGGCAUGUUCCCAGGUUCUGUUCACGGAUUCUGUUUGCAGACAUGGCUAACUCCUCGUUUCAUCAGAUAAGUUUCAAAGUCUGGCAACUUUUUGUUGUAAAAAUAACUAUUUCAUUAUUCAAUUCAUGAGUUUUCCUUCUAUGGUGCAUCUUUCUCAUUAGCUGUAGUUUCAAAAUUUUUAGGCUCUUCCUGCAUGACCUCUUUUUCUUCUCUAAAUAGAUAAAAUUUGUUUUUCAUUUUUCUCUUGCGAGGGUACAGGUUCAUGUUGAAACUUUCUGUUAGUUAAAUUGAUUGUCUUUGAUAUUCGAACUUCUAGCUGAACUAGUUUGCACUUCGAAUAUAUGAGAUUACCAACUGUAACGGGAAUUGGUGCCAAAUUGAUUAUGUUAUCAGGUUUCCCAGUCUGUGUUCAUCUUGUCUUCUCUGCUUCUUUGGCUCCUGUCAAAUAUAAACUUGUAAAGACAUUUUGUUUUGGCAUGGCACAUGCUAGAUUUUGUUUUUGGUUUGAAUGAUAUUAGACAUCUAAGUAAUUGUCCAAAUUUUUUCGUUCCUAGUGACAAGGCAUUCAAUUGAAAUGGUGACUCAUGAAUCAUGAUUGUGUAUGUUGGUAUUUGUUAUACUACGCGUUAGACAAACUUUGUUGAAACUGACAUACUUUUCUCUAUGGAGAUUGAAGACAACAUAAUAAGAUAAAAUUUAUCCAAAACAUAUAUACUUGAAAGGGCUGGAACGUCUGUUAUUAGUCCUCGCCUUCCAUUCUUGUUUCGUAUUCUUCUGCUAACAAAUCUUGAUCAUGAUAGUCUUCUCUUUCUAUACAACCCACAUAUAAAGUCUUGGCCAUAAGCCUCGAGGCCUAUUCUCUUUUGCAGUGGUGAGUUCACUCUCAGGAAUCGGAUCCUUCAAAUUCGAGCGAAUUUGAAGAAACUGCAAAAGCCUACAAAGCAAAUGGUGUAGAGAACCUUUUACUUAUCACGGGCACAGGAUUACUGACUUUCUGCAUUUUACAGUUGGCUAUGGUUUGAUGCAUUAUUUAUUGUUCUCAAAUUAUAUUCUCGUUGGAAGUUCAAUCAUUACUGUUUCUUUUUUCCCCCUCUUUUUACUUGAAGUUACCUGAAGUUCCAUGCAUGCUCCAAUCGAACAAGUAACGUAGGUGCUGACCAACUCAAAAUAAGUAGUCAGUUGCCUAGUGGUUGCUUUGCAUGAAAUUUGUUUUUGGUAUGAAUAAUGUUGUCUUAAUUUUACAAGCUUCCAUGCAACUCCUAAUUUGUUGGAAGCAUUAACUCAACCCGUCAUUUAAGGUUAGAUUUAACCAUUGACUUAUGUUGACUAUUAAAAGUACUAUAAUAUUUUUAUAUUUUAUAAAUAUAACGAAACCUCACUUUAUUAACAAAUAUAAUUUAAAAUAUAAAAAAUCAAUAAUAAAAAAUAACUAAAGUUGAAAUCCAAGGAGCAACUUCUAUCCUCUAACCAAGUUAUUAAAUAUUAGAAUAGAUAGAGGCAUAUACUUUUCUUCAUGAUUCAGAAUCAUAUCUCAAAGUCAAAUAAAAUUCUCAAUGAUUGCAGGCCUCAAUACCAUUAAGAUGAACUAGACCAUCAUGAAUUUUUGUGCAUCUUGCAAGGUCCAAUUUCUCCAAGUUUAUGAUCAAGCCAAAAAAUGUCAUAAUUCCUUUUAUAGUAAUUUCAUAGUGUUUACUAAACAAUAAUAGAAAUGGACUGAAAGACAAAUAGGGAAUGCAAAUUAGAAUAGGGAUGGCAAUGGGGAGGGGGGAGGGGACCAACAUCCCUGUACCCAUUCCUGAUGUUUUGUAUAUAUCCUUAUCCCCUUCCCGUCCCCAUCAGAAUUGCUUAAGGGGAUUCUCGUCCCCUCUCUAAAUAAUAACAAGGAAUCCCCAAGGGUCCCCGAUCCCCAAAUAACUGAUAUAUUUGUUUAGUUUUCAAACUUAAUUUAAUCAUAUUAACCUAAAAAUAUAUAAAAUAAAAUGAAAAUGAUCAUGAAUGGGCCUUAUAUUUCAUUCUACUCUUUCAAACUUUUGAUAUAUAUAAUAUUCAAAUAAUGAUUUUCAAAACAAAAUUCAAAUAAUGUGAUUUUUAUACAAUAUUGACGUGAUUGUUGUCCAUGAGUAAUGAUACCUGCUGAUGACCGACUAUGAUGCAACAAAGCCGCAUAUGUGGCUGCUAGUUGGCGUUGCGAUGAGUUAGGCUACUCGGCCACUGACAACACAACGUGCUACUGAGUUAUGAUGAGAUGAAGACGAGUUGAGUGCUUACUACUGCAUGAAUAUUUUGGAAAUGAUGAGCAAGACUGUGAGAAAGUGAUUUAGAGUUUGAUUUGUGAGUUAUGAGCUUGUGGUUGUAAUUAAGUCUAAAUUAUAUUAAACAUUUUAUAUUAACUAAUAUUUAUAUUAUUUGUAUAAAUAUUUUGAUAUUUGUUAUUUACACCAAUAUUUUAUAUUUUACAAUUUAAAAUUUAUUAUUUAUUGACUAAUAAUUCUAGAAAAAUAAAAAAAAAUAUUAAAAUAGAGAAAUGGGGAGGGGACGGGGAUUACACCUCAUCCCCAUCCCUUCCAUGAAUAAGUAAUUGGGUAAAAAAUCAUCAUCGUCCCUUCCCCGAAUAAGAAGUUUGGUAUAAAAUCGUACAUGUACCCUCACCAAAUGGGAAAAAUCCCCAAGAGCCCCCAUCCCCAUCGGGAUUUCUGCUAUUCCUAAAUUAGAAUAAAUUAUUUAUUUGAACUGUAGGAAUCAGAAUCAAAAUAAGUUGGAUUAUCAUUUAUGUGUCUAUUUUGUCUUGGAAUUAAAAUCAAAAUGAUUUACAUUUUAACAACUUACUAAAAAGUGCUUAAUGAGCUAUUGUCAUAAUUAUUAUUUUAUAUUUUAAUUAUGGUAAUUAUUUAUUCAAAAAUUAUAAUAAUUAUUAUUGUUAAUAAUAUAUUCAUAUAUUAAUUAAUUGAAAAUUAUUUAAAUUAAUUAAUUAUUAAUAGAUUAAUUAUAAUAAUACAUUAAUUAAUUAUAACUGAGGAUAAAAUAUAUAUUUUUUAUUUUGUGAGGGGAUAAAAUGGUCAUUUCAAGGAAUGCGAGAGUCAUUCCUGCCUCCCUUGAGAAUUAAUCUUCCAUUUGUCAUUCCCAAAUUGCUGUGGACUCAACGAUUUUCAAUUCCGAUUCUUGACUCUAUUUUGUGAAGUAAAUGCUCUCAAUAAUUUCGAUUCCUCAAUCCGAAGAAGUAAAUGCACAGGUACUGUUUCUUCUAAAGCUCAAACUUGUCAGGUUUGAGAGACCUGAUAGAUACUUCAGUCAUGCAUCUAAUCCAUCAUAAGACAAACUGAAAGUUAGAAAUAAAAGGGACAACUCAAGGAAAAUGCACACAAGUGAGGUUUCAAAAUUAAAAUAGACACUUCAGCUGCAAAUCAGCAUACAUAUACAAUGGAGGUCAUACAAAUAUCAUUUCUACAACCGCCCUACUGUAUUCUUGAAUGAAGAUUGGUUUAGAGUCAAGUAAUAAGAUAUUUAAACUCAAGACAAAAAAAUACAAUAAAAUUUGCUGGAACUUAUAAGUAACUUACUCUCAUCUCUCCUCCUAAUUUAAUUGGACAUGCGUAAAUUUUCCAUGUUACUAUGGAUGAAAUAAAUUUUCUUUUUAUAAUAUAUGUAUGCAUUAAAAAAAAUUAAUAAUAAUAACUUUUACAAGCAUUUAUGCUUGUAUUAAUACUCUACUUUUUACCACACGAUUGCUUCAGUAAAUGGUGGAUGUUAAGAGAACAAUAAUAAUAGAAUUACAAACAAUUGCAUACUAUUAACUAACUUAACACUAUAAUAUUGUUUAUGGUGUAAGCACUCGAGGUAAUGUUAAUAUGCCAAAGAUUUAAAAAUAUUAGUUGUAGCUUUUGAAGAAAAAUAUACUUUCAGUUAGAAGGAAAAAAAAAAAAAGAAGAAGCUUUCUAACAAGAUAUCAAAAUGGUUAAUAAAAAGAGCAGUAGUAAUGUUACGAGGGGGUUCAAAUGGAGGGGCACGGGAAUUUCCAAAUUUGUAUCCAUUAAAUUUACCAAAAAAAAAAGAGAUUGGAUUGUUUUUUACAUAUUCUUAAUGUCACUUACUUGUUAUUUUUUUAAAUAUCAAACUUGUCAACUCUUAGGGGAAACAGGUAUUGGGGAAACAUGUAUUUAAGGGACUUUGUGCGGCUAAUUCUCAUCAUUCGCUACUCUAAACUUUAUUUUACAGAUUUGCGCAUCAUUUAUAACAUUUAAUUAAAUACACUUAAAUUAUAUAGAUUCAACGGUUCAACCUUCAUAUAUCACAUGAAGAGAAUACUGAAUUUUUAACAUCUCUCAUCAAGAGAUUGUACUGUGUUUACUCAAUUAGAUACUAAGUUUAUAUUCCAACUAAUGUCUUAAUAGUAUUUGAAUUAAAAAUGAUAAAACUUAAUAAUUAAUUAUUGCUUAAGUCAAUUAAAUAGUAUCAUAUCAUUUGUUUUAAAAAAAAAAAUCUUUGUUGUUUCAAGAUUAUUAAUCCUUUUUCAUUUAUUUAUUAUCAUUACUAUCUGCAACUAAUCAUAAUGAUUUGCAUCAACAUGUGAUUGUUUUUUUGACUCCAAGAACAGCUUGUCAAUAACAUGAAGUUUAUUUCUGACCGCCAAAGACCGAUACUCACUGGACAAAUUCCUAAAAGAAAGAUUCAAAUUCCAAUGUCUUAUACUUAUUUGAUUUGCAGUUCUUGUUAUGCUAAUGACUAGAAUGAGGCAAAGUGUUUUUUAAUUGAGAUGAUGGAUCUAAGGGUGCAGCAUGAUGUUGUGAUUUUCAAUGUUGACCAUAUAUGAGCUUUGUGAAAAUAGAAAGAUAGAAGAAGCAUGUAGGUUUUUAGAAUCGCAUCAAUGGAUGGGUUUUGCUUGACCUAGGGAACUAUUUGUUUCUGUGGAGAAUAAAGGGUGCAGAAAUGAUGUUGCUAAAUACAACAAGUUGAUAAAUGGGUAAUGCAAAAAGAAAGAAGUAGAGGAAGCGUUAGGCCUUUAUAGCGAAAAGCUUUCUAAAAGAAUUCUCCUAGAAUAUGUUGGGGGGAUGGAGCAGCUGCCCCCAUCGUACCCUAAGCCAACAGACUCAAAAUUGGAUGGGAACUUUUUUCAUUGAUUAUUUCACGAACGCCCGAUUCCAAAUAUGUAACAUACAACAUCAUGAUUCAUGGGCUUUGUAACAAUGGGCAAAUGGAUACGGAAGCAAGGCGUACGACGCCCAGUUGUGUCAUGUUUACUAAGCUUAUGCGAAAGAAUGACACAUCAAAAGCUAUUGAACUUCCUCACUCAAUGGAUAAGAGAAAUGUAAUGCGGGAUGCAUCUACACUUGCAACUGUUGUGGACUUUCUUUUAAAGAAUGAUAUCCGUUUAAACUCGAUUCCAGAAUUCAAAAGCCAAAAUUGAAUAUUGAUUUAGUAGCAUGUUUUUCUGCCUGCUGAAAAUCGGAUAUGGAGGAUCCGUUUCAUUAUACCAAAUGUGAACGAGUGUCACGUUGUGAGGGCAAUGUAAAAUCCUCGCCAUCUGGUUCGGUUCACCAAAGAAACUUCCCCAUUAAUUUCUUGAAAAAGUUAAGUUAAAACUGUAAAUGAAAGAAUCAUGAUGAUCUGUUUUGGUUUGUGAGAUGUUAGAAAGAGGCCAUUGUUAAAUAGACAUGAAUGCUGGAGAAAACUGUUAUGUUCUUUUAUUGAAUUAAGUUGAUCCUACUCGAUCUCUGCAUUUUAGAUUCCUACUUCAGAGUCGAAGAAGUGAAAGAUGGUGUGAAAAAAUUGUAUGCUUAAGUUAAUUUGAAUCCUUGUUAUUUAAUAAAAGCUAAGCUUCUUUCAAUCCGCACCUACGGUGGUCAUUUUUUUAUAUAUAUGGCGGCUAAUAAAUGGAUAAGAAAUAAUGUUUUUAAAAGACAUUUUUUUUUUCAAACACUAAAAAAGUUGCAGAAAAAAUAUUUAAAUAAUCUUGAUGUAUGUAUCUAAUAGCGUGUUUGUUAAGUGGAAAUAAAAAUGAGGGAACGAGAUACAUAAACUUAUUUACUUAUAAAGAGAGUAGGAGGAUUGAGAAUUAAAUUUGCUGGCCUCACAUCAAUUUAUGACUAACUCUUCGAUUUCUAAUUUCUAAGGGGGAUUUAGAAUCUAAAUCUCAUUUUCAAGACGGACUAUACUACCCCGCCCAAAUGUAAUAAUUUUCAUUUUGUCCUUCUUUUAAAUAUUUAAAAAAUAAAUAAAAAUCGCAUGAGUACUGUGCAAAGAUGGAUUGUUCUUGUUAUUGUUGAUGUUACUAUUACUAGCACCGCAUUACAUAUUAUUAAAUUAUUUUAAAUAUUACAAAUUAAAUUAUUUUUAAAUGAGUGAUAAAACCUGAUCAUUUAAUAACCAUGGCCAUUUAACAUAUUUAAACAUAAAAUUUCGUGUUAAAUUAUGUUUGAGUAUAAGGAUAAUGUAAGAUAAUUGGUACUUUAAUUUACAUUUAUGUGCCAACUGAAUAAAGUUCGCUAUUUAAAUUAAAUUAGAAACGGUGAAAUUCAAAAAUUAACUAUUAUUUAGCCAUUCAAACGCAGAGACAAUUUGUCACGGUUCCAAAAGCAUAGCAUCAUUGAAAGUACCGUAUCCCACUUGUAUUAAUAUUCGGAAGAAUGGAAGGAAAAGGGCAUAUGUUUCUCUUCUUCUAUUUUGGUAAUUCUUUUCUUCUUCUUCAACCCCAAAUAAUCAAAAGCUCUCCAAUGGCUUUCGUAUCCUCAACUCGUUCCUUUCAUUUUACUUCAAUUUCAAUAUCGGCUCUUAGAUGUAAUUUCUCCUCUUCGUUCCCUCAUACCGGAAAACCCAAAUCUUCAAUUUUGGAAAAUGAGCCUUCAGAUCCGACUACAACAGCUAAACUGAAGGAGUCGCUACGACUGACGGUCAAAGACCGAGCCUCACUCGAAAAAUUCCUCAAAGAAAGGUGCAAAUCAUCCGGUGAAGGUGAUAUUACUUCUAUUACUCCUAAUGAAGCCUUGUGUGUCUUUGAUUACAUGCUCAAUAUGCGCCCUUCUAGGCCUCCCGUCACUUCCUUCAAUAUUUUGUUUGGUUGUCUUGCUAAGACUAAACAUUAUGAUACUGUCCUUUCACUAUUCAAGAGACUCAAUUCCACUGGGUUGUUUCCGGAUCGUUAUACUUACAAUAUCUUGAUUAACUGCUUUUGCAAAAUGGGUCGAGUUUCUCAUGGUUUUGUUGUUCUUGGGAGAAUCCUCAGGUUUUGCUUUACUCCAGAUGCUGUGACCUUUACUUCUUUGAUUAAAGGUUUGUGUGCGGAGAGUAGAAUCAUGGAGGCCGCCGCAUUGUUUACGAAACUUAGAGUGUUUGGUUGUGAGCCUGAUGUCAUUACGUACAAUACUUUGAUUAAUGGAUUGUGUCGAACCGGCCAUACAAUUGUUGCUCUAAAUUUAUUUGAAGAGACGGCCAAUGGAAAUAGGAAAUUUGGUGUUAUUUGUAAGCCAGACGCUAUUACAUACAAUACUAUUAUAGAUGGUCUUUGUAAGGAAGGUUUUGUGGACAAGGCCAAGGAACUGUUUCUGCAGAUGAAGGAUAAGAAUAUUAACCCAGAUGUGGUUACUUAUAACUCUUUGAUUCACGGUUUUUGUUACGCUAAUGAUUGGAACGAGGCGAAUUGUUUGCUUAUUGAGAUGAUGGAUCAAGGGGUACAGCCUGAUGUUGUGACUUUCAAUGUGAUCAUGGAUGAGCUCUGCAAGAAUGGGAAGAUGGAUGAAGCAAGUAGGUUGUUGGACCUGAUGAUUCAGCGUGGUGUGCGUCCAAAUACUUUUGUCUAUAGCACAUUAAUGGACGGGUUUUGCUUGACUGGUAGAGUUAAUCAUGCGAAGGAACUAUUUGUUUCUAUGGAGAGUAUGGGUUGCAAACAUACUGUUUUUAGUUACAGUAUUUUGAUAAAUGGUUACUGCAAGAAUAAGGAAAUAGAGGGAGCGUUAACCCUUUAUAGCGAAAUGCUCUCUAAAGGAAUUAAGCCAGAUGUUGUUAUAUAUAACACCUUGUUUACUGGCCUUUUUGAAAUACACCAGGUUGAGCGUGCUUUCAAGCUGUUAGAUGAGAUGCAACGUGAUGGCGUGGCAGCUGAUACCUGGACAUAUAGAACCUUUAUUGAUGGGCUCUGCAAGAAUGGUUAUAUUGUAGAGGCAGUUGAACUAUUUCGUACUUUGAGAAUUCUCAAGUGUGAACUUGAUAUUCGAGCCUACAACUGCCUCAUUGAUGGAUUAUGUAAAUCCGGCAGACUCGAAAUUGCACGGGAACUAUUUCGUAGUUUGCCUUGUGGAGUCCUAAUAGCAGAUGUUGUAACAUAUAACAUCAUGAUCCAUGCGCUUUGUACUGAUGGGAAAAUGGACAAGGCACAUGAUUUGUUUCUUGAUAUGGAAGCAAAAGGUGUAGCACCCAAUUGUGUCACAUUUAACACGCUUAUGCUAGGUUGCAUCCGCAAUAAUGAGACAUCAAAAGUUGUUGAACUCCUUCACAGAAUGGAUGAGAGAAAUGUAAUACCAGAUGGAUCUACACUUUCAAUUGUUGUGGACUUACUUGUAAAGAAUGAAAUUAGCUUAAACUCGAUUCCACAAUUCAAGAGUCAAAGUUAAAGUGAGUUUAUAUUGAUUUAGUCUCAUGUUUCUUCUGCCUGAAAACCCGAUCUGGAGGAUCCCAUUCUUAUUACAACAUGUAAAGGAGUGUUGUCUAAUGUUGGCAUGUUCCUAGGUUCUGUCCAUGGAUUCUGUUUGCAGACAUGGCUAACUUCUUGUCCAACAGAUAAGUUUUAAAGUCUUUCAACUUUAUGUUGUAAAAUAACAUUUUUAUUAUUCAAUUCAUGAGUUUUCCUUCUGUAACACAUCCUUCUCAUUAGCUGGAAGUGCAAAUUUUUUAGGCUUUUCCUUAUGGCCUCUUUUUCUUCUCUAAAUAAAAUGGCAUUUUGUUUCCCUCCUGUGAGGUACAACGUUUAUGUUCAAACUUUCUGUUAGUUAAGUUGGUUGUCUUUGAUAUAGGGAACUUCCAGUUGAACUGAUUUGUAAUUCGAGUAUAUGAGAUUACCAACUGUAUUGGGAAUUGAUGCCAAAUUAAUUAUGUCAUCAGGUUUUUCAAUCAGCGUUCAUCAUUUAUUUCUAUUAACAGUUAAUAGCACAGCUUGUCUUCUCAGCUUCAUUGAUUCCUCUAAAAAAUAAUCUUGUAAAGACAAUUUUUUUUUUUUUUUUUGGCGUGGUAAAUGCUAGAUAGUUUGUGGUCUGAAUGAUACUAAUAAUUGCCCAAAUUGCCAUGUAACAAGGAGUGUUGCAUAGUGAUGUCAUGCUCACAGGUACCACUCAUCAACAUGGCCAACGCUUUCGAUGCAGUCAUUAUUAUGGAAAUUCAAGAGUUCUCCUCCUAAGAGGUCUCUCUCUCGUUCUCUUAAUUUCCUUAUUCUGUUUUGGAAGUAAUGUAAUGGGAAAAUAGCAUUUAAUUUCCUUGUGUGUGACAUUUUCUUCUAUAAAUGCUAUAAAAUAUCUUUUUUUUUCAUCAUUGAUAUGUAUUACACAAUCAGAAGACUACUCGUAUUUAUAUGAAACAUCUACUUUAUGGCACAGUUCAGAUUUUUAUCCUUAUAAAUAUUGGAGGGAUAUCUUUAUGUUUCUUCUGUGAUAACGUUUCUGCGUGCUGCAACCUUUUUAUUAGAUUGAUAGAAUGUGAAUACAAGGAAAUUCUGUUUGAUAAUCUCGGCAAACCAGGAUUAAUAUGAAAUGGAGCGUCAUCAACAAAUACUUAGCAUAUUGCUGACUAUGAUUUGUUCUCCUCCCCUCAUUCUUUUUGUGAGUAGAAUUGGAUUGUGAAACUUGUUAUGUCAGCACAAGUGUUCUUACAAGUUGACGUAAAAUACACUGACUUGAAAUAAUGGCAUGGUAAUUGGUAUAGAUAAGCUAGCAUGAGUAUAUUUUGUCACCAAUUUCGCCAACCGCGUCUGGGUGUGGAAAUUAUAUUGCAUUUCUAAUGUCAUUUGAAAGAAAAACUUGCAAAAUUUGUAAUUUGUUAAAUCUGAACCGUGGUUCACAUCUACUCUUCCCGAACUUGAGUCAUAUGAUUCAAUUUUUUAGUGGGCAUGGCGAGAUAGAUUUCUACCAAGCCCAACCCAUUUAUCUACCCUUUUGUAAUUUUCUAUCAUGCAUAUAUUUAUAUUUUUGUAUAGUUAAUAUCUAAUUAUUUAUGUAUUUUUAUCGAAUAACUACUAAUUAUAUUUUUCUAAAAAAUCGGCAUGAAAAGUUCAACUUAAUAUUGAAUUAAAUUUUGAUAAGUAUAUGUCAAAUGUUUGGAAUUCUUUUUCUAGUCUUCAUGAUUGAUUAAUUGGAAAAUAAAUGUGUAUGUAUUAAAAUGGUAUUGGAUAAACAUGCCCCUAUCACCCAAGUUUUCCUUUGGAUAAUUUCCUAACUUGCAAGUUGAUAUCGAUGUUUAAAAAGAACCAAAAAAAAAAAAAAAAAAAUACAUUGAAAUCUUUAUAAAUUACUUCUUGACCUAAUAGUUGACACUUUCUCACCUUAUUCUUGAGGUUGAAGGUUUGAAUUUUCUUAUGUGGAUUUUAGGUGAACUACAGAAAAACAGCUUAUAUGAGACAUUUUCAAAAUAAGUAUGAAUGUGGUACUUAUUCAUCAGAUGGACAUAUUAAUGACGUGAUAAAUUCGUGUUAUGUAAAUUUUCCAGACUGUAUAUUUAUAUUAUAAUAUUAAAUAAAUAAAUAAGAAGAAAGAAAGGAAAAUGCAGCUUCCAAAUUUUUUCAUAGAUUGGCUAUAUGCACAAACAGCAAAUCAAAACAAAAAGAAAGGAUGUGACAUGACCUUACUUCCUGUUAUCCCAGUUAUGGAAUUCAAGUCAAUCUUUGAAGUAAUGCACUUUUAUUACUCUAUGACAGAGACAGGUCCAAGUCUUUCUUCCAAAUUCAUAAUCUUCAACAUUUCUCCAACCAAUCAAGCAAGGCUAGAGAUAGGUAACAUACAUUUUGAUGUACAUUUGGCUUUUGUAUCAUCUACUUCACUAGUGAUCCAUUAAAUGGAUCCACCAUUAACGUAAAUGCUAGUUUAACUAUUGACAGUGGAGCAAGUAUGUAUGUGGUCCCUACGCACAAGCAUACACGCCCAUUAAAGCAUUUACUCUCCUCAUCAUUGGAUAUGAAUUUUGUGAACUAUAUAUCUUUUUGGGGGUUUCAUUUAUCUUUCCGGUCUCUUAUGAUCAUUCACGGCUCCUGCUGCUGCUUCUUAUUGGCUCUUUGACAUCCUCUGUCUUGUUCUUGCUGUGUGUGUCAGCCACUAGCAACUGCUUCAAGCAAUGUGAGUUUGUUGCGUGAGCUUCCGUUUUGGUUAUUUUCAAUUAUUAUUUUUGUUGAUGGGUUUGUGAUUUUGUGCUGUAUUAUUACAGGAUUACACUGUUUAUAUGGAAGAGAGAAGAUAUGAUGAGCCUUAGCUGGUUCAGGAUUCGGACCAUCAGAUUCUUUCGGAUAUUCUUGGAAGGUUUAUAUUUCAAUCUCUUUAGCCGAAUUUACCUAUUAUAUUUUUAUCAUAUAAACGCUAUGCAAAAUGUUUAUGUUAAUGUAUGGCGAAAAUUGAAAAAUGGAAAAUAAAAAUAUUUGUGCUGCUUUCACUAUUUAUCUAUGUUAAUCUGUUUGAUAAAAUGAAGUGGAUGUCAUUAUUUCCAUGCAUCAGUAAUUACAAUCCAUAUUAUGCUCUUGCUAGUCUGUGCUCCAUUUGAACAUCGCAACGAACUUAUUUACUUACAUAUAUUUUGUGCUUUCUGGUUGGAAAUUGGAAGUUUUAACCAAUUUCUGAUCAGAAACAGCCCUUUUGAGUGCUAUGGCAGAAACCGCAGACGCGGCCUAACCUUCAUUUUUAAUUUGUAUCAAUUGGUAGUUUUUUAUAACUCUCUCUUUUCCCCUCUAUCAAUAAUGAAUGGUAUUCGCUAGAGAAACCGUAAGGGGACUAAUCAUUGUGAAAAGCACUAGGUGAUAACUAGCAGUUUCAAUUUGACAGCAAAGAAGCUGCUAAGGAAUCAAUUCUCUGUACAGCCACAAGCAUGGUUUUUCUGGAUUUGCCGCAGUCUUAACAGUCUCAAGCCAAGUUAACUGCAGGUGUUAUAAUGUUGGUGAAUGAAAUCUGUUUUAGCUGUCCAAAUUUGUUUUAUUAACCAAUAUUUUCUGUUGAUACGUUUUGUAUGAUGCAUUUGUGCAGAUCACCCUGCCGUGGUCUGUAUUGUACCAAAUAGGACACUCAGUUUGCACACAACCAAAAUGUUGUGAAUGAAAUUCCUUCAAAAGGCCAUUCAGGCGCUGGAAGUUAUUUUCAGAUUCAUGGAAAUAACUAUAAUACUGGUGGCAUUUAGUUUCCAAGUGAUCUUGGUAGUUCAAUAAGUUCUAGUUCUACACUUGUUUCCAAAGGUUUUGGUUACAUGAUGGUCUGCCCGUUGAAUUACAAACUUGUGAUGAUUUGUACAAGAGGAAAAAAUGUAUUGGUUGGAAUUUUUGUUUCAUAUGAUAUAACUCUGUGAAACAGCUUUACAUUUUGUGUUCAAGUUGAACAACAUACAAUUUGAACGAAGAUUAUUCAAUCAAAUUGAAGAUUUCUGUUUGAAUAUUUUGAAUGACAAAAUUAAAUUUACUUUCAUGCAGAUGCAGUAGCAUUUAAUCAAGUUCCUUGUGCUGUUGAAACAAAAAUAUAACAUCCUUGCUUGCAUUUCAACAUGAUAUGAUGCUACUCUUUUACUGUUAACCAACACACAUACAUCAUGUAGGCCUAAUGGCAAAUGUUGUAAUAUAUAACAUCAUGAUCCAUGGGCUUUGUAAUGAUGGGCAAAUGGACAAGGCAUCAUGAUCCCCCCCCCCCUCCUUUUUUGCUAUGGAUUGUAUUUCUUUUUUUUUCUACUUUUACUUGCGUUGACAAUUUGAGCUUGCUGUCUUGUGGUCUUAGAACCUGCUAAAGUAAGCGUGUAAGCGACAGUGAAGAAGGGGAAGGGUUUACUCGUCAUUUUCUUUUUGAAAGCAAUGCGUUUUAUGCGGUGAUAUUUUUUUUAUCUACGUUGUGAAAAAAUUUGACUGAUUUUGAAGAUCCUUAAAGAUCGUCCAUCUUGGUUCUGGCAUUGUUGCAGCCUUGAAGUUUGCAAAAUGAUUCCUGCUGGAUAAAUUGAACAGCUGCCUCUUUGAUGGAUUAUGUAAAUCUGGCAGACUUGAGUUUGCAUGUGAAUUGUUUCGUAGUUUGCCUCGUCGAGUCCUCGUGGCAGAUGCUGUAACAUAUAACAUCAUGAUCCAUGGGCAUUGUGACGACGGCCGAAUGGAUAAGGCACAUGAUUUAUUUCUUGAAAUGGAAGAAAAUGCUGUGGCACCCAAUGUGAUCACAUUUGGUACGUUUAUCCAUGGUUUUAGCCAAAUCAAUGAGCCAUCAAAAGUUAUUGACCUUCUUCACAAGAUGAGGGAGAAAAAAGUAAUGCCAGAUGCAUCUAUAGUUUCAAUCGUUGUGGACUUACUUGUAAAGAAUGAAAUUAGUCUGAACUCACUUCCGUCAUUUCCUGUCCAAGAGCGACAGGGGGAAGUUGAUGAGUGAAAUGUCAAGUUGUAGCAGCAUGUGCUUUCAGCCCAAAAUCCUGAUCCGCAGCAUCUCAUUCAUGUUACAAAAUGACAUGUUGGCUGGUGACAGCAUGUUCUCUCCGGUGCUGUUAAUGGAUUCUGAUUGUUCUUGUGAUCUGGAGAGUUUCAUUCAUAUUACAGAUCCUUAUCAGGACGAGCUAGCAUAUGUGAUCACCAACUGUACAUGGUUGUUGAUGCCAAAUUAAAUUAUGGUAUCAUGUUUUUCAACUUGUUAUUUAAUAUAGUGCUUCCAUUGAACGGCCACAAGAAACUGUAGAAUCACCGUGUCUUGUUUAGAAGCUAAUGAAUUAGUUGCACCUUGUCACUUUAUUGAGACUUGAUUGUCAUUUGUGCUUUGAAUUUACAGCAUAUUUUAUCCUUGCUGUACUCUUUGCAUAAUCACUUUUGAGGGCUGCUAGUAUGUAUAAUUGAAAAACCUUAUAUAAAUUGUAAGCAUUUUUAUUUAACUUGUUGUAAACGUCCAGUAUAUGUCUCUCCUGUGAAAUGAUUCAUUCUCCAUGCUGCUAGGGCCUAGGCUUAUGACUCUCUGAAAUGAUUUACCCUCACCUGCGCACAGACAUUUAUCACAUUCGAGAAAUCUUCAAACAAUGUGAAAAAAAUGCCUCAAACACGACAUAAACUUAGUUGUUUACAUGAAAAGUGGCAGAAACUUGGUGAAAUUACCGAUUAAACUUCCAAAUAACAUUUCAAAUGGUAUUGUGAAAAAUUUCACUCUUUUGGUAAUAAAAAAGAACCUUAUUUCUAGUUCUCUAUUAACAAUCUUACCACUAAGUUCUCUCUUAAGUAAACACAUAUAUAUGUUAAUUUAUUGUUAAUAUAAACAAAACUAAAUAUUUAUAACUUAAAAGAUAAGUGUUGAAUAGAGGCGUUCUCACAGGGAAAAAAAAAAAGUAUUUAAAAAUAGUGGUGAUAUCAUAAUUUUUUAUAUUGAUACGAGAAUAUCACACUAAAUUUUUAUACCAUGUAUUGGCAAGACAAAGUUUCUUGAAACUGACAAACUUUUCUCUAUGAAGAUUGAAGACAAUAUGAUAAGAUAAAAUUUAUCAAAAGCAUAUAUGCUUGCCAGGGCUGGACCUUUGAUUUUUAGUCCUCGCCUUUCGUUCUUGUUUCAUAUUCUUCUGCUAACAAAUCUUGAUCAGGAUGAGUCUCCUUUUUUCUUUAAAAAAAACCCACACGUAAAGUCUUGGCCAUAAGCCUCAAGACCUAUUGGCUGUUGCAGUGGUGAGUUCACUCUCAGGAAUCAAAUCUUUCAAAUUCAAGCGAAUUUGAAGAAGCUCGAAUUUGAAGAAAUUUCAAAUGCCUCGUGCAGGCCUAAUGCCAAAUGUUGUAACAUAUAACAUCACGAUUCAUGGGCUUUGUAACGAUGGGCAAAUGGAUGAGGUACAUGAUAUAUUCACGCUUCUGUCUAUAACACAUUAAUGGAUGGGUUUUGCUCGACGGGUAGAGUUAACCAUGCGGAGGAACUAUUUGGUUCUGCCAUUGUUGCAGCCUUGAAGUUUGCUAAACGUUUCCUGCUGGAUAGAUUGAAAAAGUUUGUCUGGAUGGCCUGGUUUUGAAUUGAUUUUAAUAGAAAACGAGCUUCAAGCAUGUGCUCCAACUACUCUGGCAUGAGGUAAUACUAUAAUUUAUUUAUUUUUAAUGAGUGAGGCUAUAAAUCCUGAAUUCCAACUUGACAUGGCAUUAAUCUGGUGAGUGGCAGAAUAUUAAUUAAAACAAAAUCAUUUUCAACUUAACUUUCACAUCAAACAGAGGGGCUAAUAUGCUUUCCGGAUUAUGAUCCGCUGGCAAUCGGAAAGCCAAAAAAUUAAUUAUUCCAUUAUUAAUUCCAAUAGUAUCGCUGUAUCAGCUAAAAAGCACAAGAUUAAAUUGAUUUACGCACUUGCACCAUUUAUUUAAGCAUACUGUUGGUUUAGCGUUUGCUUAAAUUUGAAAGUAGAGUGUUUCCAUGCCACAGUGCCAUGACAUUGGUGAUUGGCCAACAGUUUUUUUUUUUUUUUUUUUUGUGUAAUCUUUUUUGGUUGCAGUAAUAAAAUGUUAAUCCUUUCUUCUCAUGAAUGUUUUCUUGAACUGAAAUGUUAAUCAUUUCUUCAUGUUGAGGCAUUAAACUACUACAGACCUAGGGUGGCAAUAUAUGGAAGUAAAUGGUCGUUUAGUAGGACCCUUUAAUUAGGGUAUUAGCUGCUCAAUUUGGAGAUCUCAUGGACCAACAAUUUAUCUGGAAUGUCACAUUCACAUAUUUGAUUGAAAAAGGAAUUAAGGAAUUUCAGGUGGCCCGGAAACGCAACCAACUAUACCCGACAAUGGCAGAAGACAUUAUAGAUUAUCGAUUAUUGAGUUAAAUAUGAAUGGUGGGAUUUCAGGUGGCCUAAAAAGUUAAACAUGAAUGUUCUACAUAAGGUUAUCUGUAACUUGAAGUUCAACAAAAAGUUUUAAAACUAGAUAUUACAAUGGUGGGAUUUUGCCUUUUAUCUCUUGUUUCUCUUCCCUUAAUCGUUUCUUGGCAUGUUUUAUCAGCUCUUCCUUUGGGUCAUUUUGUAGGACGGGUUACACCAGCUAAGCACAUGGAAAGGUUAUGUAGACUGGACUCUGGAGGAAUAAACCUGCCCUGAGAGGCCGUCAUGGUGGCAUGCUUUGCUGCUUGUUUUGUCUUGGGUCGGUCUAUUUUUCCUAUUACUAAGGCACAUUUGCACCGUUAUGUCUUGCGAACGAUUAAACAUUUACACUUUAUAGUAAAAAAAAUUACAUAUUAAGAGAAAUAUUAUAUUUGCAUGCUGAUAUGAAUUAGCACUAGAAACAUGAGGCUUGCUAAUUAGAAUUGUUAUAUUGUCAAACUCAGCUGUGGAGGUACUGGAGAAUCCAGUAUAUCUGGCCAAUGCAAGCAACCUUGUGCUGUAUCUUUCAAAGUUUAUGCGUUUUUCACCAUCCAGCUCUGCAAACAUAGUUACCAAUUUCAUGGGUUCCUCUUUGCUCUACUUGGUGGCUUUUUUACGGUUGCUUUCUUCAACACCGACAGCAGCUAUGUCAUAAGUGAGCAAUAGAAUUCAUGGUAAGUUUUUUGUUAGGAUCAAACUUUUUAACUUGUUAAAUUUUUGUAAUUUCUUACUAAUAAGGCAGAGUUGCCUAUUUUUAUCCGAUUAUCAUGCCUCAUACAAUUUUCUUGGGAUUUGCUUCGAUGCCUCUGUGACUCACCAUGAAACUCAAAAACUUUCUAAAACUAGCUCCAAAUACACAUUUCUUUGGAUUAAACUUCAUUUGGUACUCCCUCAGCAAACCAAAUGUUUCUUUCAAAUGCUGCACGUGGUCACUCGAGUUGUGAGACUUUGUGAUAAUGCCAUCCUUAUAUGCCUCCAUUAUGUUCCCAAUCAGCAGCUUGAAGAUCUUAUUCACGAAUCUCUAGUAUGUUGCUCAAACAUUUUUCAAGCCAAAGGACACGACAUUAUAACAAUACAGCCCUUGGUUAGUAACAAAAGAAGUAUGCUCCUCAUCCUGCUCGAACAUCGGUACAUGGUUGUAAUCCAAAAAGGCAUCUACAAAGCUGAGAAGUCCAUGUCUAGUUGUGGAAUCGACCAACUGAGCUAUUUUAGGCAAUGGAAAAAUAUCUUUGAGGCAUACCUUAUUGAGGUUCAUGAAAUCCAUGCACAUUCUCCACCUCCUGUUCACUUUCUUCACCUACAUCACGUUCGAAAGCCGCUACGAGUUGUUUACCUCCUUGAUGAAACCUGCAUGUAAAAUUUUAUCCACUUCACUACUAAUGCCGUCAUACCUAUCCUAGUUAAAGCAUCUUCUGUUUUGUUUCAUCGGUCUCGCAUCUCUGCUCACUGCUAACUUGUGACAAGCCGCCUUGGCAUCGACCCCUGGCAUAUCUUUGUCCUGCAAGCCAAACACAUUAAAAUGUGGUUGCAACAACUCCACCAGCUUUGCUUCCAAAUCUUCCCCAUGGGUGGCUUUAAGUAUAGGCGAACAAGGCCGUCGCCUAAGCUCUCAUAUUUUAAGAAGACCUCAUUUUUUAAGUAUUUCCUUAAUAAUUCUCUAAUUAAUAAAAUAUUUUAAUAUAUAUUUUAAGAAAUUAAAAAGUUUAUUAGAUAUCUCUCUAUUCUUAAUUAUUCUAUAAUUAAGAAUUAUUUUUUAUAAAAAAAUCUAUAUUUGGGAACCUUAAUUUUAAAGAAAUAAUUAAUACUAUUCUUUAACCAUUAGUUCAUUCCUUUUCAAUUAUUCAAUGUUAGCAUAUUUGACUUUUAAUAUUUCUUUUAAUUUCUAUUAAAAACCUCAUAAUCUCAAGAAUUAGUAAAUGAAAAAAAUUUAUUGUUCGCUUCUCUACAAAUAAAAUUUUUAUAUUCGUUGGUUCAUUUAAAAUAAUUAGUUUCUUAAAAUAUAAAGUCCAUUUUUAUUUUUGAACAUCAAUUCAUCAUUUUAAAAUUUUUAUAUUCUAUCUUUCUAAAUAUUCUAUUUGAAAAUAAAAUUGUUUUUAUUUAUUUGUUUGUUUAUUUUUUAACGGUUUUAAUGGAAUAAAAAAAUUAUCUUCUUGACUAUUUUUUAGGUUUUAUUUUUUAAAUUUUUGAUUUUUUUAUUAUUGUUGAAAUUCAAGAAUUAAAGAUGGAAUAAAUUUUGAUCCUUUGUAUAUAUCUUUGAGUAUUAAAAUUACAAAACAAUAGAGGUCUCAUAAACAAAUUUCGCCUAAGGCCUCUCAAACUCUAAAGCUGGUCCUGAUCUUCCCCCUAGGGGUAGCCAUAAAUUUUGGGUUCGAUUUAGUUUAACCUUUAAAAUCCGAACAUGUUUAAACUUAGAACCUAUUCGUUUUUAAUUGUUUUGUCAAACUUUUAGGAGAUUAAAGGGGUGUGAAAGGACAUAAGAAGUCUUGUUAUGGCUUGGCCCUUUAUAAUAGAUAUUGGUGCACAUGCUCUUUUCUUCUAUAUUUUUAGAGAAAGAAAAUUAGUAUAUGAUCUGUUUGAAGUCGCCUGGAAUUUCAAAAAUCCUAUGCUUCAAUAUAUUAUUAAUCAAAUCCCCUUAUAUCUUGAUAAAAUCUUUUUUACUCUUUCAUUCGCAAGGAGCUGGAUGAUGGCUGGAAAUAAGGAAAUUCCUUUUUUUUUGUUUCACCCCAAUUGUUCUUGUAUUUGUAUAUUGCCAUAUAUCAUAAAAUACAAAUUUAUGUAUGUCAAAAUGAAAUCGAUCUUAAAAAAAGAAAAAAAAGAUCUCGCGUUACUGCCGCUUACACACCCCCAUGCCACAGCUGCUAUUAAUUCCGUUUGGCGCACCAGCAUUACAGCUUCUAGCUGUUCUUUCUUCCUUGAGUUGAUUUGGUUCCUCGUUCUAGGCUUCAAGUUAAUGUCGUCUUCAGCCAUUCUAGAGUCGUUUACUUUUGAUCUAGCUGUUGCUGUCUCUACCUCCUUCUUCAUUAAUUGCCAUCAGCCGCAUAAAGGAAGGAUGUGAGUUUAUGUUUACGAUUCCUAAUGGUGAUGAAUAAGACAUGGUGUAAGAGAUGUUGUUAACUGAAUUUAGUAUGCUUUCUAGGAUCAUAUGCAAUACAUAUGUAUUUCUUGUAUAAUUGUUGUUUGUAUAUUGUAUUUCAAUCGGGCAUGGCUAUCUUUGUCUUACUCUUGUACAUUUCUAUUACUUUAGAUAACUAUUAAGGUGUAGAUGGCUUUCACGGAUAAAUAAUAAGCAAUUUUAGGAGCUUUUCGUGUAAAAAUAUAGAACCUAUAUUGUUGAAAUGUCGAGUAUACUUAGUAGUUGAUAUUUGUUUAUAUUUUUACAUUAAUCUGGGAUGGGAUUUGAACUUUAUAACCGAAAUUGAAUCUAAACCAAAAUUAAGAUAAGAAUAUUCAAACUAAAUCGAUCCAAAAUGCAAACCUAAACCAAAUUGAGCUAAAUUAAAUUUGAUUUAGUUUGGUUUGGGUUUACUCUCUAAACCUGAUUGGAUUGACUUCUCCAACCCAAUUAAGUUUUAGCCCAAAUUGAAACCUAAACAACCUGAAUCAAAACCCGAUUUGCCCACCCUUAUGAUACGAACCCAUCCAAAAACUAACGCAACCCUAAUCAAUUUAAUCUCUAAGAUUAAAUAGAAGCACUACCCAAUGUUCAAUGAAAGCAUGAACCUUAGUAUGUGAGGAUGCUACAAUCAAUUAUGGAUGAUUUGAUUAUAAGUUAAGAGUUUGAAUGACACAGAAAUUUGAUAAAUUCAAAUAGUUUGUUUAAGAAUAAAAAAGAAUUAACUCUCUCACUAAUUGCAUCAAAAUUUAUUUGUCUUUGUUUAUUAGAUGCGAGUACAUUAUAUAGGAUUGGUUACAAAAAUUUUUAGAAAUAAAUCCUAAACCGAAAUCAAAUCAGAAUCCUAAUCUAAUGCAAAUAAGAAAAGAAUUUUAGUCAAAUCAUAAUCCUAAUCAAAGCAAGUAGGAAAGAAUCUAAAUCGAGUCAAAAUUAUAAUCUAAGUAAAUAGGAAAGAAUCUAAAUAAAAUCAUAAUCCUAAUCGGUUUAAAUAAAUUACAUCAAUUAAAAUAAAAACUCAACAAUUAAAAGAGAAAUAACUUCUUGUUUCUCCACCAGCAUCAUCCAGAAACGGGAAAGUAUUCAAAAAGAAAAGUAGCAUAUUUUUCAAAUGGAAAAGUAUAUGAAAAAGAAAAAUAAGAUAUUUUCUCGCCGUAAUGUGCAAGCCAACUUCCUAUUUUAUGGAAGUGAUUAUUUGGAAACUUUAAGAGCCGUAAUCAUGUAUUUAUCACGUGCAAUUCCUUCAAUAGGCCUCUAUAAAUUUGAUCGAGCCUCAAUUACUUGAAUAAACCCAUUAAACGCUUCUUUAAAUUUGUUUGUUCGAGCUCUAGUGACAGGUCCAACGAUAACUUGAAUAGGAUUUGAAUAUAUCUCAUCCCACGUGCUUGUGAUAGUUUUGUCCUCAAUCUAAUCAUUUUACUUCCCUAAUCUCGACCCAAUCUUUAAAAUUUUUUCAUGCUAGCUUGACUUUACUAUGACUGCCUUGAGAUUUUCAACUGGUUUUUAUCUCUCUUUCUUGAAAUCUCUUCAAGUGUCAAGUUAUCUACGUGGCUUCUUUAGUCGCGGACACAUAAUCGCACCUAACAAUUCUCUAGUCACCCUUUACAACUUUUGCCACACUAUUUACUCAUUCUUUGAGUGCCAUGUAAUGGUUAGACAUCAUGGACUUGCUAAUCCUCAUAAAGGGUCUUCCAAAAAUUAUUUGAUAUGGGCUGUCUUCCUCGACUAUUAUAAAAAAAACUGGCAUGAUGGUCUUUUCAAAUGGUCCAGAGCCGAUCGUUACUAGCAGCUCUAGGCAUUAAUUUUCCUCUUCUAUAUCCUUUCAAAGAACUGUUGGUGUGCUUGUUGGGUAAAAAUUCAAAUACUAUGGGUGUCAAUGUGUAAGUAUACACAACAAGUAAUAUAAUGAUAAAUAUACAAGAUCAUCUCCACAGGGGUUGAUGUUACGAAAAUUACUACAGCAAGCUUAACAAUUUUGGUUGAAGUGAAAGUAGAUUGAUCAAUUAAACAAAUAAACUACCUAAUAAAAUGCAAUAAGUAAAUAUGCAGAAAAGCAAACUCUCAGGUCAAACACAAAAAUAAAAUCAAUAGGAAUGAAGUAGUUGAGUGACUAAACUCUUUUAAUGGAAUUGACUAUUUCUUGCAAAUUUCGAUUCAGUUGCUGCAGCAUCUGCUACAGUACUAGGCAUAAUCCUCAUGCAUCAUCAGCUGUCGCAUGUUGGAUGUCUUAUAUCUAUAUGCAACCUAACAAUGACCAAUUGUUAUGCCAACAUAAUAUAUAUCAUUACACAUUUAGGUUCUAUUUACCCUAUAAGGUGAAUCCCUAUAUCUAGUUCAUCACUAAUUUUAGAUUAAGUAUGACCUUUUUUGGAAUCAAGUUGAACUCAAUCUAGGAACCCAAUCUAAAACUAAAUAUUAUUCUAAUAUGUUCCACUAAGAUAAGCCAUUUUGUGGCUCUUUCCUAGCUUGUACCAUUAAAUGGGUAGUCAGCUAAAAUAAUGACUUUAAAUAAAUACUAUCACAACAAAAUGUUAUAGCAAACAUGCAGCCAGGGACGUAGCCAGGAUUUUGAUCGAGUUGGGGCACAUUUAAAAUAAAAAAUGACUUGAAUGCGCGAUUGCUCGUGUGGUAAGUGUGGGCCCCACAAACUCCAAAUGGGAGCUUGCCACAUGUACAAUCGUGCUCCUUAUAGAGUGUUUCUGACUGCAUCUAAUUAAAAUGCUAUUAAAAUAUAAUACACUUCUAAAAAUUUAGAUGGAAAUAUAUAACAUUAUGUUGAGUGUUAGAAAAUGGAUAUUUAUAAAGGAGAAAAUCGUCAUUUUACAUUUCAAGUCUUACUAACAACCCUUACUUUUAUGUAUUUAAGCUUCUUGUAAUUUAAUUAUGUGUGUUUGAUUUUAAUUAAGUAUUUUAUGUAUUUUAGGGGCAUCAUAGUCAAUUCACAAUAAAUGAGAGAUCAAACGAUAAAACGGACAUCACUUUUGAACUCAGGACGGUCGAAAACCUUAAGAGAAGCAUAAAAGGAAAAAUGGCACUGUUCACAUGUACGGUACUAUUCAUAUGUACGGUACUGUCUACGUUACUGUUCACGACACUGUUCAUAUAGACGGAUCGAUGACGUGGCAUUGACCGAUGAUGUGGCAUUCACUGAUGAGGUGUCAUGAUCCUGUUGGACUAAAAUUCUUAUGUACUGUUGAUGGUGACGUGGCAGCAUAUUAGUGGACUAAAAAACGUGUGUACGGUACAUGCAACACAUGGGAAUAUUUUCAACCAAACCGCAUUACUGUUCAAACCGUGUCACUGUUCAAACCGCGUGGUCAAACCGUGUUACUGUUCAAACUGCGUACUGUUCACUGAUGACGUGGCACAAUCCUGAGCAUCCAAACUGUUUUCAAUCCGAUGGCCAUGAUUUACUCAAUGUAUCUAUAAAAAUGGGACUUCUCCCCCCGAACGCAUGCGAUUGCUCAUGAGGAAUAACAUACCUGCUGAUAUCUUUUGGUUAAUCGAGGUGAAAGUACGAUUGGCAGGUGAGUUACCUCCAAAAUUUAUUGCAUACAUGCCUGGUUGUGGUAAAGAAAAUUAUGCAAGAAAACGAUGAGCUCGAAGAAUUUCUGUUGCUUGUCAUAAGUAUGCCAGAAUGAGUUGCGAUAAAAAUCCAUAUUCUUUAGGAAUGGCGUCUGAUAACAGGGAAUAUAAGAUUCAAUUCAUUAGGGAUGACUUGAAUAAGGAGUCAUUGGAUGAUAUCCUUUUAUCUCUUGAAACGCAUCCCAUUAGAUAUGUGCAAGGAACGAUUAUUCAGUUAUGACCAUUAUUCCAGAAAGAGCAUGCACGAUAUAGUCUCGGGAAUCUGACUAUAAACGACCAUGUUUGCCAGUUUAUAAAAAAAUUGGAUGGGAAGCCUAUCCUAGACCCAUAAAGGGCGUUCAAGCCGUUUCUGGACGUAAAACCAGAGGAAGAUGUGAGCCACAGUCGCAACUACCUGUAAAUAUCCUUUUACUUUACUGUUAUUUUAUUUUACUGUUGUUUUAUUGUUUGUAUUAUUGUCUUUAAUAAUUUUAUUGUUGUUUGCUUUUUCCUUUUUACUGUUUCCUUUUUUACUCGCGAACCAUGUGCUUUACGCGUUAUUUGACACUGACAUACUACCUCAUACACAGCUGUGACCCACUGUCCCCAAGAUUCUUAAAUAUGAAUUUUUGUCAAGCACUCACAAAUUAUUUUUGAGAAGUAUCCCAAUGACAGCUACUCCACAUAGACAAUUUAAGAACAUUUGUGUGCUUUCUGGAUUUAACUAUGGCAAACCUAAAGAGUUCGUUGAGGCAGCCAUAGAUCUUGGUCGAAGCAUAGCAGAGAGAAAAUUACACUUGGUGUAUAGAGGAGGUAACUGAGGGUUAUUAAAAUUGGUCUCAAAAGCUGCUUUUGUCAGAGGAAGCCAAGUGCUAGGCAUCAUCCCAAGCGUCCUAAAACCUUUGGGCAGUUUGUCUGACUCAUCGACUGGAGAAGAGUUAGUCGACUCAGGUAUGCAAGCAAGAAUAACUGAAAUGCUUAAUCAUGCUGAUGUUUUUAUUUUCCUUCCAGGAGAUCUUACAACACUAGAGGCACUUAUCACACUAGCAUCUUGGGCCCAUCUGCACAUUCACCAGAAACCCAUCGGUUUGCUAAAUGUCAAUAACUUUUAUGAUGGCUUUAUCGCAUUUCUUAACCAUGCAAUAAAAAAAUAUUUCAUUCCUUCAAAUGCGAAAAAACUUUUUAUUUGUGCUCACACUGCUACUUGAUCUGUUACAAGCUCAUAGACCGGAGCCAAACCCCUGGACCUUUGUGUUGGAGCGUCCAAAUAAUGAUGGUAACAGUAGCAGCAGUAAGAAGUACAAAUUAGAUUUAACUCUCCGCUUGUAAAUAUUUUCUUUUGUGUUGCACCACUCAGGUGAUGCCUUCUACACUCUACUUCUUUCCUUUAAAACAUUGAGGACAAUGUUUCAUUCUGGUUGGGGAGAGGGAAUAGUCGACAAUUGUGGAAUCUUGGUUAAGUUUUUACUGAUUUUUUGUUGUAGAAACUAACUGUUGCUAACUUUUUAUGUUGAAGAUGGCUGAAUAUGGAGUGUAGUGACUCUAGAAACGCAUCUUCAUUGUUUGAAAAAAAUUAAAAAAAAAAAUCAGACAUUUUCUUUUUCUUUAUUAAGUUUUGAUGUUCAUUUUUCUUCUUCUUUUUAAUUUCUCCUCUAUAAAUAUACAUUUUCAAAUUGUUGAGUCGAAGAUGGCUGAAUAUGGAGUGUAGUGCCUCUAGAAACGCAUCUUCUUAGUAAAAAAAAAAAUUUCUUUUUCUAUCAUAUUAAGUGUAACUUUUCUAAUUAGUUUUUAUACAUCCUUUUCACAUUUCUGCAUGCAUAUUUUCCUUUCAUGUUUAGGAUAGGUUGGGGGGUAUAACGUUGUUUAAAAAAAAACAAAAACAAAAAAAAAAAUUUGUGUGAUUUGUUUUAAUAUUGGAUGACAUGAUUAAUUUCAUAUUUUAGUAUUUGUAUUAUCUUUGGUCUUAAGUGAUGUUACACUAUGUUUGCUACUCUACAUGUUGAUGUCGGAGAUAAAUAUGAGUUGCUUGAAGGAAUGAACAUGUCAUAAUAAGUACCAAGUGAGUUUUUGAGCCUAUCAUUUUUCUUGGAGAGUAACCCUUUCCCACAUUUUUUAUACAGCUUAACAGUUUAUUAUUUUAUACACGAUCUCUAGAUUUCUUUUGAGUUAACCCUUAAAACAAAAUUUGUAAAAAAAAGAAGAAAAAAAUGUGUGUUGCUACAUUUGGAGGUCCAUCUAACUAGUAGAUAUGGAAGAUUAUUUAGAGCCCUAAAAGACGGUGGAAAGGUCAUCUUUGAUCCGUUUGAGUCUUUCUACCCAUCCCUUUUAUGAAAUAUCUAUUGUUAACCCUUUUGAGCCUUUUAAAAAAAAAUUAAAAAAAAAAAACCUUUUCUUUGUCAACUUAUCAUCUUGACCCACUCUGAUUUGGAGUAUUAUCCAAUAUCUUACAAGUUCCAUCACCUAUUUAUGUUUGAGAAAAAUGUAAAUAAAUAUUUUGUACAGUGAAGUUAUGCCCAACAAAAGCAAAAACAAAAAAACAAAAAAUUGUUAUUUAAAAAAAAAAAGAAAAAAAUAACAAUAAAAGGUGAAAUCCACCUUACAACUUCAAAAAAAAAAGUUCUCUAUAGUUUUCUCAAACAUACACUUUGUUUUCCUUAUUUCCCUUCUUUGUUAGUCAUGUCCCUAGCCUACGUUACGUCCUAAUAAAAAUCCUUCUUGAUUUUAGGGAACUAUAGUCUGAAGUAAAUUGGGUUGACUACCAUUUUUGUUUGACUUGAGAUCGUAUUAUUUCUAAACUGAGGGCAUAUUUCUUUCAUCUUGGUGAGAGCAUGUGAUAUCACUUCUUUAUUAUUUUCUCUCAAUUAUCAUUCAUUGGAAUAACUAUUUUUAUUGGGUUUAAUUUCUUUGUAAGAGUGUCACUACUUCCAGUGAGAUUUUGGGGUUUGACAUGUCAUUCUUGAAAGUAACUGUGACAAUCUACUAAGCUGAUUCAUGUGGAUGGUUGAUGUGGGCGUGAUGUUCCUUUAGACUGGAGAUAAUGCUUAUACUUUUAUUUGAUUACUAUCAUUAGUCUGAUUAAAUAAACACGAGUGUUUAAAAAAAAAUCAUUUUGAAUUUGAAUUUUAUUUUCGCUUUAUUUGCUAGGGACUAGCAAUAAGUUGGUUGGGGGGUGUGUUGAGUAUUAGAAAAUGUAUAUUUAUAAAGGAGAAAAUAGUCAUUUUACAUUUCAAGUCUUACUAACAACCCUUACUUUUAUGUAUUUAAGAUUCUUGUAAUUUAAUUAUGUGUGUUUGAUUUUAAUUAAGUAUUUUAUGUAUUUUAGGGGCAUCAUAGUCAUUUCACAAUAAACAAGAGAUCAAACGGCAAAACGGACAUCACUUUUGAACUCAGGACGGUCGAAAACCUUAGGAGGAGCAUAAAAGGAAAAAUGGCACUGUUCACAUGUACGAUACUAUUCACAUGUACGGUACUGUCUACGUUAUUGUUCACGACACUGUUUAUAUAGACGGAUCGAUGACGUGGCAUUGACCGAUGAUGUGGCAUUCACUAAUGAGGUGUCAUGAUCAUGUUGGACUAAAAUUCUUAUGUACUGUUGAUGGUGACGUGGCAGCAUAUUAGUGGACCAAAAAACGUGUAUAUGGUACAUGCAACACAUGGGAUUAUUUUCAAUCAAACCGCGUUACUGUUCAAACCGUGUUACUGUUCAAACCGCGUGGUCAAACCGCGUACUAUUCACGCAUAUUGUUGACUGAUGACAUGGCGCAAUCUUGAGCGUUCAAACUGUUUUCAAUCCGAUGGCCAUUAUUUACUCAAUGUAUCUAUAAAAAUAGGACCUCUCCCCCCUAAUUUGGAUCUCUGAAUCCAUUUUUGGACUCUAUUUUAUGUAAUUCCUUCUCCAUCUUGUAUUUUCUACGUAUUUUAAUAAAUUCUCAUUUUGCCCCUAGUUCAAUUAUGAGUGGCUAAUUUUCUUUCAAGUUUGGGUUGAAGGUGAAGUCUCAACAUGUGUCAUGGGCUUUAUUUGGUAAAUUUAUUUUCUCUUCCCCUCUUGUUUUUGUGGAUGUUUUGACUUUUCGUUGACAAAUAAUAAUAAUCUUGUCUAGUACCGCCCUGGUUUCACCGGCUCCCUAGUAUAAGAUUAUUAUUAUUUGGCACGAUAAGCCCUUAGCACCAUAUUGAUUAGAGCGUGGUUCAUGAGGUGUGGAUUCCCCCCUCAUGAUUUAAUUGGCAUUAAUAAGGAUUAUUUAGCCCAUGAUGCAUAUUGAUACGGAUCCAGAUACUCAAGUACGUCAUUUCAAUAGAUUUUCACUUCAAUUUAUUCUUGCCAUUUCAAUUCCAAUUUUAGGAUCAUUUAAGUCACUUUCACCACAAAAUCCAACCACUUCAUACAAAAUUAAUUCUACAUAUAACUAAAAUCCACCUCCUCGUGGGAUCGACACUCGUCACCAUUAGUCUAUUCUACAAUAGAUUCGUGCGCUUGCGAGUUCAAUAAAAUUUGCACAACACAUUACAACUAUAAUAUUCAUUGCUAAUAAAUUUACUUAGUAUAAUUGGUCUCAGUGAAAACUUCUCAAUGCGAUUUUAUGAGUUGCAAAUAAUGCAUUAUCAAUAUAAGCACAAAUAUAUUUUUCAAUAUACAAGACUAGGUUAUAGCUUAAUUUGCUCUUAAAAUCUUUUAAUAAUAACAAAAAAUAUUUAUAUAUUGUAACACACAAAACAAAAUGAAUGCUAGAUAAAAUUCUAGAUUUUAAAACUAGACAAAAGAUUAAUCAAAAAAUUAAAAAUUAGAAUUGGGUAGACUUACAACUUAUGGUUCAAUGUCGAAAUACCAACUAUUUGAUUUUGCUUGAAUAAAAAACAAAACGAUUAAAGACUGGUCCAUUAACCAUUUUACUAACAUUUUGUUGUGAUUGUUUUUCAUUUUAAUAUUUGUUCUUGUGUCUUUAAUCCAGUUUCAUGAAAUGUUAAUAACUAAUUAAAUUAUUUAUAAUUAGAAAUUUAAACUAUGGACAAUAUGAAAUAUUUUAAAAUUACUAGAGUCAGUUUCAAAUUUUACAAUUCAGCUGGGGUAUUUUUCAUAAAUAACAAAUAAAAUACAUUUUUUUAGUAUAAUUAUAAAAAAAAUUUAAAAGCCAGCAGGGGCAUGUGCCCCACUCGUCCCAUGCUGGCUCUGUCUCUGCAUGUAGCAACAUAUAAAUUCAGUUAAUGAGCCAUUAAAGUUGUUUAUCACUCAACCACAAGGAAUAUUAGUUCAUGAUUUUCAAAACGAAACUAAACAACAAAGUUUCAGCCGGCAAAUACAUUCUCAUGUCAAAGAAUAAAAAUAAAUCAAAAUAAGAAUAAGAAAGACUGAAUUCCAAUUGAUUCCGGCAAACUUCUCCACUGAUGCAGUCUUGAUUCUUGCUCUUGAAAUCUAUUUUUCCUUGUUUCUUUUCUAUUUAUGAUCUUGGUUGACGGCCGCCUUUUUUCUUUUGUACAUGUGCCUCUGUUAUAGUCCAAAAUUAGGGUAAACGGAAGUUCAGAGCGCGCAUCUUCCCAAUUAGGAAAUUGCAGAUUGCAAUCCGUUAAGUAUCUUGCGCGAAAUCUUCUCUGUCAUUGUUCCCGAAUUGCUACAUCACGGUUUUCUACAGCAAUAGCUACAGUAUAUGCACUGUUCCAAAUUUACUCCAAUUCUUCUAUAGUCGUAUUCUUUUGUCCUUUUUGCAAACCCAUUGCUACAACAUCCUUCCCAUGAAAAUUUAACUUCAGGUUACCUACAAUUAUGCAUAUGUUUUAAGGACACAAUUAUUAGAAAUCAAGCAAAUUUUAUUAAACUUAAACUAAAAUGAAUGUUAAUGUAAACUAUCAUUAAAUGCACUAAAACACAUCAAUUACCCUCUAAGUAAUCUUGAUUUUAAGUCUAAAAGUAUCAUGAUAAUCUUAUUUCAUAGAGUUUUCAAUACUCUAACUUCAAGUUGCACGAAUCUAUAAGGAUUCUUAUGAAUUCUUUGCUCGUUACAUUAGCUUUUAACACCAAAACAUCUUCAUGCAAGUAUAGUAUCCCUUCCUCAUCGUAUUAUGUCCAAAUGAUUGGAACUUGCUUGGUUCUUGCUCAUUUUGUCAAUGAAGCAUUGAAGAGAAUAUCAUGACUUGUUAUUGCAUACCUUUUGUAGUACUUCUAGGCUUUGUUAGAGUUAUUUACUAGAGUUGGCCCUCUUACAAUAACUCUAGCUACUGGCUCUUCAAAAAUCAUAUCACCAGUAUUCUUUUUUGCUGUAUGCACUGUUGAUCUGUCAUUGGAUAAGAACUGUCAAUAUACUUAUUCAAAUAAUAAUUUCUUACUAGAACUUCUACUUGUUUUUUUAAGUCGUGACACUGUGGUUUGGUGUGGCCAUGGGUGUUAUUCAUCAGCAUUAUCCUAUCUCUUAGGAAAUUUUGGCAAGUAAGGACUAAUGAAGGUAGGUUUUGGUUUUGGUUUAGUUGACCUUGUAUUUUGAGUUGGGUUAACUUGGAUCAUUAUAGUGAGGAUGGCUAUCAACUAGUUAUAUCAUUUCAAGUAGCUCUAUUUAGAGAGGGGUGGGGUUAAUUUCUUUUUACAUAGUAUGGGAGAUAAGAGUGGCCAAAAUCAAAUUUAGAUUGGAUUCGGAUCAAUUUGAUCAUAUAUUAAAUUUUUCGGAUUGACUAAAAAAACUCAUCUGAAUGUACUCGAACUUGAAUCUAAUAUGAAUAUAUUUGGAUAGGAUGAAUAAUUUGGCUUAAGUUAGAUUUGGAUCGGUUUGGUAAAUCUCAAAUUUAAUUUUAAUUUACAGGUCACUAUACUCAAUGGAUAAGACAUAAUUUGUAUAUCUCUGUAAUAAACAUUCAAUUUUGAUAUUCAACUACAUAGAUAGAAGAAAAAUAAGUCAUUUACAUUACAAUUGUGGUGCAUAUCACUGAAAAGUAUCAUAAUAAUUCAUAUUUUUCCAACCAAAAUGAAAAGAAACCAUAAUUUAAACAACAUAAUAAGCAAAUAGAAUUUCUAAAGAAAAGGAAAAAGAGUAGAUGUAAGCUAGAAAAAGAGAAAUCAUGUAUUAGAGAAGAAAAGAGCAUUUUUGCACAAAAACAACUAAUACCAAAACUAAUAAAAAAAUCUCAUAUUCAUUUUCCAAUUUUCUCAUAAGCUUACGCAAUUCUUCCUCUUCUACUCUUCAAAAUCAUUUGCCAAUUUUCUCAAUUUUCUCAUAAGGUGAUCUUUGGUCUUUUGAUGAGAAAAUUACUUGAGUAACUUACAACUGGUUAGGUUUGGGAUUUUGGGGAAAACAAGUUAGGUUUACACAUUACAAACUUCACUAGUCAAAUUGUCGAAUUACAUCCGAAUUAGAUUUGAUCCGAUUAUAAUCUCAUCGGAUUGGGUUGUUUCUAUUUAAUCAAAUUACAACAAUAAUCCAUAUUCAAUUUGAAUAUGUUUGGAUUGAAUCAAAUCCAAUCAAUCUAAAUCCAAUUCGAUGCUAACCCUUAUGGGAAUAAGUAGCCAUCCUUAUUAUGACCGCUCUACUCACUGAUGGUUUGUCAUGAAGCCUAACUAGUCCACUUAUUUUUUAGCUCUCCUUUCAUUUCGUUUUAACUCCACAAGUUACUCGUCUCUAACUCUUGCUGCUUUUUCCUCCUCGAUUUCAAUAUCCACCUUCACCUAGUCAUAAGCAGUUGAAUAAGAGUUUAUUAUUGGGUUCCUUAAGUUAUACCACAAUUGGCCUAUCUUUACUCCCUCUUUUAAUCCCUUCAAGGCCUGAAGAUGAUUGAAAGCUCCAUAGUCAAGGAUUGCUUGGUGAUAUCUCUUGAAAAAUCUCUUAGAGUUUGAUUUUCUUCCUACUCGAGCCUCAUUGGCUCUAUCAUGUCAUCCUCUGGUGUUAUUGCUCCUAAAAAAUGUUCAGCAAAGUCUCCAUGCAAUUGAUUAGAAGUUCUGAUGCUUCCCUAUGGCAAUUUGCGAUACCAAUCAUGUGCAUGCUAUUCUAAUGUCAAUGGAAACACUCGACACCACUGUAGUGGUGUCAAACCAUGUACUCUAGUCAUCUCAUUAAAUCGUUCUAUAUGCAUAAAGAGUCACUCUUUCUGGAAUAUUUGAGGUUUAAAACUAAUCCCUUGAUAUUGUUGUGCUCAUGAUUUUUGCUGAGAGUAAGAUUCAUUAUCCAUAAUUAUUCUCCAGCUCAGUGCUCUUUCAAUCCUAUACUUCUUCAAUAAUUCGUGCUAACCUAUGCAUCUUAUCUUCUAAUUUCCCAACGCGACUUGGGUUCUACACCCUUAUCUACUUGCAGUCAGCGUUCUGUUUAUUCCAUAGAUUUUCACCGAAGUACGUUUUGGUUGCUCUCCAAAAAAAUAAAAAAGAAAGAAAUCACCUAAUACUUUUGGGGCAAGGCAAGCUUCCAAAUAACAUUGCAAAUGAUUUGGUGAAAAAGCUUUCAUCUAUUCCGGUAAUUUAGAAGCACUUUAAUUCGAUUCUCUCUUAAGAGUCCUAUCACUUUAGGAUGAUUUUUAAGUAAAAUCCUUGUAUAUAUUAUAUUUUUGUUAAUAUAACAAACACUAAAUAUUUAUGAUCUGAAAGAUAGUUGUUGAAUGGAGAUCGUUUCACACAAAAAAAGUAUUUAAAAAGAAUGUGGUAUUGUAAUAUUAAAUAAUUUUUUGUAGUGAUAUAAGAGUAUCACACUAGUUUUUUUUUUGCAUUCCAAAAAAUUGAAAAUAAGAUCUAAGUAAUUUCAAGAAUAAAUUAGCAAUAUUAGGAACAAGUUUUACAAAAAGCUUCUGGGACAUGUUAUACAAAUUUGUUAUAUAAGAAAGUCUCUACUAGAUCUUCUUUCCACAUUACAAAAAUUAGAAAUGAGAUCUAAAUCGACCAAUUAUAAAUUUUAUAGUGAGUGGGUCCUAUAUGAAAACAAGGUUUUUUUUUAUUAUAGUGUAGUCAAUUAUCAGCCAUCUACCCUAAGUUUAUUUUAUAUUAAAAAAAUACUAGGAAGAAUUAAUUUGUUUAGUUUUUUACUUUAAUUUUAUAAUUUGUAUUAGUUGUCUAUUAAAAAGAUAGAAUUAUCCUUACUAAAUGACAAAAUAGAAACAAAUACAAAUAACAACUAUGGUCAUUUUGUAAGGGUAAUUCUAUCUUUUUGGCAUCGAAUUGCAUAUUAAACUAUUUUAAGUACUUAAAAUAAUAUAAGUUCUUUAUCAAAUAAAUAAAAUUUUAAACUAUGUAUUUACCAAACAUUUUAAAAUCACAGCUCCUCUACUACAUCUCCAAAUAAAUUCUUAAAAUCAUAAAUAACUAAAUUAAUGGGGUUUUAAAAGGACUCUCCGGAUUUUGCAUGAUUUCUUUAUAUAUAGGUGCUGGGUGAUCAUGUUGGUUCCUAUAGGUACCAUCAGCCACACUUUUUGUUAGUGGUGAAAAAACAAUUUUGGGUACAAUUUGUGAUUUGUAUAACGUGCGGUAUUAAACAUUUGAAACAUACACCGACAGUAAUCUAAUCAAUAAUUAAAAAAAAUUGUAUAAAAUACAUAUGUCGUAGGCAACUCAGAUCCUUUUCUUUAUAAUUCCAUAUCAUGUGAUUAUCAAAAAACUUCUUGAGAUUUUUAAAUUUUGUAAUUGCACUAUCCUUGAAUUAUCAAAAGACUCUUGAUAAUGUUCUUCUUCUUAAAGAUGCCCUUAAUCCGUAAAUGGUCCAAUAAUUAGUUCAUAAAACGAAUUUAUUACUUUAGACAAGUCUCAAAUAUGCAUACCUCUUAUAACUCCGUAUUGCAUAAUUCCUUACUUAAAUGCAUUUGUUUCCUUUCUCUAAAUUUUAGAAUGGCCUUGUCUACUAAAUUUCCUCUUUAAAUUUGACUGCCAACUAGGAAUUUCGCCAAAAUUUCCACCCCAUCUUACUCUCUGAAAUAUGUCUUCCACGUUACUAUAGCAAAUUUUACAUCUAGGAUACUGAAACAUUUUUUUUUUUUCAAUUUUCAAAUAUUUAGCUGUUGACAAUAGGUCUUUAGCUGCUCACCAAGAGAAAAUUUUCAUCUAAAACUUUUUUUGAUAAGGCAAGCCUCCAAAUAACAUCCAAAUGGUUUGGACAUUCAGUUCUACUCAAAAUUCAGAUUAAUUCACACAUAUUUAGAUUUUAGACAAGAAACAUAUGCCACCUAAAUAUUUAUGACUUAAAAUUAUUUAAUAAUCAUGGCACAUUUAACCUAUCUAAACAUGAAAUCUUGUGGAGACUUAUGUUUAAGCAGGAGGAUAACGUGAGAAAAUUGACACAUUAAUUUACAAUUUGUACGCCAACUGAAUAAUUUUUGUUUGUUUUUUGUUUUUGAUAAUAAAACAAGCCUCGCAAGAGCUUAGGUUUUUAGCCAACUGAAUAAAUUUCCCCACUCAAAUUAGAAACAAUAAAAUCUAAUAAUUAUGUUAUGAGCCCAUCAGACAAAUAGUGAGACAUCAUAUUGUUAAUACCUACUCGUAAAAUUAACGGGAUAACGCGGUUUAUACGGACAGAUUAUCAAGGUAUUGUUAAUACCUUCUGUACCGGUAAUUCUUUUUUUCUUCUUUUUCAACCCCAAAUAAUCAAAAGCUCUCCAAUGGCUUUUGUAUCCACAACUCGUCCAUUUCAUUUUACUUCAAUUUCAGUAUCAGCUCUUAGAUGUAAUUUCUCAUCUUCGUUCCCUCAUACCAGAAAACCCACAUCUUCAAUUUCGGAAAAUGAACCCUCAGAUCCGACUACAACAGCUAAACUGAAGGAGUCGCUACGACUGACAGUCAAAGACGGAGCCUCAAUCGAAAAAUUUCUUAAAGAAAGGUGAAAAUCAUCAGGUCAAGGUGAUAUUAAUCUUAUUACUCCUAAUGAAGCCUUGUGUAUCUUUGAUUACAUGCUCCGUAUGCACCCUUCUCCGCCUCCGGUUUCUUCCUUCAAUAUUUUGUUUGGUUGUCUUGCUAAGAAUAAACAUUAUGAUACUGUCCUUUCACUCUUCAAGAGACUCAAUUCAACUGGGUUGUUUCCAGAUCUUUAUACUCACAGUAUUUUGAUUAACUGGUAGAGUUUCUCAUGGUUUUGUUGUUCUUGGGAGAAUCAUCAGGUCUUGUUUUACUCCAGAUGCUGUGACCUUUACUUCUUUGAUUAAAGGUUUGUGUGCGGAUAGUAGAAUCAUGGAGGCCGCCGCAUUGUUUACAAAACUUAGAGUGUUUGGUUGUGAGCCUGAUGUUUUUACAUACAAUACGUUGAUUAAUGGAUUGUGUCGAACUGGCCAUACAAUUGUUGCUCUAAAUUUAUUUGAAGAGAUGGCUAAUGGAAAUGGGGAAUUUGGUGUCGUUUGUAAGCCAGACACUGUUACAUACAACACUAUCAUCGAUGGUGUUUGUAAGGAAGGUUUCGUGGACAAGGCCAUGGAACUGUUUCUGCAGAUGAAGGAUGAGAAUAUUAACCCCAAUGUGGUUACUUAUAACUCUUUGAUUCACUAUUUCUCUCAUGCUGAUGAUUGGAAUGAGGCUAAACGUUUGUUUAUUAAGAUGAUGGACCAAGGUGUGCACCCUAAUGUUGUGACUUUCAGUGUGAUCGUGGAUGAGCUCUGCAAGAAUGGGAAGAUGGAAGAAGCAAGUAGGUUGUUGGACCUGAUGAUUCAGAUUGGUGUGCAUCCAAACACUUUUGUCUAUAACACAUUAAUGGAUGGGUUUUGCUUGACGGGUAGAGUUAAUCGUGCAAAGGAACUAUUUGUUUCUAUGGAGAGUAACGGGUGCAUGCAUGAUGUUGUUAGUUACACCACAUUAAUAAAUGGGUACUGCAAGACUAAGGAUGUAGAGGAAGCUUUAAAUCUUUAUAGGAAAAUGCUGUCUAAAGGAAUUAGGCCAACAGUUGUUACAUAUAGCACCUUGUUUCUUGGCCUUUUUGAAGUACACCAGGUUGAGCAUGCUUUAAAACUGUUUGAUGAGAUGCAGCAUAAUGAUGUAGCAGCCGAUACAUAUAUAUACAAUACCUUUAUUGACGGGCUCUGCAAGAAUGGUUUUGUUCUAGAGGCACUGGAAUUAUUCUGUGCUAUAGGAAAUAGCAAGUAUGAACUUGAUAUCAUAUCCUACAGCUGCCUCAUUGAUGGAUUGUGUAAAAUAGGCAAACUGGAAACUGCUUGGGAACUGUUUCAAAGUUUGUCUCGUGUAGGCCUAUUGCCAAAUGUUGUAACAUAUAACAUCAUGAUCCAUGGGCUUUGUAAUGAUGGGCAAAUGGACAAGGCACAUGAUUUGUUUCUUGAUAUGGAAGCAAAAGGUGUGGAACCCGAUUGUGUCAUAUUUAAUACGAUUAUGCUGGGUUUCAUCCGCAAUAAUGAGACAUCAAAAGUUAUUGAACUCCUUCAGCGAAUGGAUAAUAGAAAUGUAAUGCCAGACGCAUCUAUACUUUCAAUUGUUGUGGACUUGCUUGUAAAGAAUGAAAUUAGCUUAAACUCGAUUCCACAAUUCAAGAGUCAAUGAGUUUAAUGCUGAUUACUUGCAUGUUUUUUUCUGCCUAAAAUCUGGAUCUGGAGAAUCCCAUUCUUAUUACAACAUGUAAAGGAGUGUUGUCUAAUGUUGGCAUGUUCCUAGGUUCUGUCCAUGGAUUCUGUUUGCAGACAUGGCUAACUUCUUGUUCAACAGAUAAGUUUUAAAGUCUUUGAACUUAAUGUUGUAAAAUAACUUUUUUAUUAUUCAAUUCAUGAGUUUUUCUUCUAUAGCACAUCCUUCUCAUUAGCUGGAAGUGCAAAUUUUUUAGGCUUUUCCUGUAUGGCCUCUUUUUCUGUUCUAAAUAAAAUGGCAUUUUAUUUCCCUCCUGUGAGGGUACAACGUUUAUGUUUAAACUUUCUGUUAGUUAAAUUGGUUGUCUUUGAUAUAGGGAACUUCCAGUUGAACUGAUUUGUAAUUCGAGUAUAUGAGAUUACCAACUGUAAUGGGAAUUGAUGCCAAAUUAAUUAUGUCAUCAGGUUUUCCAAUCAGUGUUCAUCAUUUAUUUCUGUUAACAAUUAAUAGCACAGCUUGUCUUCGCAGCUUCAUUGGUUCCUCUCAAAAAAGUAAUGCCAGAUGCAUCUAUAGUUUCAAUCGUUGUGGACUUGUAAAGAAUGAAAUUAGUCUGAACUCACUUCCGUCAUUUCCUGUUCAAGAGCAGCAGGGGGAAGUUGAUGAGUCAAAUGUCAAGUUGUUGGAGCAUGUGCUUUCAGCCUAAAACCCUGAUCUGCAGCAUCUCAAUCAUGUUACAAAAGGACAUGUCGCCUGGUGACACCAUGUUCUCUACAGCGCUGUUAAUGGAUCCUGAUUGUUCUUGUGAUCUGGAGAGUCUCAUUCAUAAUACAGAUCUUGAUCAGGACGAGCUAGCAUAUGUGAUCACCAACUCUACAUGGUUGUUGAUGCCAAAUUAAAUAUGGUAUCAUGUUUUUCAACUUGUUAUUUUCUAUAGUCCUUCCUUUGAAUGGCCACAAGAAACUGUAAAAUCACCCUUUGUCUUGUUCCCUCUUAAUGAUCGAUCACUUUGGGAGCUAAUGAAUUAGUUGCACCUUGUCACUUUAUUGGUGCUUGAUUGUCAUUUGUACUUUGAAUUCACAGCAUAUUUUACCCUUGAUGUACUCUUUCCAUAAUCACCUUUGAGGGCUGCUAGUAUGUAUAAUUGAAAAACCUUAUAUAAAUUCUAAGCAUUUUUAUUUAACUUGUUGUAAACCUCCAGUGUAUGUCUCUUCUGUGAAAUGAUUCAUACUCUAUGCUGCUAGGACCUAGGCUUAUGACUCUUCUGUGAAAUGAUUUACCCUCACCUGCACACAGACAUUUAUCCCAAUCAAGAAAUCUUCAAACAAUGUGAAAAAAAUUGCUUGAAACACGACGCAGACUUAACCGAUUAAAAUGUCCCUACUGUGAGGAAGGAUGCUAUACAACUGACUCGGAAAAUGUAAAAUGGAUAACGUACGCCCAAGAUGAUCAACUAGAAACACAAUUCAAAACUCGGGCUGCUUUUGGCUGCCCGGCCUUCAGAAGUCAAUAUUUAUAUGAACUUUUGAGGAGAAAUUAUAUGAACUUUUGAGGAGAAAUUAUACUAAGGGUUCAGAAGUCAAUAUUUAUAUGAACUUCAGAAGUCAAUAUUUGGCUGCCCGGCCUUCAGAAGUCAAUAUUUAAAAACUUGGUGAAAUUACCGAUUAAAAUGUCCCUACUGUGAGGAAGGAUGCUAUACAACUGACUCGGAAAAUGUAAAAUGGAUAACGUACGCCCAAGAUGAUCAACCAGAAAGUGAGAGAUUAGGAUCACCAGUCAGUCAGAUUUGGAUAGAAAGUGAGAGAUUGCUAUGCCGUGCCAUUGCUUCAAUCCUAAAUGCUUUCAUCUCCCUGAAAAGUAUACAAAUGUAGGGGUUAAAACAGAAUAGAUGAAACCGUAUUGAGGAACUCAACUGAGACAGAUGAUAAAUGAAAACUAACCAACCUUCACGCAAAACUCGUACAUCUCCCUUUAAGAGCUGACUUUCUGAGAAGAGAUCACCACAAUCGUUCACAUCAAAAGUCUCCACUUGAAAAUUUUAUAACCAUAGUACUCAUUCCAUUCAAACCAGAUCCUUGAGAUCAGUUCCUUCUUCAGGCAAGUGGCAUGAUCUUCCUCUUUAGGAGACUCAGCAGCAACCAGUCUAUAUGCACAAACUUUCUUUGUUUGGCCUGGCCGGAAAGCCCUGCUGAUUGCCUGGCGGCUCACUGAUGGAUUAAAGAGAACAUCCAGAAUAAUGAUUCAAAUUUUUGUGGAAUUACUUGUAAAGAAUGAAAUUGGUUUAAACUCGAUUCCACAAUUCAAGAGACAAAACUAAGCAGACGGGUUGAAUCUUUGAUUGAGUAGCAUGUCUCUUCUGCUUUAAAAGCAGAUCUGGAGAAUCCCAUUCUUAUUACAACGUGUGAAGGAGUGUUGUGUAUUGUUGGCAUGUUCCCAGGUUCUGUUCAUGGAUUCUGUUUGCAGACAUGGCCGACUCUUUGUUUCAUCGGAUAAGUUUCAAAUAAUUCUGGCAAAUUUUUGUUGUAAAAUUACUUUUUUAUCAUUUAAUCCAUAUGCCUCUUUCUCAUUACCUGCAAGUGCAAAAUUUUUAGGCUCGUCCUAUUAGACCUCUUUUUCUUCUCUAAAUAGAUAAAACGGCAUUUCAUUUUUCUCUUGCGAGGGUGCAGGUUUAUGCUGAAACUUUCGGUUAGUUAAAUUGAUUGUCUUUGAUAUUGGAACUUGUAGUUGAACUAGUUUGCAUUUAGAAUAUAUGAGAUUACCAACUGUAACGGGAAUUGGUGCCGAAUUGAUUAUGUUAUCAGGUUUUUCAGUCUGUGCUCAUCUUUUAUUUCUGUUAAUAAUUAAUAGCACAGCUUGUCUUCUCUGCUUCUUUGGUUCCUGUCUAUUGUCAAAUAUAAACUUGUAGAGACAUUUUGUUUUGGCAUGGCACAUGCUAGAUUUUGUUUUUGGUUUGAAUGAUACUACACAUCUAAGUGAUUGUCCAGAUUUUUUUUCAUUCCUAGUGACAUGGCACUCAAUUGAAUGGUGACUCGUGAAUCAUGAUUGUGUGUGUUGGUCUUUGUUAUACUACGUGUUGGCAAGACAAAGUCUUUUGAAACUGCCAAACUUUUCUAUAUGAAUAUUGAAGACAAUAUGAUAAGAUAAAAUUAAUCAAAAACAUAUAUACUUGACAGGGCUGGAACGUCUGUUAUUAGUCCUCGCCUUCCAUUCUUGUUUCAUAUUCUUCUGCUAACAAAUCUUGAUCAUGAUAGUCUUCUCUGUUAUUAAUCCUUUUUUUUUUUUUUUUGGCUUUUGGAUUUUGUUUCCUUUAUAUAUAUAUAUAUAUAUAUAUAUAUAUAUAUAUUGUAUACAGUUAUUAGCAUCGACAACUUGAGCUUGCAGUCUUGUGAGUUUAGAGCCUACCAAAGUAAGCAUACACAUGACAAUGAAGAAUUGAAGAUUGUGAACGGUUUACUUGUGCGGCUAUGUUAGAAAAAUUUGACUGAUCGUGAAGAUAUUUAGAGAUCGUCCAUCUUGGUACUGCUAUUGUUGGAGCCUUGAAGUGUCAACUUCUCAUCGUUGCCUACAGUUGCCUCAUUGAUGAAUUGUAGGCAAACUGAAAAUUGCUUGGGAACUGUUUCAAAGUUUGCCCCGUACAGGCCUAAUGCAAAAUGUUGUAACAUAUAACAUCAUGAUUCAUGGGCUUUGUGAUGAUGGGGCAAAUGGAUAAGACACAUGAUUUAUUUCUUGAUAGACCAUUCUCAGGGCACAAAGGGUGUGGUGCCCAAUUGUGCCAUAUUUACUAUGCUUAUGCGAAAGAAUGAGACAUCAAAAUUUUCAUCACUCAAUGGAUAAAAGAAAUGUAAUGCCAGCUGCAUCUAUAGUUUCAAUUGGUGUGCGCUUACUGGUUAAGAAUGAAAUUAGUUUAAACUUGAUGCCAGAAUUCAAGAGACGGUUAAUUAGAUGAGUUGAAUGUUGAUUUAGUAGCCUUGAAGUUUUGCAAAUGUUUCCUGAUGGAUAAAUUGAACUUGUAUGCACACAUGUAAACUAAAAGAAAAAUUAUUUUAAUAGAAAACGUGCUUUAAGCAUGUCCUUCGGCAUGAGGUAAUACUAUAAAGUUUUUUUUUAAGUAAGGUUAUAAAUUCUAGCAAUUGAGUCUCAAUUUGAUAUUAUAUUCAUCUGGUAUAGGGUAGAAUAUUAAUUUUUUCAAUUAUAAAAUUUACUAUCUAAUAGAUGAACAACACUUAACAGUUGAGAAUGAAAUGGAGACUCAAUUGUUGGGAGUCCAAUCACUUUUUUCUCUUUUAACUUGCUAUUUUUGUUGUCCGAAAUUAUCUGAAGUUCCAUGCUUGCUCCAAUAGAACAAAUAAGAUAGGUUAUGAUCAACUUUUUUUUUUUCCAAAUAAAGGAACCACCUGCAUCGAUACUCCAUAAGCAAGUUUUUUCUUUUGACUGCCCCUUAUAUUUGUCACACUCCUUGUACUAGUGCCCAAUGAAACCACAACAGAAGCAAAAAUAUGGCAAUCUCUCAUAUACUACUGUAAUUGGAACAUCGUCUUCACCUUCAAGUUCUAAAUAACCAAUUUUCUUUAGUGGUUGUGUGAUAUCAAUUGAGAUACUUACUCUGGCAUACUAACCAAUGCACUCUCCUUCCACGUCCACAUCAACUUCUUCAACUAUACCAAUUGCCUCUCCCAAUGCUUUGAUUAUUUGCUGGUCUAUACACCCAACUGGGACAUUAUGAAGUUGUACCCAAAGGCAGCAUGAGUAAAUGAUUGUUUUGUUAUUUCCCCAAUUCCACUUGCCUCUUUUAGAACUAUUAGAGCUCGUUCAAAAUGCCACUGCCCACUUGAUAAAAUUCUCAUCUUAUCAACUUCAAAGGCAAAUUUAACUUAAAAAUCUUACUCCCCAGAUUUUCAAUUUCACCUAUUCUACUAUUCUGCAUACUUGUUGUAAUGCUCACUUGAGACCCUCUCUAGUAACUCCUCUUAGAUGUAAGACUUUGCCCAGAAAACAGCCCUCAACUAGCUCUCUCUCAUUCCCUUUCAUGACAUUACCAACAACUUCUUUACUCUAUUUUCCUUCUUCUAAUAUAAUAACUUUACACUUGCAAAUUAGUUCUUCUGUUUUCAUUAGGCACUAAAAUAUAAAUCCAUUGUGAUAACUCUUGAGUAUCUACCACUUCCUCUGUAAUUAAGACUCAACAACUCAAAUGAAAAACUUAAAAGUAAAAGAGACACCCAACUCGUGAGCAACUUUCGCAAUCUUAUGGGCUACUACCAUUUCAUUCUAGAUUCUCGCUCAUAGGGGGAGAACCUGUGAAGAAAGACUUCUACAGGUAGGAGACCGCUUACACAGUAGAUUAUUUAUAUUUCUUUGGACUAACUUUUUACUUUAUCAAAGACAAAAACAACAUAAACAAAGACAGAAGAUUAACAAAAGCAUCAAUUGCCAAAGAGUAGAGAGUAUUAUUAUAUUUUAGGAACAUAGGUUAUGACCAACUUAAAAGAAGCAGUUAGGGCUUGUUCAGUACUGUUUUAAAAGCCUUAUUUUCAUUUUUGUUUUGGGAGUACAAAUAUAAUACAUAUUUAGUGGGUUGAAUCCAAAAAUUAAAUCAUAAAAAAGAAUUGAUAUUCACUUUUACAGUUAUAAAAUUAAGAACCUAUUGAACAUGUUCUCAAACAAAUUACAAAUUAAAUUAAAACAUAAACCCCAAAAUAAAAUCUAAAAAGUUAUCUUCCUCUCCUAAAAUCUUAUCUCCUCCCUCUCGUUAUCUCUUCACAACUCUUCCUUCUUCAUGGUAGAUACUUCUCCUCUAACCACAACCCACCUGAACUGUGCACCGAUCUCUCUCUCCCCAUCCCCUUUAUCUAGGUCUACUUCACAGUUCUCUUCCUCUCAGUGGCUGUUACUUGUUCAUCAACCGCAAUCCAUCGUCGUAAGGUACUACGUCGGAAUAUUUUACCAAAAACAUGUCAAGACAAAGUGAUGUCUAUCAUGGUUUAUUACUGCAAGUGCAUUAUUUUCUUUGUACUAAAGUGAAUCUUUGAUGUAUUUAUUAAAUUUGGUGGAGCAAUCUUAGUUAAUUUUGAUGAUUUAUAUAUGCAUUUAAUUUCAUUUUUAAUAAUUCAUGUGCAGGAAAUAUGGAUUCUUGGCUUUGCUUGGACUGAUGGUUUGGGCAAUUUCAUUUGGAAUCAAUCAACUUCGAGGAUAAACACUUGUAGUUCAUCCUUUGUUCUCUAAUUUUGUUCAUGGGACUUGCUUUUCUUCCAUCCAACUUUUUUGUUCUCUAUUUCUAUGGUAGCAGUUUUAUGUUUUGUGUUGGUGGGAAACUUCAUGCUGCAAUUUUGUCAAAUUCUGUUGACAUACCCUAAUCAGUAAUGACUUUGCUGCAUGGCGAAAGCAUAAGCUCAUAGUUGACAUUGUUGUCAUUAGAGCUUGUUUCCAUAAAAAAAAAGUGUAAUUUGAAAGUACAUUGUACACUAUUGAAUUUGAAUUAUCUCCAACAAGUGUUGAUGCAUGAUGUCCAUCAUGUAAUUUUUUUAUAAUUAUUUUGUUUAACUUAUAUGUGUUGUAAUAUAUAGCUUAAUUAUAGUGUAAAAACAAUGGCAAUGUAAUUUUUUUAUUAAUGCUAAUACUAAAACUUUAUCAUCAUGCAAUGUUUUAUAAUUAUUUUGAUUAAAUUAUUUAUGGUAUAUUUUUGUAUUAAUUAAAUAAACAAUUAGUUUUUAUUAAAAAAAUUAUGACUUACAUGUUUAGUAAAAAUUGUUCAUGAAAAUAGUAUUACCGAACACAUUUUCUCUGUGUUUAUCUUUUUCAAUUGUGUUUACGGAACACAUGUUACUGUUUUCAAUUUAGAAAAUACAAGAUAUAGAAAAUGAUAUUAGAUGUCUAUUUAAUUCAAAAUGCAGCAACUGCAAAACACUAUUUUUACUCUCAUUUUUCUUUUUAGAAAAUACUAAUUUAGAAACAAUACCAAACAAGAACUUAGUUUUAGUACGAAUAAUGUUGUGUUAGUUUUAUAGGUUUACAUGCACCCUUAGAUUUAUUAGAAGUAUCAGCCCAACCCCCUAGUUACUGUUGACUAAUAUCGAACCCGCUGCCCGAUGUUGACUCUUGAAAGUAACUAUAACAUCUAUAUUGUAAUCUCACUUUAUUAACUAAUAAAUUUUAAAAAUAUAAACAGAUCAAUAAUAACAAAAUAAUUAAAGUUGAAAUCCAAGAAAUUACACAAAAAACCACACCUAAACCAAACCUGAAAACCAAAAUGCAUAAAAUUUCAUUAAUUUAGGUUGUGACAAUGAGUCGUCUACAUUAUAUGAUGAAGGAACAACUUCUAUCAUUUUACCAAGUUAUUAAUACUAUGUUUACGUACUAGAGUGGGCCUGAGAAGUAUAGAUUCCUCACACACUAGAGUUUACUUGCAUAUUCUAAGAGGUGUGGGAAUCUCACUCCGUUGAUCCCACCCAAUUUUGAAGUAGGGAGUGUGAUUUCCACUCCCACAAGGGAAGGUCCACUCCCACAACUUUAUUUUUUACCUUUCUUUUAUUAAAUUUAAUACAAUCAUAUUUAGUAAAAUAAAACAAAUAACAUCAUAUUUAUUUAAUAAAUAUUAUUAUAUUAUUUUAUAAAAUUCUAUUUAUUAAAAAGAAUAAUAUUAAUCUUAUUUAGAUAAAGUUAUUAUUAUAUUUAUUUAAAAAUAAUAGCAUUAUAUUUAUUUAAUAUUAAUAAUUAAUAUUAAUAAAUAGUUUAUUCUAAGAAAAUAUUUAUUUUGCACUAUAUUAUUAAUAAGAGAUAUUAUCAUUUUUCCACCAAAAUUAUUCUGAUACAUCAUGUUAGUAGCACGGUUUGGUAAAAACAUCAUUUUACCACCAAACGUUUAAAUUGUUAGUAUUUUUCCACAAUUCCGUUAAAACUCAGUUAAUAUUUAAUGGAAAAUGCAUAAAAAGUCAAUUUUACCCCUGGAGCAUAAAAGAUAAUUUUACCCUUUAAAAAGGAAGAACGACAAAAGAUGAUUUAAUUACAAAAUUACCCCCAAAAGACGACAAGACAAUUUUACCCUUUAAAAAGGGAGAACAACAAAAGACGAUUUAAUUACAAAAUUACCCCCAAAAGACGACACUGCUGCGAGAGUGAGAGAGAUAUGGGUCAGUGACAGUAAGCGAGAGAGGACGAAGAUGGAACAAGAAACGAGAGAGAGGGGGGUUGAUUUCGAUUUUUAGGGCUUCCAUAUCCAAAUUGCUUGUUUUUUUACAAUUGCAAAACACAACGUUUUGCCUUCGCAUGAGAUGUCCAAAAUGCCCUUAUGAUGUCAACAUAAUUUUUAUUUAGUUAACGGAAUGGUGGGAAAAUACUAACAGUAUAAAUGUUUGGUGGUAAAAUGAUGUUUUUAUAAAAUCGUAGUACUGAAAUGAUGUAUCAGAAUAACUUUGGUGGGAAAAUGAUAAUAUCCCUAUUAAUAAUAAUGUUUUAUUUGUGUUGCUCUUAUCAAUAAUUUUUAAUUUAAAUAAUUAAAAUUAAAACUAAUAAAAAUUUAUGAUUUACAUAAUUAAUAAUAUUAAUAAUUAUUGUUAAUUUACAAAUAUAGUGAAAUAAUAUAUUUUAUUUCAAAUAUAUUUUUUUAUUAAUUUUGUAAUUAAAAGGUACAAUUCUUUAAAUAAGUGUAAAACCGUAAUUUGAAACCAUUUACUCCCUUCUCAUUCUAGUGAGAGGAAACAACUUGCUCCCACUCCACACUCUUAAUCACAAGAUUCUCACUUCUCAAUAUUCCCACUAUAAUUUAAAAUGUAAACACCGUUUAAAACAUCAAAUAAAAUUCUCAAUUAAGUAAACCAUAAUGUGAUUGCAUAUAAAAAAAAAUUAAUAAUAUUAAUUUUCAUAAGAAUUUAUGCUCGUAGUAUUACUUUACUUUUUAUUAACCGUUGCUUCAACUUAUGGUAGAUUGUAACAUAUGCACUUUAAUUUUCUUAAUUAAGUGUAUUAUUUAAUUUUUCUCAUUCGAUGUUAAUUUUAAAUUUGUUUUGACAUAAAAUUGAGACAAUUCGAAUACGAUUCAAUGGCCGUGUAGCUGGAUUUUAUUUCAACAUGGGUCAGGCAUUAGCUUAGUUAGUAGUAAUCUUUAAAAAAAAAAGCUAGUUUAUAUAAAUGGAAAAGGGGGAGCUGAUUUCCAAAAGAGGAAAGAAAGAGGGGCACGCGAGAGAAAAUGAGAGAGAGAGAGAGAGAAGUUGACCCGUUUAGCCCGACCCGACCCGACCCACAAGACCGACCCGGCUCCAACUCCCGUUUCUGGCCACCAUUCCAAUCAAGCUUGGUACCAAUCUGAAGCUUGAGCGACGCUGGCCAUAUCCCCGCUGUCAUCGUCACCGAAAAACAGCCACAACGCCGGUGAUCAUCGUCAAUCUCGCUGGAAUUAGGUUGCACCACCGGCUGGGUUCGACUCCUCACAUCACCAGCUUUCAUUUCCGACUAACCCCGCCACCUGAAACCUCUGUUUUGGCCCUGAAUGACCACCGGAAAGCUCACGGCUUUGGGAGCACGAUCCGCCGCCAUCUCCGCGUGUGGGAGGUCACCGUCGACGCCAUUGGGCUCACCGAGGUUAGAACUAUCAUACUUGAGCUUUCCGUCGCCGUUGACUGAAGUCCGGUCACCGUUGAGCAGUGGGGGCAAUUUGGUAAUUUCACAAGACUUUAAGGUGGAUUUUUAAUUUGGUAAUUUUAGGUUAGGGCAGUGAGGUAAUUUAAGACUUUGAGGGUAAUUCGGUAAUUUAAGUUAUUAAGAGCAUUUUGGUAAUUUCGCACUUUGAGGGUAAUUUCUUAAAUUCAAAACUUGUGAUUAAUUUUGUUAUCCGAAUUGAGGACAAUUUGGUAGUUUAAGAUAUUGAAGAUGAUUCGAUAAAUUAUGAUUCCGAUGGUACUUCGGUAAAUUUCGGUGUCAGGGGCAUUUUGGUAAUUUUUGGACAUAAGGGUAAUUUUGAAAUUUUAUGUAUCCGGGAGUUUGGUUUUGAGCUUUAUUUCAUACUGUUAGUCGUAUUUCAUGAUACAGAUAAUAAUUAUGUCGUUUAUUUAAUUAGGAGGACUCGCGAGCAAAAAUCAACCAGCGGACGUUAGUGAUACCGAGUCUGGACAUCGUCACUGUGAGUGGAAUAUACAAAACUUAUUUUCAUGGUAUAUUCUGAUUUUACCAUACAGUACAACAUGUUUUGAUAAUAAGUAUUUGAUGCUUUGAUUUAAUGAUUUUCUAGAAAUUUGAUUUUCAUUCUACGUGCUGAUAUUUAUUAUUAUUGAAAAUGAGUUUGAUUAAUGAUUUUAUUAUCAUUUUUUUUGAGUAAAUGCAUGAUAUUAGAAUUGAGUGGAUUUGAGAUAUGUUGAAUAAAAAGGAAAUGGGAUUUUAUAUGUGAUUAUAUGUUUGCGUGCAUGUGCAUAAAAGAUUGUUUGGAAAAUCAUUGGAAGUACCUUUCCCCUUUUAGAUACAGAGAUACAUAUAAUAUGAGAUGAAUACAGUGAUACAGAUGAUAUGAGAUGAGAGGUUUUUGGGGCCCGUCUGAACACACACAAAGACUUUGGGCCGUGUGUUUGGGCGCUUUUGCCUUUUGGGGGCUUAUGCAUACAGUAUGAUGAUUACAUAAAUACAGAUGUUGAGAUACAUGAGAUAUGAGAUGACAUUUUCCUAUAUAUCCAUUGUAACUCCAGGGCAUGAUGGUUCCCUGAUUGUCCGUCCGUUGAGGUCCGAAUAUGAUGAGAUUAUUCCGCUGGAUACUUGUUUGAUGAUAGUUUUUUGUAUCUAGUAUUUGAUAUUAUAAGUAUUAUGAUUUCAUUGAUUUUAUGCAGAUUUAUGUAAUAUUGUUAUUUCAGUGCAUGAAUUAAAUUAAAUAAGUUUAUGUAAGUUCUUAUGAUAUUUUGAUGAAAUUAACUUGGAAAAGAUUAAAUCAUUUUAAAUAAAUUUAUUUUUCCAAAAACUACUAUCCACUCACUGAGCUCACUGAGUUUUAUAUUCACCCCGUUUUUAUUAUAUUUUUCCUCCUAUAGGAAAUUUGCAGGUACAUCAGUCGACCCAGCAACGAUAGUUAGAUUGAAAUUAUGGCCACGUGAUGGUGUUAGAAAUCAUAGAUGUUUUGUUGGGACAUGUUGAAUUGUAUAAUUUAUUACUUAUUUGUGAUUAAGGAUAAAUCAUUAUAUUCUUGACAUUAUAUGAUUGAAGGAUACUGAUAUUUAAAUUGAGGAAGUUGGUUGUGGAUGUUGAUUAAAUAUUGUAUUAUUUUUUGGAGUAUUAAUUGUAUAAAUUGUAGGUUUGGGGAUGUCAUAAUUAUAUAGAAAACUGUCGAAUUUUUUGUAAAAUUCUUAGAUAUCAGAAUUAUUAUUAGUUUGAUUAGGCGAGAUUAGAUAGACUCGUCCUGGGGAUUCGGGGCGGGUCGUUUCAUAGAUAUUAAGAGAACAAUAAUAAUAUAGCUAUAAAUGGUUGCAUACUAUCAAUCAACUUAACACUAUAAUUACCAACAAAUCCUUAAUACUAUAAAUAAUUAAAUUAUUGGGGUUUUAAAAUAACUCUCCAAACUUUGCAUGAUUUCUUUAUAUGUAGGUGCCAUGGUUCCUAUAAGUAAUAUCAGCCACACUUUUUGUUAUUGUUAAAACAAAUUUAUAAGUACAAUUUGUGAAUUUGUACAAAAUGUGGUAUUAUACAUUUGAAGCAUGAACCGAGAAGACAAUGUUGUGUCACUAAUAAAGAAAAAAAAAUUGUAUAAAAUACAGAUGUUGUAGUGUAACUUGUAUUCUUUUUAUUUAUAAUUGUACCUAUCAUGUGAUUAUAAAAAAAACUGAGAUUUUAAAAUUUUGUAAUUGCACUAUUUUUGGAUUAUCAGAAGGCUUCCUCUCCUUAGUGAUGCCCUUAAUCCAUAAAUGGUCCAAAAAAUAAUUCAUGAAAUGAAUUUAUUAUUUUAGAUAAGUUUCAAGUACGCAUACCUUUACUAGCUCCAUAUUGCAUAACUCCUCAUUUCAAUCAAUGGAUACAUUUGUUUACUUUUUCUUUCUUGUAAAUUUUUGAAUGGCCACAAUUCUAUAGAUAAUUAAUUAAGUGUUAUUGUUAUCAUUAUUUUGUAGAUUUAUAUGUGAGGUGGGGACGUUGGGGGGCAUGUAUCUCAAUAUAGCAGAGGGCCAUAAUAUUUAUUCUUUAAGAGGAACCACAACCAACAUCAAUGCUUUAAGUUCCAUUCCAUGUUCCUUCUAUGCACCAGAUUGCAUAAACAACAUUGAUUAUCCAAGGUCAAAGUCUCUCAAAGACUCUAGUUACAAUACAAAGCAUGGGUUAGCGGCCAAAAUUUUCUUGCAAUGAAAGGCUCGUAAACUGAUGAUAGCUGUUGGAUGGUUUUGGGCCCCAAUGGUUUUAAUAUUAUUCUCUUAAAAACAUAUAUGUUGAUUAGAGACGAGAGGAAAAAUAUAAUCUGAUUCAGCAAGCUGCAGAGGAAAGAGCACGCAGUGGAGUUCAGAUUUUGAAUUCUCUUGUUAAAUUGUUUUUAAUUUACUACAAGGUAGAAUACGUUGCAGUGUUAAAAAAACACUUUGAACAUCCUAUUUUUGUAUUACAAAUAUACCAAGAUUUAAAUUAUUAUUUUUCUUUAUUAGUAUAAACUAAAUUUUGCCUGAAUUCUCAUCCUUGUAAGUGGAAUUUUAUUGUGAAACUAAUAGUCAUUCCUAGUUGAACUAUCACUUUGAACAUAUGUGUCCUCUCUAAUAACAGCUUCCAAACCUGCAGCUACCUGCUUCUCAGCAUUAGAAGUAGCCAUAAUUAGGAGGAGGGCAAACUUCCAAAUAACAUUCCAAAUGGUAUUGUGAAAAAAUUUCACCCUUUUGGUAAUAAAAAAUAACCUUAUUUCUAACUUUCUAUUAACAAUCUUACCACAAAGUUCUCUCUCAAGUAGAAACAUUAUAUAUAUAUAUUAAUUUUUUGUUAAAAUAAACAAAACCAGUGGCGGAUCUACAGCUGGGCUAGGUCUAGAAAAAAUCAUUUAAACCCCUUGUCUUUUGAUUCAUUUUACAUAAGGAUAGACUUUUUAUUUUAUUUUUAUAUAAGUCCCCAAUUCAGUUACAAUUAUGUUUUUGUCAAAUUUCAUAGAAUAAUAGAGUUUUUACUUUAUUUUCAAAUAUUUCCUUAACUCAAUUAUAUUUUUUUCCCAACUGAAAUUAAUGACUUAUUUUAUAAAAUAAUUAAAUUAUAUAUUUAUUGAAUAGAUUGAAAACAUUAGGGGUUUAAAAUGUUAUUUUUAAUUUGUUUUUAAAAAAUUUAAUUUAACAAAGUAUGUGAAUGUAAUAUAACAUCGUCACUAUUAUUAAAAAUACUAAAAACAUAUAUAAUAAAAAUUAUUCAUAAAUUCAUAAAUUUUUUAUGUAAAUGUUAACAUUUUAUUUAUUAUUUACAUUAACUUAGAGGAUAAGUUAGAAAGUAAAAUUUGAGUAUUUUAAUCUGAUUUUUUAAAGAGAGUCAGAGUGUCUGGCAAAGAAAUAACGGCACGCAAGUACCUUUUUGCUAGGUUAGAGUUUAGUUUAUUAUUGAAACUCUUGACGACUAAUAUUUUUAUAAUUUAAAAAGAUGAAUAGAUUUUAAUUGUUUAAUUUAUUUAAGCUUGGUAACUAAGGUGGCAUUUGUUUUUUAACUUAAUGACUUAAAGUGACUUAACUUAAUUAAUUAAGUUAAUUAGAAGUGUUUGUUUUUAUAACUUAGACUUUUUAGAUAAUUUUGACUUAAUAAAAUAAGUCAAUUUUUUUGGCUUUUUACUUAAUGGAGAAAUUUGAAUUAAGUCAAUUACUUACUAAUGUCAAAAAUAUCCAUGUUUUAUAAUUUAUUUUUCAUAUCUAUCCCAAAACUCACCCAUAGAACAUUUACCCCACAUAAAAAUAUCCUUAUUUUUUAUUUCUUAUAUUAUAUACGAUAAAAUUUGAAAUUUAUGGUAUUUUAUAUAUUGAAAUUCUAAAAUAAUUAUGUAUUCACUUGAAUAUAGUUUUACUUAUAAAUGUUAAAAUAUUGUGGUAUUUAAUAUAUUAUUUAUUUGACAUUCAAAUUUAAUAAGGAUACGAAUGUAAAAGUACAUAUUUUUAGCUUUUUCAGUUGAAAAAAACAAACAACUCAAUACUUAUUUUCCGAGAUUCAAACGAAAAAACAAACAUAUUAUUCAGAUUCAGACAUACAGAUCUAUUCAGAAUUCAGACUAAUUCAGGUCUAUUCAGAUUUCAGACAAAAAAACAAACGCCACCUAAGUAUUUUUCAAACAUAAAGUUGUACUUGCACUUUUUAAAUGAUUAUAAUUACAUUUAUUGACUUAUUCUAAUUUAAAAUUCUUAAUAGAUUUAUUAAUUCUUAUAUAAUUAGAUGUUAUUAUAGGUUGCAAUGUUAGAUUUAAUAAUUAAAAAUAGUAUUUUUAUAUUUGAAUUAUCUUUUGUUUUUUAGUAUUUUUGUACAAUUAUUUUUGUUUAGAGUAUAUAUUCGUAGAGUUUUUCGUGUCCCCAUUAUUUGAUGUACUUCUUUUUACUUAUGAAUAUUUAUGUUCACUUCAAAAUAUAAAAUUUUAAAUUUAGCCCGGGGUAAUAUAAAUUCUUAGGUCCGCCCCUAAGCAAAACUAAAUAUUUAUGACUUAAAAGAUAGGUGUUGAACAGAGGCAGUCUCACAGAAAAAAAAAAAAAAAGUAUUUGAAAGCAGUGGUGAUAUCAUAAUUUUUUGUAUUGAUAUGAGAGUAUCAUACUAGAUUUUUUUCCGCAAUACAAAAAGUUUGUAUUCAAGAAUAAAUAAGCAAUUUCGGGAACAAAUUUUACAAAAAGCCUCGAGGCCAUGUCGUAUGAAUUUGUGAUACCAAAAAUAGUAUACUAGUCAAUAUAUCUUCUUUCCACAUUACAAAAAAUUAGAAAUGCAAUCUAAAUCGAUAUCAAUUAAUAAUUUUAUAGUACACGAAAUCAAGGUAUUUUUUCAUAAUUUAAGAAAUUAUUAGUCAUUUACCCUAAAUUUACUUUGUCUCCAAAAAUACUACGAAAACUUUAACUUGUUUAGUUUUUUACCUUAAUUUAUAAUUUAUAUCAAUCGCUCACUAAAAAGAUAAAAUUAGCUCAUAAAAUGACAAAAUAAAAACAAACACAAAUGACAAUACCAGUAAUUUUAUAAGGAUAAUAAAGUCCUUUUGGCACCAAAUUACGUAUUAAAAUAAUUUAAAUAUUAUAAAUUAUUUUCAGAUUGAGUGAGGAACCCUGGUCAUUUUAACAAUUAUGGUCAUUUAAUCUAUCUAAACAUGAUAUUUCAAGUAGACUUAUGUUUGCGUGGGAGGAUAAUGUAAAAAAAGUGGCACUUUUAUUCAACUGAAUAAAUUUCACAAUUUAAAUUAGAAAAGGAUAAAAUUUAAUAAUUAACUAUUUUUUUAACUAAUUCAAUCGGGAGCCAUUAUUUGUAGGCUGUAGCGGUCCCAAAAGCAUGACAUUAUUGUGAGUAAUGUAUCCUACUUGCAAAAUAAACGGCAGAAUGCGGUUUGGGGACGGAUUAUCGAGGUAUUUGUUAAUAUUCGGAAAUGAGAAGAAAAGGUCAAAUAAAAUUUUAACUUAUUAUUAUUAUUAUUAAAGAUUGUAACUCAGAUGAUUAGACAAAUAAAGGAACUUAAGGCCACUUGGCGGCUUCACUAGGAGCUGUUUGAGUUUAAUUCUAUUGGUAAAAUUCUAUUUUGGUAAUUCUAUUCUUCUUCUUUUCAACCCCAAAUAAUCAAAAGCUCUCCAAUGGCUUUCGUAUCCACAACUCGUCCAUUUCAUUUUACUUCAAUUUCAGUAUCAGCUCUUAGAUGUAAUUUCUCAUCUUCGUUCCCUCAUACCAGAAAACCCACAUCUUCAAUUUCGGAAAAUGAACCCUCAUAUCCGACUACAACAGCUAAACUGAAGGAGUCGCUACGACUGACAGUCAAAGACGGAGCCUCACUCGAAAAAUUUCUUAAAGAAAGGUGCAAAUCAUCAGGUCAAGGUGAUAUUAAUCUUAUUACUCCUAAUGAAGCCUUGUGUAUCUUUGAUUACAUGCUCCGUAUGCACCCUUCUCCGCCUCCUGUCUCUUCCUUCAAUAUUUUGUUUGGUUGUCUUGCUAAGAAUAAACAUUAUGAUACUGUCCUUUCACUCUUCAAGAGACUCAAUUCAAUUGGGUUGUUUCCAGAUCUUUAUACUUAUAGUAUCUUGAUUAACUGCUUUUGCAAAAUGGGUCGAGUUUCUCCUGGUUUUGUUGUUCUUGGGAGAAUCCUCAGGUCUUGUUUUACUCCAAAUGCUGUGACCUUUACUUCUUUGAUUAAAGGUUUGUGUGCGGAGGGUAGAAUCAUGGAGGCCGCUGCAUUGUUUAUGAAACUUAGAGUGUUUGGUUGUGAGCCUAAUGUUUUUACAUACAAUACUUUGAUUAAUGGAUUGUGUCGAACUGGCCAUACAAUUGUUGCUCUAAAUUUAUUUGAAGAGAUGGCUAAUGGAAAUGGGGAAUUUGGUGUUGUUUGUAAGCCAAACACUGUUACAUACACUACUAUUAUCGAUGGUCUUUGUAAGGAAGGUUUUGUGGACAAGGCCAAGGAACUGUUUCUGAAGAUGAAGGAUGAGAAUAUUAACCCCAAUGUGGUUACUUAUAACUCUUUGAUUCACGGUUUUUGUUACGCUAAUGAUUGGAAUGAGGCGAAGUGUUUGUUUAUUGAGAUGAUGGACCAAGGGGUACAGCCGAAUGUUGUGUCUUUUAAUGUGAUCAUGAAUGAGCUUUGUAAAAAUGGGAAGAUGGACGAAGCAAGUAGGCUGUUAGAAUUGAUGAUUCAGAUUGGUGUGCGUCCAAAUGCUUUUGUCUAUAACACAUUAAUGGACGGGUUUUGUUUGACAGGUAGAGUUAAUCGUGCGAAGGAACUAUUUGUUUCUAUGGAGAGUAUGGGUUGCAAACAUAAUGUUUUUAGUUACAGUAUUUUGAUAAAUGGUUACUGCAAGAAUAAGGAAAUAGAGGGAGCGUUAAGCCUUUAUAGCGAAAUGCUCUCUAAAGGUAUUAAGCCAGAUGUUGUUAUAUAUAACACCUUGUUUAUUGGCCUUUUUGAAAUACACCAGGUUGAGCGUGCUUUCAAGCUGUUUGAUGAGAUGCAACGUCAUGGCGUGGCAGCUGAUACCUGGGCGUAUAGAACCUUUAUUGAUGGGCUCUGCAAGAAUGGUUAUAUUGUAGAGGCAGUUGAACUAUUUCGUACUUUGAGAAUUCUCAAGUAUGAACUUGAUAUUCGAGCCUACAACUGCCUCAUUGAUGGAUUAUGUAAAUCCGGCAGACUCAAAAUUGCAUGGGAACUAUUUCGUAGUUUGCCUCGUGGAGUCCUAAUAGCAGAUGUUGUAACAUAUAACAUCAUGAUCCACGCGCUUUGUGCUGAUGGAAAAAUGGACAAGGCACGUGAUUUGUUUCUGGAUAUGGAAGCAAAAGGUGUAGCACCCAAUUGUGUCACAUUUAACACGCUGAUGCUAAGUUGCAUCCGCAAUAAUGAGACAUCAAAAGUUGUUGAACUCCUUCACAGAAUGGAUGAGAGAAAUGUAAUACCAGAUGCAUCUACACUUUCAAUUGUUGUGGACUUACUUGUAAAGAAUGAAAUUAGCUUAAACUCGAUUCCACAAUUCAAGAGUCAAAGGUAAGUGAGUUUAAUAUUGAUUUAGUCGCAUGUUUCUUCUGCCUGAAAACCCGAUCUGGAGGAUCCCAUUCUUAUUAACACAUGUAAAGGAGUGUUGUCUAAUGUUGGCAUGUUCCUAGGUUCUGUCCAUGGAUUCUGUUUGCGGACAUGGCUAACUUCUUGUCCAACAGAUAAGUUUUAAAGUCUUUCAACUUUAUGUUGUAAAAUAACAUUUUUAUUAUUCAAUUCAUGAGUUUUCCUUCUGUAUCACAUACUUCUCAUUAGCUGGAAGCGCAAAUUUUUUAGGCUUUUCCUGUAUGGCCUCUUUUUCUGCUCUAAAUAAAAUGGCAUUUUAUUUCUCUCUUGUGAGGGUACAAGGUUUAUGUUUAAACUUUCUGUUAGUUAAUUUGGUUGUCUUUGAUAUAGGGAACUUCCAGUUGAACUGAUUUGUAAUUCGAGUAUAUGAGAUUACCAACUGUAUUGGGAAUUGAUGCCAAAUUAAUUAUGUCAUCAGGUUUUUCAAUCAGUGUUCAUCAUUUAUUUCUGUUAACAAUUAAUAGCACAGCUUGACUUCUCAGCUUCAUUGGUUCCUCUCAAAAAUAAUCUUGUAAAGACAAUCUUUCUUGGGCAUGGAAAAUGCUAGAUUGUUACAUGGCAUUCAAUUGAAUGAGGACUCAUGAUUGUGUGUAUUGGUAUUUGUUAUACUAUGUAUUGGCAAGACAAAGUUUCUUGAAACUGACAAACUUUUCUCUAUGAAGAUUGAAGAAAAUAUGAUAAGAUAAAAUUUAUCAAAAGCAUAUAUGCUUGCCAGGGAUGGACCUUUGAUUAUUAGUCCUCGCCUUUCGUGCUUGUCUGUUCUGUGAAAUAAUUCAUUCUCCAUGCUGCUAGGGCCUAGGCUUAUGACUCUUCUUUGAAAUAAUUCAUUCCCCACAAUGUGAAAAAAAUGCUUGAAACACGACACAGACUUAACUGUUUACAGGAAAAGCGGCAGAAACUUGUGAAAUUACCGAUUAAAAAGUACCUACCAUGAGGAAGAUGCUAUACAACUCACUCGGAAAAUGUAAAAUGGUUAACAGACAUCCAAGAUGAUCAACCAGAAACACAAUUCAGAACAUGGGCUGCUUUUGGUUACCCGGCUUUCAGAUUAGGAGAUUAGGAUCCUAAAUGCUUUGAUCUACCUGAAAAGUAUACAAAUAUCAGAGUUAAAACAGAGCAGAUGAAAACGUAUUGAUGAACUCAACUGAGAUAAAUGACAAGAAAACUAACUUUUCCUGUACAAAACUCGCACACCUUCCUUUAAGAGCUGACUUUCCAAGAAGAGAUCACCACAAUCGUUCACAUCAACAGUCUCCACUUGAAAAUUUUUAUAACCACAAUAGUCAUUCCAUUCAAACCACAUCCUUGAGAUCAGUUCCUUCUUCAAGCAAGUAGGAUGGUCUUCCUCUUGAGGAGGCUCAGCAGCAACCAAUCUAUAUGCAUAAACUUUCUUUGUUUGGCCUGGCCGGAAAGGCCUGCCGAUUGCUUGGCGGGUUUCUGAUGGAGUAAAGGUAACAUCCAGAAUAAUGAUCCAAAUUUUUGUGGACUUACAUGCAAAGAAUGAAAUUGGUUUAAACUCGAUUCCACAAUUCAAGAGUUAAUGAGUUUAUCUUGAUUCUGUAGCAUGUCUCUUCUGCUUUAAAACCAGAUCUGGGGAAUCCCAUUCUCAUUACAACAUGUGAAGGAGUGUUUGUGUAUUGUUGGCAUGUUCCCAGGUUCUGUUCACGGAUUCUGUUUGCAGACAUGGCUAACUCCUCGUUUCAUCAGAUAAGUUUCAAAGUCUGGCAACUUUUUGUUGUAAAAAUAACUAUUUCAUUAUUCAAUUCAUGAGUUUUCCUUCUAUGGUGCAUUUUUCUCAUUAGCUGUAGUUUCAAAAUUCGAGCGAAUUUGAAGAAACUGCAAAAGACUACAAAGCAAAUGGUGUAGAGCACCUUUCACUUAUCACGGGCACAGGAUUACUCUGACUUUCUGCAUUUUACUGUUGGCUAUGGUUUGAUGCAUUAUUUAUUGUUCUGAAAUACCAUUCUCGUUGGAAGUUCAAUCAUUACUGUUUCUUUUUUCCCCCCUUUUUACUUGAAGUUACCUGAAGCUCCAAUCGAACGAGUAAUGUAAUGUAGGUGUUGACCAACUCCAAAUAAGUAGUUAGUUGCCUAGUAGUUGCUUUGCAUGAAAUAUGUUUUUGGUAUGAAUAAUGUUGUCUUAAUUUUACAAGCUUCCAUGGAACUCCUAAUUUGUUGGAAGUAUUAACUCAACCCGUCAUUUAAGGUUAGAUUUAACCAUUGACUUAUGUUGACUAUUAAAAGUAUUAUAAUAUUCUAUAAAUAUAACGAAACCCCCCUUUAUUAACAAAUAUAAUUUAAAAUAUAAAAAAUUAAUAAUAAAAAAUAACAAAGUUGAAAUCCAAGGAGCAACUUCUAUCCCCUAACCAAGUUAUUAAAUAUUAGAGUAGAUAGAGGCAUAUACUUUUCUUCAUGAUUCAGAAUCAUAUCUCAAAUAAAAUUCUCAAUGAUUGCAGGCCUCAAUACCAUUAAGAUGAACUAGACUAUCAUGAAAUUUUGUGCAUCUUGCAAGGUCCAAUUUCUCCAAGUUUAUCAUCAAGCCAAAAAAUGUCAUAAUUCCUUUUAUAGUAAUUUCAUAGUGUUUACUAAACGGUAAUAGAAAUGGACUGAAACACAAAUAGGGAAUGCAAGUUAGAAUAAGGAUGGCAAUGGUGAGGGGGGAGGGGACCAACAUCCUUGUACCCAUCCCUGAUGUUCUGUAUAUGUCCCCAUCCCCUUCCCGUCCCCAUCAAAAUUACUUAAGGGAAUUCACGUCCUCCCUCUGAAUAAUAACAGGGAAUCCCCAAAGGUCCCCGAUCCCCAAAUAACUGAUAUAUUUGUUUAGUUUUCAAACUUAAUUUAAUCAUAUUAAGCUAAAAAUAUAUAAAAUAAAAUGAAAAUGAUCAUGAAUGCGCCUUAUAUUUCAUUCAACUUGGUAUAUAUAAUAUUCAAAUAAUGAUUUUCAAAAAAAAAUUCAAAUAAUGUGAUUUUUAUACAAUAUUGACGUGAUUGUUGUCCAUGAGUAACGAUACCUACUGAUCACCGACUAUGAUGCAACAAAGCCGCAUGUGUGGCUGCUAGUUGACAUUGCGAUGAGUUAGUGUAACCCCCACUUUUAUUUAUUUAUUUUUUUCCUCUUUUGCCCUUAUUAAACUGAGUAGGAUAGUUAUUAUUGAGUGUUUGUGUGUGAGUAAAAUUUAUCGGAUUGUUUUAAAUAAGUUACGUAAGUUAUUUUUUUUAAAAAAAAAUAUUUAUUAAUUACCAAGUAUUUAAGAGAAAACCAUAUUUUUAAGAAGCCGUUUUUUAUUUUUCUUACACCGUUACAAACCCUAGAAAGAAAAGAAAGAAAUAUAAGUCUUUGCAAAAGGAAAAGAAAGUUUUAUCACUUCUUUUCUUAGUGUUUGCUUUAAGGUAUUAAGUAUUUCUUCGACUUAUAUGAUUUAUUUUUAUGAAAUUGUUUGCAUUUAAUUACUUGUAGUAUGAAUUGGGUAAUAUAUGUGUUUGUAAUGUUGUGAUGAUAUGAACAGUCUCUAUUCCUUGCUUGAAAUCGUUUUCUUUAUUUAGAAUCACGUGAAUAUCUUACAUAUCAUGGAACUAGACAUCCUAGGCUUUCCAUUGAUAGGUUUUGUGUUGAAAUCGCCUGAGAAUGCAAAUUCUUAUGGGUUUUCGAAGUUGGGUUACUGGUGCUGGAAAAUUCCGAUUUUCAGCAGCGGUUCUCAACUCUGGAAAUUUUUCUAUAAGGUUACACAUCCUUAAAAAUUAUGCUGAUUUUUGUGCCAACAGAUCUAUGUCUCCUAUGCUUGCAUGUUUAAUUUCGUAGUUUUAUUCUUUAUGGUUGAAUUAUUAAAAAUCGUAACAUAUGGCUGCUGCAAAUCUGGAGACUGUUAUCCAGAAUUUCAGAAGCUGAAACGUGUAACAGUUGAGCUAGUUUAUGAAUAUUACAUGCCAUGUUAGGAUUUUAUAAUGAAAUUUCAAUCUUUCCUCUGUCUUUAAAAACUGGAAUCGCGAUUUUUGGGGAUGUAAAAUAAAAGAUACGAAUUUUUGAAAUUCUGUUUUCAAAUCUGGAAUUUUCUGGACGGGUUAGAUGUUCUCGGAAAUAAAACGUUUUAAAAUAGUCUCAGGAGUCCAAAAAUUAUGAAUUUUAAUUAUAUGCUUUUUGAAUGUGUCUUCUGUAAUUAGAAAAAAAGAUAGCAUAUUACUUCGAGUACCAAAGAAUAUUUUAUGAAUUUUCUAAGUGGAAAAGGUCUGUUUUGGUCAGUGCUGGACAGUUUUGUUACUUUGGUGAAAGGUCAAUAUUCUGACUCGAUUUUGACUUGUGCUGAUUUUUGUGAAAUAUUGUAUGCAAUGCUAUACAUGUUCACAGUGCCUCUGUAAAUUUUCAUGGUUUUCCGACAUGUGUAUAGGUUAUUAAAAAUCAUCAUGUGCAGGAUACUCAUAAGUAUAGGAUAUGUUUAGAAUAUGUAUAAGUAUUAAGCUAGUAUUAGUGUCUAUGAUUUAAGGAUGAUUGGGAUUAUAUUUAAGGUUAGAGAUGAUAUUGAUAAGAAUAUUUUUAUGAUGAUUAUAGGACGUGGGUGAGCUCGUUGGUUGUUCUUGAGGUUUUGAAUUGAUUGCUACGGAUCGAGAUAAGUAGAUUCAUGCAUGAUGUGCUUUAUAAUAAAUGCAAUUUAUGUUACAAAAAUUAUGUUUAAAUGGAAAUUUUUACAAAACUGAUUUCUAAAAUAUUUAAAUGAAUUUUGUAAAAUAAAAACACUUUUAAAUGAAUUUAUAUAAAUGAAUUUUAAAAUGAAUUUUUCUUAAGAAAUGAGUUUUCUUAAACAAAAUAUUUUCUUAAAGAAUUUUCUAAAAGAAUUAAAUGAUCAAAGAAAGGUUCUUAAAUGUUUUAGAAAACUUUAAAAGCUAUUUAUGAAAGGAUGUAAGGUGGAUUCAAAAUGUUUUGGCUUAUAGUCCGUAGUAAUGUAUACAAUGGAAAUGUUAUGAUGUUAUGUAAUAUUAUGGUCAGCUUGCUGGUACGAUGAUGGUCUUGUGCACAAGGAUGUUAUGAACAAUGUGGGACAUAGUACCCUAAAUGAGGAACAAUGCGGGGUAUAACACCCUAAAUGAUGAAUGAUGAUGAUUAUGAGGCAUGAGCUACCAAUGUUUACGCUUUAAUGUUUUCAUAAAUGUUUUAAUGUUUUUAUAUGAAUCCACCCCUUAUGUUAAAUGAAGAUGUUGUUAUAAAAUGUUUAAAGGUAUAUGACAAAGGUUUUCAAAUAUUGUGCAUGGAUUUGAUUACCGAGUUGACGGCUCACCCCUCGUCUCCAAUAUUUUACAGAUUGAUUAGAGAUAUGGCUUGGGUUCUUAGACGGAGAAUUUUUCUUAGUGGAUCUUUAGAGUUGUUUUAAAGAUUAAAUUUGGCUAGACUUCCUAUUUUGCAUUAGAGACUUUUCUUUGGAGACCUUAUUUCAUAUGUUUUAUGUAAGGAUUCAGUUGGAGUAUGAAUAAUUAUUGUUUAUCUUGAGAUUUAUUAAUAAGAAUAAAUGAUGUGAGGUUUCAUUCCAAUUUUACCCUUGUGUUUUCAUGAGUAAUUUUUGGGGUGUUACAGUUAGGCUACUCGGACACCGACAACGCAAUGUGCUACUGGGCUAUGAUGAGAUGAAGACGAGUUGCGUGCUUACUACUGCAUGAAUAAUUUGGAAAUUAUGAGCAAGACUGUGAGAAAGUGAUUUAGAGUUUGAUUUGUGAGUUAUGAGCUUGUGGGAUUGUGUGCUUUUGGUUGUAAUUAAGUCUAAAUUAUAUUAAACAUUUUAUAUUAACUAAUAUUUGUAUUAUUUGUAUAAAUAUUUUGAUAUUUGUUAUUUACACCAAUAUUUUAUAUUUUACAAUUUAAAAUUUAUUAUUUAUUGACUAAUAAUUCUAAAAAAAUAAAAAUAAAAUAAAAUAUUAAAAUAGGGAAAUGGGGAGGGGACGGGGAUUCCACCUCAUCCCCAUCCCUUCCCUGAAUAAGUAAUUGGGUAAAAAAUCGUCUUCGUCCCUUCCCCGAAUAAGAAGUUUGGCAUAAAAUCGUCCAUGUACCCUCCCCAAAUAGGAAAAAUCCCCAAGGGCCCCCAUCCCCAUGGGGAUUCCUGCCAUUUCUAAAUUAGAAUAAAUUAUUUACUUGAACUGUAGGAAUCAGAAUAAAAAUAAGCUGGAUUGUCAUUGAUGUGUCUAUUUUGUCUUGGAAUUGAAAUCAAAAUGAGUUACAUUUUAACAACUUACUAAAAAGUGCUUAAUGAGCUAUUGUCAUAAUUAUUAUUUUAUAUUUUAAUUAUGGUAAUUAUUUAUUCAAAAAUUAUAAUAAUUAUUAUUGUUAAUAAUAUAUUCAUAUAUUAAUUAAUUGAAAAUUAUUUAAAUUAAUUAAUUAUUAAUAUAUUAAUUGAUUAAUUAUAAUAAUACAUUAAUUAAUUAUAACUGAGGACAAAAUAAAUAUUUUUUAUUUUGUGAGGGGGCAAAAUGGUCAUUCCAAGGAAUGGGAGACUAAUUCCCGCCUCCCUUGGGAAUUAAUCUUCCAUUUGCCAUUCCCAAAUUGCGGUGGACUCAACGAUUUCAAUUCCGAUUCUUGACUCUAUUUUGUGAAGUAAAUGCUCUCAAUAAUUUCGAUUCCUCAAUCCGAAGAAGUAAACGCACAGUUACUGUUUCUUCUAAAGCUCAAACUUGUCAGGUUUGAGAGACCUGAUAGAUACUUCAGUCAUGCAUCUACUUCAUCAUAAGACAAACUGAAAGUUAGAAAUAAAAGGGACAACUCAAGGAAAAUGCACACAAGUGAGGUUUCAAAAUUAAAAUAGACACUUCAGCUGCAAAUCAGCAUACACAUACAAUGGAGGUCAUACAAAUAUCAUUUCUACAACCGCCCUACUGUAUUCUUGAAUGAAGAUGGUUUAAAGUCAAGUAAUAAGAUAUUUAAACUUAAGACAGAACAAUACAAUUAAAUUUGCUGGAACUUAUGAGUAACUUACUCUCAUCUCUCCUCCUAAUUUAAUUGGACAGGCGUAAAUUUUCCAUGUUAAUAUGGAUGAAGUAAAUUUUCUUUUUGUAAUAUAUCUAUGCAUUAAAAAAAAUUAAUAAUAAUAACUUUUACAAGCAUUUAUGCUUGUAUUAAUACUCUACUUUUUACUACACGAUUGCUUCAGUAUAUGGUGGAUGUUAAGAUAACAAUAAUAAUAGAAUUACAAAUACUUGCAUACUAUUAACUAACUUAACACUAUAAUAUUGUUUACGGUGUAAGCACUCGAGGUGAUGUUAAUAUGCCAAAGAUUUAAAAAUAUUAGUUCUAGCUUUUGAAGAAAAAUAUACUUUUAGUCAGAAGGGAAAAAAAAGCUUUCUAACAAGAUAUCAAAAUGGUUAAUAAGAAGAGCAGUAGUAAUGGGGUAAAAGCUCGUUUAGUCCCUAUAUUUUGAGGUUAGUACUUGUUUAGUCCCUAUAUUUUUAAAAAUGCUUUAAAACAUCUUUGUCGUUAAAUUAUUGACACCCCUGUCUUUACUUUGUAUUCCUUUUAGCUUACUUUUACAAUAUUACCAUUUUUGCAAUAUUGUUUAAUUUUUUGGACAUUAAUAAUAAAUAAAAUUACCAAUUUAACCCCAAAAAUAAAAUAAAGACAAAGAAAAUAUAUAUUAAUCUUUGUCGAAACUAUGUCAAAAAAAUAAAUAUUGUAAAAAAAAUUUAACUACUAAUUUUUUAGACAUUAAUAAAAAAAUUAAUAUAUUAAUUCCUCGUGGAGUAUUCAAAAAAAUUAAUAUAGAUUUUUUUUUGUUUCUAUUUUACUUUUUUGGGUUAAAUUGAUAAUUUGAUUUUUCUUGUUAUUAAUGUGCAAUAAAGAAUAAAUAUUAUUGUACGGGGGUAAUAUUGUAAAAGUAAGUUAAAAAGAACAAAAAAUAACGGUAAGGGUGUCAAUAUUUAACGAUAAGGAUGUUUUAAGGCAUUUUUAAAAAUAUAGAGACUAAAUAGGUAUUAAUCUCAAAAUAUAAGGAUUAAACGAGAUUUUACCCUUAAUAAUGUUACGAGGGGGUUCAAAUGGAGGGGGAUGGGUAUUUCCAAAUUUGUAUCCAUUAAUUUUUUUAAAACUCAUAUCUGUCACUUGUUAUUAUUUUAAAGGAAAUUAUCAGUCAUAUACCUUAAGUUGACAAAACACUUCUACCGUCCACCAUUCCUUUAACUUCCAUUUGCAAGCGUUGACAUCAUAAGGGUAAUUUAGUCUUUUAAGACUGACGAAACUUUGAUAAAAAAAACGGCAUGUCAUCCCAUUUACCGAAUAAAAAAUGACAUGUCAUAUGAUAUAUAUUGAUAAAAAUAACAUGUCAUUCCACUUAUCGGUUAAUUGUUAAUAAUUGCUAAAAAAAACUAUUUUACAACUGAAUCUACUCCUCCAAAAUUUAACUUAAAUUUUUGAAGAUCUACUCCUCCAAGCUCCAACUUGAAAUUUUUAUGGUAUAAUAUGUAUAAUUGUAAAUAAUAUGUUGUUAAUAAUUUUUUAUGGUAUAAUAUGGAUAUUUUUUAUGGAUAAUUGUUAAUACUAUGUACCAUUAAUAAUUCAUUUUUUAAUCAAAAAAUGUAUUGGUAAUAACAAAAUAAAAAAAAUUAUGUAUUGAAAAUUUACGUUAAUUUUUGGGAUAAAUUUAUUUUUUUACCUCAUUUUGAGUUUUAAGGGCAAAAUAGUCAAUUUACCACAAUUCUGUUAACUUUCUAACAGAAGUUAAUAGAAUGGUGGACGGCAGAAGUAUUUUGUCAACUUAGGGUAUACGAGUAAUACACUUGAAAAGUAUUCACACACGUUUGAUACGGGUAUCAUUUAAGGGUAUAUAGCUGAUAAUUUCCCUUAUUUUAAAUAUCAAACUUGUCAACCCUUAGGGGAAACAAGUAUUUAACGGACUUUGUGCGGCUAAUUCUCAUCAUUCGCUACUCUAAAUUUUAUUUUACAGAUUUGUGCAUCAUUUAUAACAUUUAAUUAAAUACACUUAAAUUAUAUAGAUUCAACGGUUCAACCUUCAUAUAUCACAUGAAAAGAAUACUGAAUUUUUAACAUCUCUCAUCAAGAGAUUGUACUGUGCUUACUCAAUUAGAUACUAAGGUGGCGUUUUUUUUUUAACUUAAUGACUUAAAGUGACUUAACUUAAUUAAUUAAGUUAAUUAGAGGUGUUUGUUUUUAUAACUUAAUGAGACUUUGUAGAUAAUUUUGACUUAAUAAAAUAAGCUAAUUUUUUUUGCUUUUUACUUAAUGGAGAAAUUUGAAUUAAGUCAAUUACUUACUAAUGUAAAAAAUAUUCAUGUUUUAUAAUUUAUUUUUCAUGUCUAUCCCAAAACUCACCUAUAGACAUUUACUCCACAUAAAAAUAUCCAUGUUUUUUCUUUCUUAUAUUAUAUACGAUAAAAUUUAAAAUUUAUGGUAUUUUAUAUAUUAAAAUUCUAAAAUAAUUAUGUAUUCACUUCAAUAUAGUUUUACUUAUAAAUGUUAAAAUAUUGUGGUAUUUAAUAUAUUAUUUAUUUGACAUUCAAAUUUGAUAUGGAUACAAAUGUAAAAGUACAUAUUUUCAGUUUUUUCAGUUGAAAAAAACAAACAACUUAAUACUUAUUUUCCGAGAUUCAGAUGAAAAAAUAAACAUAUUAUUUAGAUUCAGACAUUCAAAUCUAUUCAGAAUUCAGACUAAUUCAGGUCUAUUCAGAUUUCAGAUAAAAAAACAAACGACACCUAAGUUUAUACUCCAACUAAUGUGUUAAUAGUAUUUGAAUAAAAAAUGAUAAAACUUAAUAAUUAAUUAUUGCUUAAGUCAAUUAAAUAGUAUCAUAUCAUUUGUUAAAAAAAAAAAAAAAUCUUUGUUGUUUCAAGAUUAUUAAUCCUUUUUCAUUUACUUAUUAUCAUUACUAUCUGCAACAAUCAUAAUGAUUUGCAUCAACAUGUGAUUGUUUUUUUGACUCCAAGAACAGCUUGUAAAUGUAAUUUCUCUUCUUCCCCACUCACCCUUGAAAACCCACUAUUUGUGUACUUCCAAAACGAUUUAUUGCUGACCGCCAAAGACCGAUACUCACUGGACAAAUUCCUAAAAGAAAGAUUCAAAUUCCAAUGUCUUAUACCUAUUUGAUUUGCAGUUCUUGUUAUGCUAAUGACUAGAAUGAGGCAAAGUGUUUUUUAAUUGAGAUGAUGGAUCUAAGGGUGCAGCAUGAUGUUGUGAUUUUCCAUGUUGGUCAUAUAUGAGCUUUGUGAAAAUAGAAAGAUAGAAGAAGCAUGUAGGUUUUUAGAAUCGCAUCAAUGGAUGGGUUUUGCUUGACCGAGGGAACUAUUUGUUUCUGUGGAGAAUAAAGGGUGCAGAAAUGAUGUUGCUAAAUACAACAAGUUGAUAAAUGGGUAAUGCAAGAAUAAGGAAGUAGAGGAAGCGUUAGGCCUUUGUAGCGAAAAGCUUUCUAAAAGAAUUCUCCUAGAAUAUGUUGGGGGGAUGGAGCAGCUGCCCCCAUCGCACCCUAAGCCAACAGACUCAAAAUUGGAUGGGAACUUUUUUCAUAGAUUAUUUCACGAACGCCCGAUUCCAAAUAUGUAACAUAUAACAUCAUGAUUCAUGGGCUUUGUAACAAUGGGCAAAUGGAUACGGAAGCAAGGCGUACGACGCCCAGUUGUGUCAUGUUUACUAAGCUUAUGCGAAAGAAUGAGACAUCAAAAGUUAUUGAACUUCCUCACUCAAUGGAUAAGAGAAAUGUAAUGCGGGAUGCAUCUAUACUUGCAACUGUUGUGGACUUUCUUUUAAAGAAUGAUAUCCGUUUAAACUCGAUUCCAGAAUUCAAAAGCCAAAAUUGAAUAUUGAUUUAGUAGCAUGUUUUUCUACCUGCUGAAAUUCGGAUAUGGAGGGUCCGUUUCAUUAUCCCAAAUGUGAAGGAGUGUCACGUUGUGAGGGCAAUGUAAAAUCCUCGCCAUCUGGUUCGGUUCACCAAAGAAACUUCCCCAUUAAUUUCUUGAAAAAGUUGAGUUAAAACUGUGAAUGAAAGAAUCAUGAUGAUCUGUUUUGGUUUGUGAGAUGUUAGAAAGUGGUCAUUGUUUAUUAAGUGGAAAUAAAAAUGAGGGAAUGAGAUUCAUUAAUUUGUUUACUUAUAAAUAGAGGAGGAGAAUUGAGAAUUAAAUUUGUUGGCCUCACAUCAAUUUAUGAAUAACUCUUGGAUUUCUAAUUUCUAAGGGAGAUUUGGAAUCUACAUCUCAUUUACAAUCUACCCAAUUGUAAUAAUUUUCAUUUUGUCAUUCUUUUAAAUAUUUAAAAAAUAAAUAAAAAUCGCAUGAGUACUGUGCAAAGAUGGAUUGUUCUUGUUAUUGUUGAUGUUAUUAUUACUAGCACCGAAUUACAUAUUAUUAAAUUAAUUUAAAUAUUACAAAUUAAAUUAUUUUUAAAUGAGUGAUAAAACCUGAUCAUUUAAUAACCAUGGCCAUUUAACAGAUUUAAACAUAAAAUUUCGUGUCAAAUUAUGUUUGAGUAUAAGGAUAAUGUAAGAUAAUUGGUACUUUAAUUUACAUUUAUGUGCUAACUGAAUAAAGUUCGCUAUUUAAAUUAAAUUAGAAACGGUGAAAUUUAAAAAUUAACUAUUAUUUAGCCAUUUAAACGCAGAGACACAAUUUGUCACGGUUCCAAAAGCAUAGCAUCAUUGAAAGUACCGUAUCCCACUUGUAUUAAUAUUCGGAAGAAUGGAAGGUUCUAUUUUGGUAAUUCUUUUCUUCUUCUUUUUCAACCCCAAACAAUCAAAAGCUCUCCAAUGGCUUUCGUAUCCACAACUCGUCCAUUUCAUUUUACUUCAAUUUCAAUAUCAGCUCUUAGAUGUAAUUUCUCCUCUUCGUUCCCUCAUACCGGAAAACCCAAAUCUUCCAUUUCGAAAAAUGAGCCCUCAGAUCCGACUACAACAGCUAAACUGAAGGAGUCGCUGCGACUGACAGUCAAAGACCGAGCCUCACUCGAAAAAUUCCUCAAAGAAAGGUGCAAAUCAUCCGGUGAAGGUGAUAUUACUUCCAUUACUCCUAAUGAAGCCUUGUGUAUCUUUGAUUACAUGCUCAAUAUGCGCCCUUCUCCGCCUCCUGUCACUUCCUUCAAUCUUUUGUUUGGUUGUCUUUGCUAAGACUAAACAUUAUGAUACUGACCUUUCACUCUUCAAGAGACUCAAUUCCACUUGGUUGUUUCCGGAUCUUUAUACUUGCAACAUAUUGAUUAAUUGCUUUUGCAAAAUGGGUCGAGUUUCUCAUGGUUUUGUUGUUCUUGGGAGAAUCCUCAGGUCUUGUUUUACUCCAGAUGCUGUGACCUUUACUUCUUUGAUUAAAGGUUUGUGUGCGGAGAGUAGAAUCAUGGAGGCCGCCGCAUUGUUUACGAAACUUAGAGUGUUUGGUUGUAAGCCUAAUGUUUUUACAUACAAUACUUUGAUUAAUGGAUUGUGUCGAACUGGCCAUACAAUUGUUGCUCUAAAUUUAUUUGAAGAGAUGGCCAAUGGAAAUGGGGAAUUUGGUGUUGUUUGUAAGCCAGACGCUGUUACAUACACUACUAUUAUAGAUGGUCUUUGUAAGGAAGGUUUUGUGGACAAGGCCAAGGAACUGUUUCUGCAGAUGAAGGAUGAGAAUAUUAACCCAGAUGUGGUUACCUAUAACUCUUUGAUUCACGGUUUUUGUUACGCUAAUGAUUGGAACGAGGCGAAUUGUUUGCUAAUUGAGAUGAUGGACCAAGGGGUACAGCCUAAUGUUGUGACUUUCAAUGUGAUCAUGGAUGAGCUCUGCAAGAAUGGGAAGAUGGAUGAAGCAAGUAGGUUGUUGGACCUGAUGAUUCAGCGUGGUGUGCGUCCAAAUGCUUUUGUCUAUAGCACAUUAAUUGAUGGUUUUUGCUUGACAGGUGAAAUAGAUCGUGCGAGGGAAUUAUUUGUUUCUAUGGAUAUUAACGGGUGCAUGCAUAAUGUUGUUACUUACAACACGUUAAUAAAUGGGUACUGCAAGACUAAGGAUGUAGAGGAAUCUUUAAAUCUAUAUAGUGAAAUGCUUUCUAAAGGAAUUAGGCCAACAGUUGUUACAUAUAACACCUUGUUUCAUGGCCUUUUUGAAAUACACCAGGUUGAGCAUGCUUUAAAAUUGUUUGAUGAGAUGCAGCAUAGUGAUGUGGCAGCUGAGACCUCUACGUAUAAUACCUUUAUUGACGGGCUCUGCAAGAAUGGUUAUAUUGUAGAGGCAGCUGAACUAUUUCGUACUUUGAGAGUACUCAAGUGUGAACUUGGUAUUGAAGCAUACAGCUGCCUCAUUGAUGGAUUGUGUAAAAUAGGCAAACUGGAAACUGCUUGGGAACUGUUUCAAAGUUUGCCUCGUGUAGGCCUAAUGCCAAAUGUUGUAACAUAUAACAUCAUGAUCCAUGGGUUUUGUAAUGAUGGGCAAAUGGACAAGGCACAUGAUUUGUUUCUUGAUAUGGAAGCAAAAGGUGUAGCACCCAAUUGUGUCACAUUUAACACGCUUAUGCUAGGUUGCAUCCGCAAUAAUGAGACAUCAAAAGUUGUUGAACUCCUUCACAGAAUGGAUGAGAGAAAUGUAAUACCAGAUGCAUCUACACUUUCAAUUGUUGUGGACUUACUUGUAAAGAAUGAAAUUAGCUUAAACUCGAUUCCACAAUUCAAGAGUCAAAGUUAAAGUGAGUUUUAUAUUGAUUUAGUCACAUGUUUCUUCUGCCUGAAAACCCGAUCUGGAGGAUCCCAUUCUUAUUACAACAUGUAAAGGAGCGUUGUCUAAUGUUGGCAUGUUCCUAGGUUCUGUCCAUGGAUUCUGUUUGCAGACAUGGCUAACUUCUUGUCCAACAGAUAAGUUUUAAAGUCUUUCAACUUUAUGUUGUAAAAUAACUUUUUUAUUAUUCAAUUCAUGAGUUUUCCUUCUGUAACACAUCCUUCUCAUUAGCUGGAAGUGCAAAUUUUUUAGGCUUUUCCUGUAUGGCCUCUUUUUCUUCUCUAAAUAAAAUGGCAUUUUGUUUCCCUCCUGUGAGGGUACAACGUUUAUGUUCAAACUUUCUGUUAGUUAAGUUGGUUGUCUUUGAUAUAGGGAACUUCCAGUUGAACUGAUUUGUAAUUCGAGUAUAUGAGAUUACCAACUGUAUUGGGAAUUGAUGCCAAAUUAAUUAUGUCAUCAGGUUUUUCAAUCAGCGUUCAUCAUUUAUUUCUAUUAACAAUUAAUAGCACAGCUUGUCUUCUCAGCUUCAUUGCUUCCUCUAAAAAAUAAUCUUGUAAAGACAAUUUUUUUUUUUUUUUUUUUGGCAUGGUAAAUGCUAGAUAGUUUGUGGUCUGAAUGAUACUACACAUCUAAGUAAUUGCCCAAAUUGCCAUGUAACAAGGAGUGUUGCAUAGUGAUGUCAUGCUCACAGGUACCACUCAUCAACAUGGCCAACGCUUUCGAUGCAGUCAUUAUUAUGGAAAUUCAAGAGUUCUCCUCCUAAGAGGUCUCUCUCUCGUUCUCUUAAUUUCCUUAUUCUGUUUUGGAAGUAAUGUAAUGGGAAAAUAGCAUUUAAUUUCCUUGUGUCUGACAUUUUCUUCUAUAAAUGCUAUAAAAUAUCAUUUUUUUUUUCAUCAUUGAUAUGUAUUACACAAUCAGAAGACUAAUAUUUAUAUGAAACAUCUACUUUAUGGCACAAUUCAGAUUUUUAUCCUUAUAAAUAUUGGAAGGAUAUCUUUAUGUUUCUUCUGUGAUAACUUUUCUGGGUGCUGCAACCUUUUUAUUAGAUUGAUAGAAUGUGAAUACAAGGAAAUUCUGUUUGAUAAUCUUGGCAAACCAGGAUUAAUAUGAAAUGGAGCAUCAUCAACAAAUACUUAGCAUAUUGCUGACUAUGAUUUGUUCUUUCCUCGCCUCAUUCUUUUUGUGAGUAGAAUUGGAUCGUGAAACUUGUUAUGUCAGCACAAGUGUCCUUUCAAGUUGAUGUAAAAUACACUGACUUGAAAUAAUGGCAUGGUAAUUUGGGGGUAUAGAUAAGCUAGCAUGAGUAUAUUUUGUCACCAAUUUCGCCAACCGCGUAUGGGUGUGGAAAUUAUAUUGCAUUUCUAAUGUCAUUUGAAAGAAAAACUUGCAAAAUUUGUAAUUUGUUAAAUCUGAACCGUGGUUCACAUCUACUCUUCCCCAACUUGAGUCAUAUGAUUCAAUUUUUUAGUGGGCAUGACGAGAUAGAUUUCUACCAAGCCCAACCCAUUUAUCUACCCUUUUGUAAUUUUCUAUCAUGCAUAUAUUUAUAUUUUUGUAUAGUUAAUAUCUAAUUAUUUAUAUAUUUUUAUUGAAUAACUAUUAAUUAUAUUUUUCUAAAAAAUCGGCAUGAAAAGUUCAACUUAAUAUUGAAUUUAAAUACUUUGAUAAGUAUAUGUCAAAUGUUUGGAAUUCUUUUUCUUAGUCUUCAUGAUUGAUUAAUUGAAAAAUAAAUGUGUACGUAUUAAAAUGGUAUUGGAUAAACAUGCCCCUAUCACCCAAGUUUUCCUUUGGAUAAUUUCCUAACUUGCAAGUUGAUAUCGAUGUUUAAAAAGAACCAAAAAAAAAAAGUACAUAGAAAUCUUCGUCAAUUACUUCUUGACCUAGUAGUUGACACUUUCUUAUCUUAUUCUUGAGGUUAAAGGUUUGAAUCUUCUUAUGUGGAUUUUAGGUGAACUAUAGAAAAACAAAUUAUAUGAGACAUUUUCAAAAUAAGUAUAAAUGUGGUACUUAUUCAUCAGACGAACAUAUUAAUGACGUGAUAAAUCCGUGUUAUGUAAAUUUUCCAGACUGUAUAAUUAUAUUAUAAUAUUAAAUAAAUAAGAAGAAAGAAUGGAAAAUGCAUCUUCCAAAAGUUUUCAUAGAUUGGCUAUAUGCACAAACAGCAAAUCGAAACAAAAAGAAAGGAUGUGACGUGACCUUACUACCUGUUAUCCCAGUUAUGGAAUUCAAGUCAAUCUUUGAAGUAAUGCACUUUUAUUUCUCUAUGACAGAGACAGGUCCAAGUCUUUCAUCCGAGGCAAAUGCUAAGCUCCAAUUACUUAGCAGGGGUGUUCAUAAUCUAAUCCGAUCCACUUAAUUUAUCUGAUCCGUGAAAAUUCGAUUCGUAUAAAUUCAAUCCGUGGAUUUGUGAAUUGGAUAUGGAUUGAAAAUUUAAAAAUCCGCAGUCGAUGGAUUGGAUAUGGAUUUACUUUUGUAAAUCCGUAAAAAUCCGUGAAUUCACAAAAAAAAAUAUAUAUAUAUAUAGUUAAAAAAUUAUUAUAAAUUUAAUUAAAGAAUAUUAUAAUUGUGACAUUACAUAGUUACAUAAGAACUAUAACAUAUCUUAACCAUUACCCAACAAUAAUAUAAAAUAAUUAAAUAAUCAAAUAUACAAAUAUAACUUGUAAAAAUUAUAAAACAAAAUAAAAGGAAAGUCACACGCACUAACAAAAGCAAAGUAACAUAACGCAAAGUCACCAACAAUUUACAAACAAAAAACCCUAAGCUUCCCCGCUGUCACAUGCACUAGCAACCAAUAUUGGUUUGAUACACUCUCGACACCGAUUUGAAGGACGUCGGUCGCACGAUUCUAGCGAGAGCAAGCCAUCUUCUUCCCCGAGUCCAUCGAGCCACUUCACAAUCACUAGUUCCAGCCAAACAAUUGCACUAUCACAACCUUCAAGAUCGCCACCCGUACUUCUCCUGGUUCCCAUCGUUGACGGCUACGUAAUCACCACUUUUCGACAAAUACAACAGCCCUGGUGAAGGAUCAGACUGUGUUUGGUUUCGGAAACUUCACCAUUUCAAUUAAUUAUGGCUUUAUUUGAAUAAUUAAUUUCGGUGUUAUAUUAAUGUAUUAUUGUAACUUUAUUUGAACAAUUAAUCUCGAUGUGCUAUAUUUUGAAACUUUGAAUGUAUUAUUUUAGUUUUAUUUAAAUAAUUAAUUUGUUUAAAUUUUAUUCAAUUUUAAAUUUAAUUGGUAGUAAAAUUAUUUUUAUAUUAGAUUUUUUUUUUUAAAUUUCAUUAGUUCAUGGAUUGGGGAGAACAAAAAAUUUUUAAUUCGGAAGCUAAUGUGUAAAAUGGUGGAUUGGAUAUGGAUUAAGUUAAAUCCACAUCUGAUCCGCAGACGUAUGGAUUGGAUAUGGAUUUAGUCAAAUCCGCAUCCGAUCCGCAGAUAUAGGAUUGGAUUUGGAUUGAGUUUAAUCAAUCCGUGGAUUGGAUUGGAUUGAAAAAUUAUAAUCCGCAAAAUUGUGGAUCAGAUAUAAAUUAAUGUCCAAUCCCUAAAAUCCGAUCCGCGAACACCUCUAUUACUUAGAGGCUCCCUUCUUCCAAAUUCAUAAUCUUCAACAUUUCUCCAACCAAUCAAGCAAGGCUAGAGAUAGGUAACAUACAUUUUGAUGUACAUUUGUCUUUUGUAUCAUUUACUUCACUAGUGAUCCAUUAAAUGGAUCCACCAUUAACGUAAAUGCUAGUUUAACUAUUGACAGUGGAGCAAGUAUGUAUGUGGUCCCUACGCACAAGCAUACACGCCCAUUAAAGCAUUACUCUCCUCAUCAUUGGAUAUGAAUUUUGUGAACUAUAUAUCUUUUUGGGGGUUUCAUUUAUCUUUCCGGUCUCUUAUGAUCAUUCACGGCUCCUGCUGCUGCUUCUUAUUGGCUCUUUGACAUCCUCUGUCUUGUUCUUGCUGUGUGUGUCGGCCACUAGCAACUGCUUCAAGCAAUGUGAGUUUGUUGCGUGAGCUUCCGUUUUGGUUAUUUUCAAUUAUUAUUUUUGUUGAUGGGUUUGUGAUUUUGUGCUGUAUUAUUACAGGAUUACACUGUUUAUAUGUAAGAUAGAAGAUAUGAUGAGCCUCAGCUGGUUCAGGAUUCGCACCAUCAGAUUCUUUCGGAUAUUCUUGGAAGGUUUAUAUUUCAAUCUCUUUAGCCGAAUUUACCUAUUAUAUUUUUAUCAUAUAAACGUUAUGCAAAACGUUUAUGUUAAUGUAUGGUGAAAAUUGAAAAAUGGAAAAUAAAAAUAUUUGUACUGCUUUCACUAUUUAUCUAUGUUAAUCUCUUUGAUAAAAUGAAGUGGAUGUCAUUAUUUCCAUGCAUCAGUAAUUACAAUCCAUAUUGUGCUCUUGCUAGUCUGUGCUCCAUUUGAACAUCGCAACGAACUUAUUUACUUACAUAUUUUUUGUGCUUUCUGGUUGGAAAUUGGAAGUUUUAACCAAUUUCUGAUCAGAAACAGCCCUUUUGAGUGCUAUGGCAGAAACCGCAGACGUGACCUAACCUUCAUUUUUAAUUUGUAUCAAUUGGUAGUUUUUUAUAACUCUCUCUUUUCCCCUCUAUCAAUAAUGAAUGGUAUUCGCUAGAGAAACCGUAAGGGGACUAAUCAUUGUGAAAAGCACUAGGUGAUAACUAGCAGUUUCAAUUUGACAGCAAAGAAGCUGCUAAGGAAUCAAUUCUCUGUACAGCCACAAGCAUGGUUUUUCUGGAUUUGCCGCAGUCUUAACAGUCUCAAGCCAAGUUAACUGCAGGUGUUAUAAUGUUCGUGAAUGAAAUCUGUUUUAGCUGUCCAAAUUUGUUUUAUUAACCAAUAUUUUCUGUUGAUACGUUUUGUAUGAUGCAUUUGUGCAGAUCACCCUGCCGUGGUCUGUAUUGUACCAAAUAGGACACUCAGUUUGCACACAACCAAAAUGUUGUGAAUGAAAUUCCUUCAAAAGGCCAUUCAGGCGCUGGAAGUUAUUUUCAGAUUCAUGGAAAUAACUAUAAUACUGGUGGCAUUUAGUUUCCAAGUGAUCUUGGUAGUUCAAUAAGUUCUAGUUCUACACUUGUUUCCAAAGGUUUUGGUUACAUGAUGGUCUGCCCGUUGAAUUACAAACUUGUGAUGAUUUGUACAAGAGGAAAAAAUGUAUUGGUUGGAAUUUUUGUUCCAUAUGAUAUAACUCUGUGAAACAGCUUUACAUUUUGUGUUCAAGUUGAACAACAUACAAUUUGAACGAAGAUUAUUCAAUCAAAUUGAAGAUUUCUGUUUGAAUAUUUUGAAUGACAAAAUUAAAUUUACUUUCAUGCAGAUGCAGUAGCAUUUAAUCAAGUUCCUUGUGCUGUUGAAACAAAAAUAUAACAUCCUUGCUUGCAUUUCAACAUGAUAUGAUGCCACUCUUUUACUGUUAACCAACACACAUACAUCAUGUAGGCCUAAUGGCAAAUGUUGUAACAUAUAACAUCAUGAUCCGUGGGCUUUGUAAUGAUGGGCAAAUGGGCAUCUAGUUUUUCGUUUGUGAGGCUACUAGGUCUAUGCUGAAACUUUAUGUUAGUUAAAUUGAUUGUCUUUGAUAUCUAGAACUUCUAGUUGAACUAAUUUGUACUUUGAGUAUAUGAGAUUGCCGGCUGUAAUGGGAAUUGAUGCCAAAUUAAUUAUGCAUCAGGUUUUUCAACGUGUUCAUCUUUUAUUUCUGUUAACAUUUUGGCUCUGGACAUGCUGGAUUGUUUUUGGUUUCAGUGAUACAAAACAUCUAACUAAUUGUCCAAAGUUUUUCAUUCCUUGCGACAUAGCAUUCAAUUGAAUGGUGACUCAUGAAUCAUGAUUGUGUGUUUUGGUAUUUGUAUACUAUGUAUUGGCAAGACAAAGUCUGUUGAAACUGAGAAACUUUUUUCCGCCUUCCAUUCUUGUUUCAUAUUCUUAUGCUAACAAAUCUUGAUCAUGAUGAGUCUCCUCUUUUCUUUUCAACCCACAUAUAAAGUCUUGGCCAUAAGCCUCAAGGCCUAUUGGCUAUUGCAGCAGUGAGUUCACUCUCUGGAAUCAAAUCUUUCAAAUACGAGGAAAUUUGAAAAAAUUGCAAAUGUCUACAAAGCAAAUGAUCCAAAGGUCCUUUUUGUUAUCACACACACACAACAUUACUCAGACAUUGUCAGAGUAUCCAUGUUUUACAGUUGGUCCUGUUGUGCAAACAGCAUUUCUGAUUUUUCCAGAAGACAAUUCUUCGAAGCAUGUAUUUGAGAUGCGCGUAGAGCGUUGGAAUUAUAUGAUUAAUUCUCUUUAAUUUCCAGCCAUAGUUCUAUGCAGGCCAGUUAAUCCCCUUUUUUGUAACACCCCCCCCCCCCCCCCCCCCUCUUCCUUUUUUGCUAUGGAUUGUAUUUCCUUUUUUUUCUACUUUUACUUGCGUUGACAAUUUGAGCUUGCUGUCUUGUGGUUUUAGAACCUGCUAAAGUAAGCGUGCAAGUGACAAUGAAGAAGGGGAAGGGUUUACUCGUCAUUUUCUUUUUGAAAGCAAUGCGUUUUAUGCGGUGAUAUUUUUUUUUUAUCUAUGUUGUGAAAAAAAUUUGACUGAUUUUGAAGAUCCUUAAAGAUCGUCCAUCUUGGUUCUGGCAUUGUUGCAGCCUUGAAGUUUGCAAAACGAUUCCUGCUGGAUAAAUGGAACAGCUGCCUCUUUGAUGGAUUAUGUAAAUCUGGCAGACUUGAGUUUGCAUGUGAAUUGUUUCGUAGUUUGCCUCGUCGAGUCCUAAUGGCAGAUGCUGUAACAUAUAACAUCAUGAUCCAUGGGCAUUGUGACAACGGCCGAAUGGAUAAGGCACAUUAUUUCUUUCUUGAAAUGGAAGAAAAUGCUAUGGCACCCAAUGUGAUCACAUUUGGUACGUUUAUCCAUGGUUUUAGCCAAAUCAAUGAGCCAUCAAAAGUUAUUGACCUUCUUCACAAGAUGAGGGAGAAAAAAGUAAUGCCAGAUGCAUCUAUAGUUUCAAUCGUUGUGGACUUACUUGUAAAGAAUGAAAUUAGUCUGAACCCACUUCCGUCAUUUCCUGUCCAAGAGCGACAGGGGGAAGUUGAUGAGUGAAAUGUCAAGUUGUAGCAGCAUGUGCUUUCAGCCCAAACUCCUGAUCUGCAGCAUCUCAUUCAUGUUACAAAAUGACAUGUCGCCUGGUGACAGCAUGUUCUCUCCGGUGCUGUUAAUGGAUUCUGAUUGUUCUUGUGAUCUGGAGAGUUUCAUUCAUAUUACAGAUCCUGAUCAGGACGAGCUAGCAUAUGUGAUCACCAACUGUACAUGGUUGUUGAUGCCAAAUUAAAUUAUGGUAUCAUGUUUUUCAACUUGUUAUUUAAUAUAGUGCUUCCAUUGAACGGCCACAAGAAACUGUAGAAUCACCGUGUCUUGUUCCCUCUUAAUGAUCCAUCACUUUGGAAGCUAAUGAAUUAGUUGCACCUUGUCACUUUCUUGGUACUUGAUUGUCAUUCGUGCUUUGAAUUUACAGCAUAUUUUAUCCCUGCUUUACUCUUUGCAUAAUCACCUUUGAGGGCUGCUAGUAUGUAUAAUUGAAAAACCUUAUAUAAAUUGUAAGCUUUUUUAUUUAACUUGUUGUAAACUUCCAGUGUAUGUCUCUUCUGUGAAAUGAUUCAUUCUCCAUGCUGCUAGGGCCUAGGCUUAUGACUCUUCUGUGAAAUGAUUUACCCUCACCUGCGCACAGACAUUUAUCACGUUCGAGAAACCUUCAAACAAUGUGAAAAAAUGCCUCAAGCAUGACAUAAACUUAACUGUUUACAUGAAAAGUGGUAGAAACUUGGUGAAAUUACCGAUUAAAUUGUACCUACUGUGAGGAAGGAUGCUAUAUAACUAAGUCGGAAAAUGUAAAUGCCCGGCUUUCAGAAGUCAAUAAUUAGAUGAACUUUGAGGAGAUUAGGAUCACCAGUCAGUCAGAUUUAGAUAGAAAGUGAGAGAUUGCUAUUGCCGAGCCAUUGCUUCUAUCCUAAAUGCUUUGAUGUACCUGAAAAGUAUACAAAUAUCGGGGUUAAAACAGAGCAGAUGAAAUCGUAUUGAUGAAUUCAACUGUGAUAAGUGGUAAAAGAAAACCAACCGACCUUCUGUACAAAACUCGCACGUCUUCCUUUAAGAGCUGACUUUCCAAGAAGAGAUCACCACAAUCGUUCACAUCAACAGUCUCCACUUGAAAAUUUUAUAACCAUAAUACUCAUUCCAUUCAAACCAGAUCCUUGAGAUCAGUUCCUCAGGCAAGUGGCAUGAUCAUCCUCUUCAGGAGACUCAGCAGCAACCAGUCUAUAUGCAUAAGCUUUCUUUGUUUGGCCUCGCCGGAAAGCCCUGCCGAUUGCCUGGCGGGUCACUGAUGUAUUAAAGCUUUCUGUAAUUUCAUUUUUUCAUUUUUCCCUUGCGAGGGUACAGGUUUAUGUUGAAACUUUCUGUUAGUUUGCACUUUGAAUAUAUGAGAUUACCAACUGUGACAUGGCAUUCAAUUGAAUGGUGACUCAUGAAUCAUGAUUGCGUGUGUUGGUAUUUAUUGUACUACGUGUUGGCACGACAAAGUUUGUUGAAACUGACAUACUUUUCUCUAUGAAGAUUGAAGACAACAUAAUAAGAUAAAAUUUGUCAAAAACAUGUAUACUUGACACUUGACAGGGCUGGAACGUCUGUUAUUAGUCCUCGCCUUCCAUUCUUGUUUCAUAUUCUUCUGCUAACAAAUCUUGAUCAUGAUGAGACUUCUUUAUUUUCAAAAAAAAAAAAAUAUCCACAUGUAAAGUCUUGGCCAUAAGCCUCAAGACCUAUUGGCUGUUGCAGUGGUGAGUUCACUCUCAGGAAUCAUAUCUUUCAAAUUCGAGCGAAUUUGAAGAAGCUCGAAUUCGAAGAAAUUGCAAAUGCCUACAAAGCAAAUUGUGUGUAGGUCCUUUCACUUAUUAUUGGAGAAGACCAUUUGUUGAAGCAUGUAUUUGAGAUGCGCAGAGAACCUUUGGAAUUAUAUGAUUAAUUCACUUUAAUCUCCAGCCAUAGUUCCAUACAGCCCAGUUAAUCUUUUUUUUUUUUUGGCUUUUGGAUUUUGUUUCCUUUAUAUAUAAAGGAAAUCGGGACUCAAUUGUUGGGAGUCCAAUCACUUUUUUCUCUUUUAACUUGCUAUUUUUGUUGUCCGAAAUUAUCUGAAGUUCCAUGCAUGCUCCAAUAGAACAAAUAAUACAGGUUAUGAUCGUCAUACUCCAUAAGCAAGUUUUUUUUUUGGCUGCCCCUUAUAUUUGUCACACUCCUUGUACUAGUGCCCAAUGAAACCACAAUAGAAGCAAAAAUCUGACAAUCACUCAUAUACUACUGUAAUUGGAACAUCAUCUUCACCUUCAAGUUCUAAAUAAAUAAUUUUCUUCAAUGGUUGUGUGAUAUCAAUUGAGAUACUUACUCUGGCAUACUGACCAAUGCACUCUUCUUCCUCGUCCGCAUUAACUUCUUCAAUUAUACCAAUUGCCUCUCCCAACGCUCUGAUUAUUUGCUGGUCUAUACACCCAACUGGGAUACUAUGAAGUUGUACCCAAAGGCAGCAUGAGUAAAUGAUUGUUUUGUUAUUUCCCCAAUUCCAUUUGCCUCUUUUAGAUAGGGUUGGGCAAAUAACCCGACCCGACCCGACCCGACCCGACCCGACCCGAUCAGAUCCGAAAACAAUCGGGUUCGGAUCAGAUCGGGUUUUUAACAUAACCCGAUCGGAUUUAAUUUCGUCAACCCGAUCGGAUCGUCAUCGGAUCGGGUUUCACCCGAUCCGAUCCGAAAAUCCGAUCGGAUUUGGCUAUUGAAAAAAAAAAUAAAAUAAAACACCCACACACAAAGGGGUGAAAAACACAACACUGCCACACUCAAACUCACUGACACACACCCACUCCCCAUCCACACACACACACACACUGAUACACCCACCACCCACCCCCCAUCCACAAAAAAUCGCAAUAGAUAGCCUUUUACUCACAUUUCAGAUUUCAUAGCUAGGGGUGGGCAAAUCGGGUUUCGGUUCAGGUUUCGGUUUGGGUUUCAACCCGUUCGGGUUGGAGAAUUGAACCCAAUCGGAUUGAAAAUGCCAACCCGAACCAAACCGAACCGAAUUUAAUUCGGUUCGGUUCGGUUUGGGUUGACAAUUCGGAUCGGAUUGGGUUGAUAAUUCGGGUUAAUUCGGGUUAGUUCGGGUUAGAAUAAUUCGGGUUAGUUCGGGUUAGAAUAAUUCAAGUUAGUUCGGGUUAGAAUGGAUUGAAACAAUUUAAUCUAAAAAUUCUAACAACUAAUAUCAAGUACAAUCAAACUACAAAAAUUACAAAUCUAAAAAUUAAAAUGGCAAAUGACAACCAUGAUUAAACAUCUCCAUUCUCCACAUGACAAUUAAUCAAUCAAUUAAUUAACAUUUGGUCGUCUGACAUGAACAGAAUAAAUCAAUAGCAAGCAUGUAGUUCUUUGAAAAGAACAAAAAACAUAAAACGAAAAUGCAUAUGAGAGUGCCAACAAACAUGAUAGCGACAUUUAAACAAAGCAAAAUUGGAGGUACUGGCAUGAUUUAUAGGCCAAGUAUCAAGAUGGAGACUUUUAAUUAAUUUUUGGAAUCUUUAAAAUAAGAAAACAUAUUAGCAUAAAAGAUAUUAGAAUUGUAUAAUGAAAACAACAGAUGCCAGCAAAACGCACACUGACCAUUUUCCCUGAGAGAUCGUGUACUAGUAACAAAAUUAAGAACUGAAUCAUCAGCAGUUGUUCUUCAACAAAUAUUAACAGAAGCCCAAACUGAAUACCUUUUUCGGUUCCUUUGAGCAGCGGAUCUCGCUUUACGCUUCCUCUUCUCCUGACUGCUCUCAAAAAAUCUUCUUCUCUUGCACUCUUGUAUAAUACCAGCUCUCAGCACCGCACUCCUAAACCGCCUCGCUAUCUUCUCCUCGGGCUAGUCGUCGGCGACUUCUAUCUGCACGUUGAAGAAAUAUAUGGUGUCUGUUGGAGCUGGACGGGGCUGCUGGCUGCUGCUGUGAGUGCUGUCGUCGUGGGCCACAAAACUCAAAAAGUGAGAAGAGGGAGCAAGGAGGGGGAGGGAGUUAGACGGUGAGACCGGCUGGUGUCUGUUGGAGCUGAACGGGGCUGCUGUGGCUGCUGCUGAAGUGCUGAUGUCGUCGGCCACAGUUCUCAGAAAGUGAGAACUGAGAAGAGGGAGCAAGGAGGGGGAGGCCGGGAGGUAGACAGGGAGUGAGAGAUUUUUGUUUAGGGAUUUUUAGGGAUUUUUUGGUUUAAUUAAUGUAUAUAUAUUUUUUAUUUAAAAGCUAAAUCUAAAAAAAAAAAAAAAGCUUCAACCCGAACGGGUUGAAAAUUCGGUUCGGGUUGAACCCGAACCGAAAUUUAACCCGAACGGGUUGAAGCUUUGAAUCCGUUCGGGUUUCACUGGUUAAUCCAAACCGAACCGAACCCGAAAUAAAUUUCGGGUUCGGUUUGGUUCGGGUUAACCCGAACCGAACGCCCACCCUCACGCUUCACUCUCUUCUUUGGUUCUUCUCCAAUUUUCACCCUUAAAUCUUCACAGCUUUCUUCUUUUUAAGUCUUCACUCUUCAGUUUUCACAAAUCGAUUUCUCACACAAUCGGGUUUCACAGAUCGAGUUUCAGUCACAAAAGCAAACCGAUGGUCACUCAAAGACGCAGCGCAAGAACCGAAGAUCAUUUGCAGACACAGCCACCGGAUCCGUGGUUCCGUCCAUCACCAAGUUUCUCACCUCCAAGCUCCACUUCAACCCAGCAACCUGACUUCUCCAACCUGCAACCUGAGCCUUGUGUUUUGAAAUUUUGAUGGUUUUUCUUGAUGUUGUGAUUAUUAUCAUAUAUAAAUUGUAAAAUUUUAAUGUUCACCAGCUAAUGAUAAAGAAAAUCAGUGAUAAAGAAAGUUGUAAUGUAUUUUUUUUCCAAUGAUGGGCAUAAAUUUUUUCAUUUUUCAGUCCAAACUGAUUUUAAUCCGAAUCCGAUCCGAACCGAACUCAACCCGAUUUUUUGACCCGGAUCGGAUUGGAUCGGAUUACAAGUUCGGAUUGAAUUCGGAUGGAUUUCUGCCCAACCCGACUAACCCGAAAUCCGAUCGGGUCGAACCAAACCCGAUCCGAAUCCGAUUUUGCCCAGCUCUACUUUUAGAACUAUCAGAGCUCGUUCAAAAUGUCACGGCCCACUUGAUAAAAUUCUCAUCUUAUCAACUUCAAAGGCAAAUUUAACAUAAAAAUCUUACUCCCCAAAUUUUCAAUUUCACCUAUUCUGCAUACUUGUUGUAAUGCUCACUUAAGACCCUCUCUAGUAACUCCUCUUAGAUGUAAGACUUUGCCCAGCAGACAACCCUCAACUAACUCUCUCGCAUUCCCUUCCAUGACAUUACCAACAACUACUUUACUUUCUUUUCCUUCUUCUAAUGUAAUAACUUUACACUUGCGGAUUAGUUCUUCUGUUUCCAUGAGGCACUAAAAUAUAAAUCCACUAUGAUAACUCUUGAGUAUCUACCACUUCCUCUGUAAUUAAGACUCAACAACUUAGAUGAAAAACUUAAAACUAAAAGAGACACCCAACUCGUGAGCGACUUUCGCAAUCUUAUAGGCUACUACCCUUUCAUUCUAGAUUCUCACUCAAAGAGAGAGAACCUGUGAAGAAAGACUUCUACAGGUAGGAGAGCACUUACACAGUAGAUUAUUUAUAUUUCUUUGGACUGACUUUUUUACUUUAUUAAAGACAAAAACAACAUAAACAAAGACAGAAGAUUAACAAAAGCAUCAAUUGCCAAAGAGUAGAGAGUAUUAUUAUAUUUUAGGAACUUAGGUUAUGACCAACUUAAAAGAAGCAGUUAGGGCUUGUUCGGUACCGUUUUAAAAGCCUUAUUUUCAUUUUUGUUUUGGGAGUAUAAAUAUAAUACAUAUUCAGCGGGUUGAAUCCAAAAAAAUAAAUUAUAAAACAAAUAAUUGAUAUUCACUUUUACAGUUAUAAAAUUAAGAACCUGUUGAACAUGUUCUCAAACAAAUUACAAAUUAAAUUAAAAAAAAAACCCCAAAACAAAAUCUAAAAAGUUAUCUUUCUCUCCCAAAAUCUUAUCCCCUCCCUCUCGUUAUCUCUUCACAACUCUUCCUUCUUCAUGGUUGAUACUUCUCCUUUAACCACAACCCACCUGAACUGUGCACCGAUCUCUCUCUCCCCUUCCCCUUUAUCUAGGUCUACUUCAAUGCUCUCUUCCUCUCGGUGGCUGUUACUUGUUCAUCAACCGCAAUCCAUCGUCGCAAGGUACUACGUCGGAAUAUUUGACCAAAAACAUGUCAGGACAAAGUGAUGUCUAUCAUGGUUUAUUGCUGCAAGUGCAUUAUUUUCUUUGUACUAAAGUGAAUCUUUGAUGUAUUUAUUAAAUUUGGUGGAGCAAUCUUUGUUAAUUUUGAUGAUCUAUAUAUGCAUUUAAUUUCAUUUUUAAUAAUUCAUGUGCAGGAAAUAUGGAUUCUUGGCUUUGCUUGGACUGAUGGUUUGCGCAAUUUCAUUUGGAAUCAAUCAGCUUCGAGGAUAAACACUUGAAGUUCAUCCUUUCUUGUGCAUGGGACUUGCUUUUCUUCCAUCCAACUUUUUUGUUCUCUUUUUCUAUGGUAGCAGUUUUAUGUUUUGUGUUGGUGGGAAACUUCAUGCUGCAAUUUUGUCAAACUCUGUUGACAUACCCUAAUCAGUAAUGACUUUGCUGCAUGGCGAAAGCAUAAAUCUUGUCAUUAGAGCUUGUUUCCAUAAAAUAAGUGUAAUUUGAAAGUACAUUGUACACUAUUGAAUUUAAAUUAUCCCCAACAAGUGUUGAUGCAUGAUGUCUAUCGUGUAAUUUUUUUUAUAAUUAUUUUGUUUAAAUUAUAUGUGUUGUAAUAUAUAACUUAAUUAUAGUGUAAAAACAAUGGCAAUGUAAUUUUUUGUAUUAAUGCUAAUACUAAAACUUUAUCAUCAUGCAAUUUUUUAUAAUUAUUUUAUUUAAAUUAUUUAUGAUAUGUUUGCGUAUUAAUUAAAUAAACAAUUAGUUUUUACUAAAAACUAUGACUUACAUGUUUAGUAAAAACUGUUCAUGAAAAUAGUACUACAGAACACAUUUUCUCUGAUUUUAUCUUUUUCAAUUGUUUUUAUCAAACACAUGUUACUGUUUUCAAUUUUAAAAUACAAGAUAUAGAAAAUGAUAUCAGAUGCCUAUUUAAUUCAAAAUGCUGCAACUGCAAAACACUAUUUUUAUUCUCAUUUUUGUUUUCAGAAAAUACUAAUUCAGAAACAAUAACAAACAAGAACUUAGUUUUAGUACGAAUAAUGUUGUGUUAGUUUUACAGGCUUACAUGCACCCUUAGAUUUAUUAGAAGUAUCAACCCAACCCCCUAGUUACCGUUGACUGAUAUCUAACCCGUUGACUGAUGUUAACUCUUGAAAGUAACUAUAACAUCUAUAUUGUAAUCUCACUUUAUUAACUAAUAAAUUUUAAAAAUAUAAACAGAUCAAUAACAACAAAAUAAUUAAAGUUGAAAUCCAAGAAAUUACCUAAAAAUCAUACCUGAAAACCAAAAUGCAUAAAAUUUCAUUAAUUUAAGUUGUGACAAUGAGUAGUCCACAUUAUAUGAUGAAUGAACAACUUCUAUCAUUUUACCAAGUUAUUAAUGUUAUGUUUACUUACUGGAGUGGACAUGAGAAGUAUAGAUUCCUCUCACUCUAAAGUUUACUUGCAUAUUCUAAGAGGUGUGGGAAUCCCACUCCGUUGAUCCCACCCAAUUUUGAAGUAGUGAGUGUAAUUCCCACUCCCACAACUUUCUUUUUUACUUUUCUUUUAUUAAAUUUAAUACAAUCAUAUUUAGUAAAAUAAAACAAAUAACAUCAUAUUUAUUUAAUAAAUAUUAUUAUUUUAUUUUAUAAAAUUCUAUUUAUUAAAAAGAAUAAUAUUAAUCUUAUUUAGAUAAAAUUAUUAUUAUAUUUAUUUAAAAAUAAUAGUAUUAUAUUUAUUUAAUAUUAAUAAUAAAUAGUUUAUUGUAAGAAACUAUUAAUUUUUCACUAUAUUAUUAAUAAUAAUGUUUCAUUUGUGUUGCUCUUAUCAAUAAUUUUUAUUUCACAUAAUUAAAAUUAAAACUAAUACAAAAUUUUGAUUUACAUAAUUAAUAAUAUUAAUAAUUAUUGUUAAUUUACAAAUAUAGUGAAAUAAAUAUUUUAUUUCAAAUAGAUUUUUUAUUAAUUUUGUAAUUAAAAACUACAAUUCUUUAAAUAAGGGUAAAACCGUAAUUUGAAACCAUUUACUCCCCUUCUCAUUCUAGUGAGCAAAAACAACUUGCUCCCACUCCACACUCUCAAUCACAAGGUUCCCACUUCUUAAGAUUUCCACUAUAAUCUAAAAUGUAAACACCGUCUAAAACGUCAAAUAAAAUUCUUAAUUAAGUAAACCAUAAGGUGAUUACGUAUAAAAAAAAUUAAUAAUAUUAAUUUUCAUAAGAAUUUAUGCUUGUAGUAUUACUUUACUUUUUUAUUGACUGUUGCUUCAACUUAUGGUAGAUAUUAAGAGAACAAUAAUAAUAGAGCUAUAAAUGUUUGCGUACUAUCAAUCAACUUAACAGUAUAAUUACCAACAAAUCCUUAAUACCAUAAAUAAUUAAAUUAUUGGGGUUUUAAAAUGACUCUCUAGACUUUGCAUGAUUUCUUUAUAUGUAGGUGCCAUGGUUCCCAUAAGUAAUAUCAGCCACACUUUUUGUUAUUGUUAAAAAAAUUUUAUAGGUACAAUUUGUGAAUUUGUACAAAAUGUGGUAUUAUACAUUUGAAGCAUGAACUGACAAGACAAUGUUGUGUCAAUAAUAAAGAAACAAAAAAAAAAUUGUAUAAAAUACAGAUGUUGUAGUGUAACUUGGAUUCUUUUUCUUUAUAAUUGCACCUAUCAUGUGAUUAUCAAAAAAAAAAAAAGAACUCCUGAGAUUUUAAAAUUUUGUAAUUGCACUAUUUUUGGAUUAUCAGAAGACUUCCUCUCCUUAAAGAUGCUCUUAAUCCAUAAAUGGUGCAAAACAUAAUUCAUGAAAUGAAUUUAUUAUUUUAGAUAAGUUUCAAGUAUACAUACCUUUUAUAGCUCCAUAUUGCAUAACUCCUCAUUUCAAUCAAUGGAUGCAUUUGUUUACUUUUUCUUUCUUGUAAAUUUUUGAAUGGCCGUAAUUCUAUAAAUAAUUAAUUAAGUGUUAUUGUUAUCAUUAUUUUGUAGAUGCAUAUGUGGGGUGGGGACGUUGGGGGGCAUGGAUCUCAAUAUAGCAGAGGGCCUGAAUAUUUAUUCUUUAAGAGGAACCACAACCAACAACAAUGCUUUAAGUUCCAUUCCAUUUUACUUCUGUGCACCAGAUUGCAUAAACAACAUUGAUUAUCCAAGGUCAAAGUCUCUCAAAUACUCUAGUUACAAGACAAAGCAUGGGUUAGUAGUGGCCAAAAUUUUCUUGCAACGAAAGGCUCGUAAACUGAUGACAGCUGCUGGAUUGUUUUGGGCCUUAAUGGUUUUAAUAUUAUUCUCUUAAAAACAUAUAUGUUGAUUAGAGACGAGAGGAAGAAGAUGAUAUGAUUCAGCCAGUUGCAGAAGAAAGAGCACGCAGUGGAGUUCAGAUUUUGAAUUCUCUUGUCAAAUUGUUUUUAAUUUACUACAAGGUAGAAUAUGUUGCAUUGUUAAAAAAUACUUUGAACAUCCUAUUUUUGUAUUACAAAUAUACCAAAAAUUAAAUUAAUUUUUUUCUUUAUUAGUAUAAACUAAAUUUUGCAUGAAUCCUCAUCCUUAUAAGUGGAAUUCUAUUGUGAAAUUAAUAGUCCUUCCUAGUUGAACUAACUAUCACUUUGAACAUAUGUGUCAUCUCUAACAACAGCUCCCAAACCUGCAGCUACCUGCUUCUUAGCAUUAGAAGCAGUAUCUGCAUUGGCUUUCAACCAGCCAUAAUUAGGAGGAGGGCACCAUUGUUUCUGUUUGUCAAUUUCCUUUCUUGAACCAUAAGCCAUAAUUAGGAGGAGGGCAAACUUCCAAAUAACAUUCCAAAUGGUAUUGUGAAAAAUUUUCACCCUUUUGGUAAUAAAAAAGAACCUUAUUUCUAGUUCUCUAUUAACAAUCUUACCACUAAGUUCUCUCUUGAGUAGAAACAUCAUAUAUAUUAAUUUAUUGUUAAUAUAAACAAAACUAAAUAUUUAUAACUUAAAAGAUAGGUGUUGAAUAGAGGCAGUCUCACAGAAAAAAAAAAAAAAAAGUAUUUGAAAGCAGUGGUGAUAUCAUAUUUUUUGUAAUGAUACGAGAGUAUCACACUAGAUUUUUUUUCUGCAUUACAAAAAGUUUGUAUUCAAGAAUAAAUAAGCAAUAUCAGGAACAAAUUUUACAAAAAGCCUCCAGGACAUGUCAUAUUAAUUUUGUGAUAUAUUAGUCACUAGAUCUUCUUUCCACAUUACAAAAAAAUUAGAAAUGCAAUCUAAAUCGAUAUCAAUUACUAAUUUUAUAUUGAAUGGGUCCUACAUGAAAAUAAGGAGUAUUUUUAUAAUUUAAGAAAUUAUUAGCCAUUUACCCUAAGUUUACUUUGUGUCAAAAAAUACUACGAAAACUUUAACUUAUUUAGUUUUUUACCUGAAUUUAUAAUUUAUAUCAAUCGCUCACUAAAAAGAUAGAAUUACCUCAUAAAAUGACAAAAUAAAAACAAACACAAAUGACAAUACCAGUAAUUUUAUAAGGAUAAUCCAAUCCUUUUGGCACCAAAUUACAUAUUAAAUUAUUUUAAAUAUUAUAAAUUAUUUUUAAAUUGAGUGAGAAACCCUGGUCAUUUUAAUACUCAUGGCCAUUUAAUCUAACAAAACAUGAUAUUUCGAGUAGACUUAUGUUUGCGUAGGAGGAUAAUGUAAAAAAAGUGGCACUUUUAUUCAACUGAAUAAAUUUCACAAUGUAAAUUAGAAAACAAUAAAAAUUUCAUAAUUAACUAUUAUUUGAACUAAUUGAAUCGGGAGCCAUCAUUUGUAGCGGCCUCAAAAGCAUAACAUAUUUUUAUACUGAGUGAUGGACCUAAUCAUUUUAAUACUCAUGACAAUUUAAUCUAUCUAAAUAUGAAAUUUCGAGUAGACUUGUGUUUUUUUUUUUUUUUUUGAAGGGAAGCAAUUUCAUUAAACCAAAAACGAAUUACAGACUAUGUAAUAACCACAAAGGUGGAACGAAAUUCCACUCUUGGGGACCUGACAUAGAACCUACUGCCCUUGCAACAGAAUGAGCAGCCAGGUUCGCAGACCGACGUACAAACGAGAAUUGUACUUCUCCUAAAGGCUUAGCUAAAGCUCGACAUUCAUCAACUAUUAAACCAAAACCGUUAGGCCCUGAAAACUCCUCAACUAGAGCUUGAAAUACUUGUAAACAAUCAGUUUCAACAAUGACACAAGGAAAUUGUAAGCCUUUAAGCCAACUAAGGGCCUCCCGAAUACCAAGAGCUUCAGCCUCCCUUGCUCCAAAAUUCCCAGCCAUUCCAGCACAUCUUGCUGUUAAGAAAACACCCUCUGAAUUUCGAAGCACACACCCAAAACCAAUCUUUCCUUGAGAUGAAAAGAUAGCAGCGUCAACAUUACAUUUGACCCAACCAAACUUUGGCCUCUCCCAACAUAUUGCCCCAUGGACCAGCUUAUGGACAUCAGUAUCAGCAUAGAAUUGUUGCUUCUUUGCUGCUUGCCACUGAUAGAGAAGUUGCCCAGCAGAAUUGAGCACUUGAUUCACUGAACCAGUUUUGUUAUUCCAUACUUUGUCAUUACGAUUAAUCCAAACUCUCCAGCAGAUCAUCAUGGCAACAUGGCAUUCUUCUUUACUGCAGCGUGUAAAGAUGUGAUCAAGCCACUCUAAGAAAGAAUAACAAUGGCCAAUAAAACCCACAGAGGAAGAAAUCCAGCAAGCCUUAGCAACAUUACACUCAACCAACGAAUGGAGAACCGUUUCAUCAGAAGCAAGACACACAACACAAGUAGGGGGGAUAUUCACCCGCUUAGAAAUUAAAUUAACUGCAGUAGGCAACACAUUAGUUGCCGCUCGCCAAACAAAAUUCUUAACCUUAUUCGGCACAUUCAAGUUCCAUAGUUUUCGCCACACAUCUGUGAAAGGGCCAGGGGUAAGAGAAUGUAAAACCUUAUAACAGCUACGGACUGAAUAGCAUCCGCGAGAAUCAGCCAACCAAUACCACACAUCAUCAUUUCAGUGGGAACUAAGGGGAAUUUGAAGUAUCAACUCCUUGUCUCUUGCGUUGAAAAGAUCCGAAACAAGAUCAUAAUCCCAAGCUCGUUGAUUAGGCACCAGUAAACUACUAACAGGAGCUGCAGCAAGCUCUGCAUGGAGAUUAGAAGAAACAAAUCCAUUAUUAGUAUCAGGAAGCCACGGAUCCUUACCAAUGAAGAUCGAAUUCCCACAGCCAACUUGCAGUCUACUCCCUUGAAUUACCACAUCCUUUGCAGCCAAAAUAAAGCGUCAUACAUAGCUAGGAUUAUGCCCCACAGAAGCUUGAAGAACAGAGGUGCGCGGAUGGUAGCGAGCUUUAAUUAUCUUGGCCACAAGAGAUUCCGGACAAGUUAACAGCUUCCACAUUUGCUUUCCUAACAUCGCUAGAUUGAAUAAAUGAAGUUGUUUAAAACCAAGGCCCCCAUAUCCUUUUGGUUUGCACAGAUUUUCCCAUUUGGACCAGUUUAUUCCUUUCCCUCCACUUCGAUUACUACGCCACCAGAAUGAGUUCAUCAGUCCUUCUAGUUCUCUACACAAAUCCUUUGGCAGUAAAUAUAUACCCAUAGCAUAAUUAGGCAUCGCAAGGGCUACCGUUUUUAACAAAAUCUCCUUCCCAGCCCGAGAAAGCAUCCGCGUACUCCAUCCCUGCAGGCGUUGCCAGAGCUUGUCCCUAAUAUACCUGAACACCUCUUUCUUGUUUCUGCCAAUAUAUGAUGGAAGACCAAGGUAGGCUCCAUGAUUAGAGGUCAUGGUAACCGCUAGAAUAUCACAAACCUGCUGAGUAACAGAUGCAAUCACAUUAGUGCUAAAAGAAAUUGAAGACUUGUUGAAAUUAACCUCUUGGCCAGAAGCUCGACCAUAAACCUCCAGCAGCUGCUUGAUUAAAGAAGCUUCAUUGUUAUUUGCCCUGAAAAAAAGGAAGCUAUCAUCGGCAAAAAACAAAUGCGAGACCGAUGGUGCCCCUCUCGCGAUCCGUACACCAUGAAGUAAGCCAUUCCUUUCUUGUCUUCGAAUUAAAGAACUGAGCCCUUCCGCGCAAAGAAUAAAUAGAUACGGAGAUAAUGGAUCUCCCUGUCGAAGGCCUCUACUCGGAACAAUCGGCCCAACUUCCUUUCCCUCCCGUAGCACAUGAUAUCUGACAGUAGAUACACAGAGCAUAAUUAACUCCACCCACUUGGCAUCAAACCCCAUCUUAAGCAUCAUUGCUUGAAGAAAAUUCCACUCAAUCCUGUCAUAUGCCUUAGACAUAUCAAUUUUCAGAGCAGCUACCCCAUUUUUGCCUUGUCUCUUCCGUUUCAAAAAAUGCAUAAUUUCAGCCGAAAUGAUUAUGUUAUCCGUGAUAGCUCGACCCGGGAUAAAAGCGCUUUGAGAGUCUAAAAUAACCACAUCAAGAACUGAUUUCAUGCGGUUAGCUAGCAUUUUGGAUAUUAUCUUAUACAACACAUUGCAUAACGCAAUUGGUCUCGUAUCUGAUAAUAAUUCAGGUUUGUGUUUCUUCGGUAUUAGCACAAUUGAAGUGUCAUUCAAGCCCACUAGGAAAGAGCAAUCAUGAAUAAAUUUUAAACAAGCCAAAAUCACAUCCUUACCCACAAUAUGCCAGAACUUUUGGUAGAAAGCAGGGUUCAUCCCGUCGGGUCCUGGAGACUUGUCCGGAUGCAUUUCAAAGAGUGCUUCUUUAACCUCAAUGUCAGUAAAAGGAGCUAAAAGCAUUGCAUUAUGCUCGUUUGUAAUUCUUUUAUCCACACACUGGGUAACUUCAGCAGUAUGACACCCUCCGGAGGUGAAAAGGCUCUGGAAAUAGUCCACAAUCAAAGUAUCCACCUCCUCUGGGUUGGAACACCAGUCUCCUUGAUUAUUGCGAAGAGACUCGAAGGAAUUCUGCCUUCUCCUGGCAGAGGCCGAGGCAUGGAAAUAGUGAGUGUUCCUGUCACCUUCCUUUAACCACAAAGACUUUGCUCUCUGUUUCCAAAAAACCUUAUGACUAUGCAAAAGCUCAUUAUAACGCUGUCUCGCUUCUGAAAAAGCAACCACACCCUCACUAUCUCGCCUACCCCGAAAAACAGCCAUACACUUCUUGCAUUCCCGAAUUCGCUGUCGAAAAUCUCAAGCAAAAUGCCCUCCCCACUCCAUAAGAGCAGACCCACACAGCAUAAUUCUAUGUUGAAUAGAAGCACCAGUAUAGGAGCUCCAGCUAUCCCGAAUAACAUCACUACAGUCAGCCUCACGCAACCAAGUAUUCUCAAAACGAAAACGGUUAUGCCUUAAAAUAGGCUGGGUCGGGCUAGGAUCCAACAAGAUAGGAAGAUGAUCAGAGCAAGAGGAGUCUAAGCUAUAGACUUUCACCUUGUUGAAUCGCUGAAUCCAUUCCUCAGAUGCAAAAGCUCGAUCAAGCCUUUCUUCAACCCAUUUAUCAGUGCCCCUAGCUCUCUCCCAUGUAAACUGAUACCCAUCGAUGCCAAGAUCAACUAAAUUGCAAUCGGUAAUAGCUCGCUGAAAACCCACCAGCUUCCAAUUUGGGUGCGCAAUACUACCUCUCUUCUCAUUUGCCGCCAGUAAAUCAUUAAAAUCACCUAUACACACCCAUGGGAGUGAAGAGGAAGAAGCAAGCAAACGGAGCAAGUCCCACGAUUUGCGGCGCCGGCUAGACUCAGGAUAGCCGUAAUAACCAGUUAAUCUCCAUUUUCCUAAAACGGGCACUUCAACUUCAGCAUCUAUAAAAUUGGUGGCAAACUGCAGCAGAUUAACAUUACUAGUAGCUUUCCAAAGAAGCGCGAGCCCACCACUCCGGCCAACUCUAUCAACAACAAACAGCCCAUCAUAGCCCAAUUGAAUUUUGAUCAUCUCUAACUUAUCUCUACUGCAUAGCGUUUCAAUAAGAAAAAUGAACGUAGGCUUCUUGUUACGGACCACCUCUGCCAACAUACGAACUGUCCGUGGCUGGCCCAACCCACGGCAGUUCCAACUUAAAGUACUCAUUGCUCUCGGUGGGCCUGAAGUACAGGUCCCACCGCUAGCCCGUUUUUUGGAUCUACCACCAUAGAACUCACAUCCACCUCUGUUUGUACUAUACCCUCCAGCCCCAUAUCCGCUCUUCUUCUUUUAGCUUCCUUUAACACUAACUCUUUCUCCCCAUACCUUACAGCUACUUGAGUAAGGUCCAGCCCAUUUGCAAAUGAAACCACGUCUUUGCCCUUACCAAGCCGUUGACUGCUAGUGGCCUGGACAACUGGCAAUGCUUGUAAGCUCAUUAUAUUAUCCAUAGAAUCCCGCCCAUCACUCCCUAUAUGGUUGGCAAAUUUCGUAUUGUUGGAAAUUCCUGAUUUGGAGGCAUUCAUCUCAUUAACCACGGUACCACUUAAGGAAGUUUUAAAAUUUCCUGAAUUAGCCAUACAUUCUUCUGACAGUUCCGAAUGUAACCACCUUUCACCGGAGGACAUGGCAUUCCGACGAGUUGGAGCCUUCAUCUCUGGCCUAUAUGACCUUGUAAUAUCAGCAGCAUCACAAUUAUACAACUUCGGACAAAGUUUUUCUGAGUGCCCAAGGAGUCCACAAAUGAAGCAGAAAGUAUUUAAUCGUUCAAACUUGAAAUCAACCCAGAACCAAUCUCCUCCCUCCUUCUUUAGUCGCAAUCUUCGCUUCAGGGGUUUCCGGACAUCAAUGGAUACCCUUAUGCGCAUAUAGUUUCUCCACACUCCCAUGAGAUUAUUAGGAUCUGAAGAUUGAAACUCACCAUUAUUGUUACCAAUAUUUAUCAAUACUUUCUCUGACAGAAACCCAAUGGGUAAGUUGUACACCUGGAUCCAAAACGAAGUAUGGAAUAAAGAAACCAUAUUCGGUUGUUCAUUCUCCCCCAAUCUCUUUAAAAUUAGAAUAUGUUGGUCGAAGGUCCACGGUCCCGAAUCAAUCACACGCUUGAGGUCAACUUCGUGAAAGAAUUGGAACAAGAAAAGAGAAGGUGAUAAAUCUUUGAUGCACACUCCCUUCCCUGGACGCCAUAAUGCCGCCAUAGUAUUUUUCAUGGCCGGAAAAUUGAUCACCUUAUCAGUUAAAAACCUCCCCACCAAGCAGAAUCUAAAAUCAGUCAACCCUGCAUUUCCAGUGGCAAUAUCCUCACUAUGAAAAACAAGACCAUCGUCAUCUUCCUCCCCAAUAGAAACCUUUUCAUAUGCAGCAUUCAUCUCAUGCUCCCCAAAAUUUCUACUGGUUGUCAUAGUACUCGUAAUAAGCAGGAAAUAUGGCUAUCUAGCCGGAAAUAUCCUAGAGCAAACUUGUCAGAAGGACAAGACAAACAAAGCUUGCCAAAGAGACAAGAGUAGCCUAAAAUUACGACUUGUGUUUGAGUAGGAGGAUAAUGUAAGAAAACUUGGCACUUUUAUUCAACUGAAGAAAUUUUACAAUUUAAAUUAGAAACGAUAAAAUUUAAUAAUUAACUAUUAUUUGAACUAAUUGAAUCGUGCGCCAUCAUUUGUGUAAUGUAUCCUAUUUGCAAAAUAAACGGCAGGAUGCGGUUUGCGGACAGAUUAUGGAAAGAAAAAGGCAUAUAUUUCUCUCCUAUUUUGGUAAUUCUAUAUUUCUAUUCUUCUUCUUUUUCAACCCCAAAUAAUCAAAAGCUCUCCAAUGGCUUUCGUAUCCACAAGGACCACAACUCGUCCAUUUCAUUUUACUUCAAUUUUAGUAUCAGCUCUUAGAUGUAAUUUCUCAUCUUCGUUCCCUCAUACCGGAAAACCCACAUCUUCAAUUUCGGAAAAUGAACCCUCGUAUCCGACCACAACAGCUAAACUGAAGGAGUCGCUACGACUGACGGUCAAAGACUGAGCCUCACUCGAAAAAUUCCUCAAAGAAAGGUGCAAAUCAUCAGGUCAAGGUGAUAUUAAUCUUAUUACUCCUAAUGAAGCCUUGUGUAUCUUUGAUUACAUGCUCCGUAUGCACCCUUCUCCGCCUCCUGUCUCUUCCUUCAAUAUUUUGUUUGGUUGUCUUGCUAAGAAUAAACAUUAUGAUACUGUCCUUUCACUCUUCAAGCGACUCAAUUCAACUGGGUUGUUUCCAGAUCUUUAUACUUACAAUAUCUUGAUUAACUGCUUUUGCAAAAUGGGUCGAGUUUCUCAUGGUUUUGUUGUUCUUGGGAGAAUCCUCAGGUCUUGUUUUACUCCAGAUGCUGUGACCUUUACUUCUUUGAUUAAAGGUUUGUGUGCGGAGAGUAGAAUCAUGGAGGCCGCCACAUUGUUUAUGAAACUUAAAGCGUUUGGUUGUGAGCCUAAUGUCAUUACAUACACCACUUUGAUUAAUGGAUUGUGUCGAACAGGCCAUACAAUUGUUGCUCUAAAUUUAUUUGAAGAGAUGGCUAAUGGAAAUGGGGAAUUUGCUGUUGUUUGUAAGCCAGACACUGCUACAUACAGUACUAUUAUCGAUGGUCUUUGUAAGGAAGGUUUUGUGGACAAGGCCAAGGAACUGUUUCUGCAGAUGAAGGAUAACAAUAUUAACCCUAACAUGGUUACCUAUACCUCUGUGAUUCGUGGUUUUUGUUAUGCUAAUGAUUGGAAUGAGACCAAGUGUUUGCUAAUUGAGAUGAUGGACCAAGGGGUACAGCCUAAUGUUGUGACUUUCAAUGUCAUCAUGGAUGAGCUCUGCAAGAAUGGAAAGAUGGAUGAGGCAAGUCGGUUGUUGGACCUGAUGAUUCAGUUUGGUGUGCGUCCAAAUGCUUUUGUCUAUAACACAUUAAUGGACGGGUUUUGCUUGACGGGUAGAGUUAAUCGUGCGAAGGAACUAUUUGUUUCUAUGGAGAGUAUGGGUUGCAAACAUACUGUUUUUAGUUAUAGUAUUUUGAUAAAUGGUUACUGCAAGAAUAAGGAAAUAGAGGGAGCGUUAACCCUUUAUAGCGAAAUGCUCUCUAAAGGAAUUAAGCCAGAUGUUGUUAUAUAUAACACCUUGUUUAUUGGCCUUUUUGAAAUACACCAGGUUGAGCGUGCUUUCAAGCUGUUUGAUGAGAUGCAAUGUGAUGGCGUGGCAGCUGAUACCUGGGCAUAUACAACCUUUAUUGAUGGGCUCUGCAAGAAUGGUUAUAUUGUAGAGGCAGUUGAACUAUUUCGUACUUUGAGAAUUCUCAAGUGUGAACUUGAUAUUCGAGCCUACAACUGCCUCAUUGAUGGAUUAUGUAAAUCCGGCAGACUCGAAAUUGCAUGGGAACUGUUUCUGAAGAUGAAGGAUGAGAAUAUUAACCCCAAUGUGGUUACUUAUACCUCUUUGAUUCACGGUUUUUGUUACGCUAAUGAUUGGAAUGAGGCGAAGUGUUUGUUUAUUGAGAUGAUGGACCAAGGGGUACAACCUAAUGUUGUGACUUUCAAUGUGAUCAUGGAUGAGCUCUGCAAGAAUGGAAAGAUGGAUAAAGCAAGUCGGUUGCUGGACCUGAUGAUUCAGAUUGGUGUGCGUCCAGAUGCUUCUGUCUAUAACACAUUAAUGGAUGGGUUUUGCUUGACGGGUAGAGUUAACCGUGCGAAGGAACUAUUUGUUUCUAUGGAGAGUAUGGGUUGCAAACAUAAUGUUUUUAGUUACAGUAUUUUGAUAAAUGGUUACUGCAAGAAUAAGGAAAUAGAGGAAGCGUUAAGCCUUUAUAGCGAAAUGCUCUCUAAAGGAAUUAAGCCAACAGUUGUUACAUAUAGCACCUUGUUUCUUGGACUUUUUGAAAUACACCAGGUUCAGCAUGCUUUAAAACUGUUUGAUGAGAUGCAGCGUAAUCAUGUGGCAGCUAAUACAUAUAUAUAAACUACCUUUAUUGACGGGCUCUGCAAGAAUGGUUUUGUUCUAGAGGCACUGGAAUUAUUCCGUGCUAUAAGAAAUAGCAAGUAUGAGCUUAAUAUCGUAUCCUACAACUGCCUCAUUGAUGGAUUGUGUAAAAUAGGCAAACUGGAAACUGCUUGGGAACUGUUUCAAAGUUUGCCUCGUGUAGGCCUAAUGGCAGAUGUUGUAACAUACAACAUCAUGAUCCAUGGGCUUUGUAAUGAUGGGCAAAUGGACAAGGCACAUGAUUUGUUUCUUGAUAUGGAAGCAAAAGGUGUGGAACCCGAUUGUGUCAUAUUUAAUAUGAUUAUGCUGGGUUUCAUCCGCAAUAAUGAGACAUCAAAAGUUAUUGAACUCCUUCACAGAAUGGAUAAGAGAAAUGUAAUGCCAGACGCAUCUAUACUUUCAAUUGUUGUGGACUUGCUUGUAAAGAAUGAAAUUAGCUUAAACUCGAUUCCACAAUUCAAGAGUCAAAGGUAAGUGAGUUUAAUACUGAUUUAGCCACAUGUUUCUUCUGCCUGAAAACCCAACCUGGAGGAUCCCAUUCUUAUUACAACAUGUAAAGGAGUGUUGUCUAAUAUAGGCAUGUUCCUAGGUUCUGUCCAUGGAUUCUGUUUGCAGACAUGGCUAACUUCUUGUUCAACAGAAAGUUUUAAAGUCUUUCAACUUUAUGUUGUAAAAUAACUUUUUUAUUAUUCAAUUCAUGAGUUUUUCUUCUAUAACACAUCCUUCUCAUUAGCUGGAAGUGCAAAUUUUUUAGGCUUUUCCUGUAUGGCCUCUUUCUCUGCUCUAAAUAAAAUGGCAUUUUAUUUCCCUCUUGUGAGGGUACAAGGUUUAUGUUUAAACUUUCUGUUAGUUAAAUUGGUUGUCUUUGAUAUAGGGAACUUCCAGUUGAACUGAUUUGUAAUUCGACUAUAUGAGAUUACCAACUGUAUUGGGAAUUGAUGCCAAAUUAAUAAUGUCAUCAGGUUUUUCAAUCAGUGUUCAUCAUUUAUUUCUGUUAACAAUUAAUAGCACAGUUUGUCUUCUCAGCUUCAUUGGUUCCUCUCAAAAAUGAUCUUGUAAAGACAAUCUUUCUUGGGCAUGGAAAAUGCUAGAUUGUUUGUGGUCUGAAUGAUACUACACAUCUAAGUAAUUGCCCAAAUUUUUUGUUCCUUGUUACACGGCAUUCAAUUGAAUGAGGACUCAUGUUUGUGUGUAUUGGUAUUUGUUAUACUAUGUAUUGGCAAGACAAAGUUUCUUGAAACUGACAAACUUUUCUCUAUGAAGAUUGAAGACAAUAUGAUAAGAUAAAAUUUAUCAAAAGCCUAUAUAUGCUUGCCAGGGCUGGACCUUUGAUUAUUAGUCCUCGCCUUUCGUUCUUGUUUCAUAUUCUUCUGCUAACAAAUCUUGAUCAUGAAUCUCAUCACAUUUGGUACGCGUAUCCAUGGUUUUAUCCGAACCAAUGAGCCAUCAAAAGUUAUUGACCUUCUUCACAAGAUGAGGGAGAAAAAAGUAAUGCCAGAUGCAUCUAUAGUUUCAAUCGUCGUGGACUUGUAAAGAAUGAAAUUAGUCUGAACUCACUUCCGUCAUUUCCUGUUCAAGAGCAACAGGGGGAGGUUGAUGAGUCAAAUGUCAAGUUGUAGCAGCAUGUGCUUUCAGCCUAAAAUCCUGAUCUGCAGCAUCUCAAUCAUGUUACAAAGUGACACGUCGCCUAGUGACAGCAAGUUCUCUACGGUGCUGUUAAUGGAUCCUGAUUGUUCUUGUGAUCUGGAGAGUCUCAUUCAUAUUACAGAUCCUGAUCAGGACGAGCUAGCUUAUGUGAUCACCAACUGUACAUGGUUGUUGAUGCCAAAUUAAAUUAUGGUAUCAUGUUUUUCAACUUGUUAUUUAAUAUAGUGCUUCCAUUGAACGGCCACAAGAAACUGUAGAAUCACCGUGUCUUGUUCCCUCUUAAUAAUCCAUCACUUUGGAAGCUAAUGAAUUAGUUGCACCUUGUCACUUUCUUGGUACUUGAUUGUCAUUCGUGCUUUGAAUUUACAGCAUAUUUUAUCCCUGCUUUACUCUUUGCAUAAUCACCUUUGAGGGCUGCUAGUAUGUAUAAUUGAAAAACCUUAUAUAAAUUGUAAGCAUUUUUAUUUAACUUGUUGUAAACGUCCAGUAUAUGUCUCUUCUGUGAAAUGAUUCAUUCUCCAUGCUGCGAGGACCUGGGCUUAUGACUCUUCUGUGAAAUGAUUUACCCUCACCUGCAGACAGACAUUUAUCACAUUCGAGAAAUCUUCAAACAAAGUGAAAAAAAUGCCACAAACACGACAUAAACUUAACUGUUUACAUGAAAAGUGGCAGCAACUUGGUGAAAUUACCGAUUAAAAUGUCCCUACUGUGAGGAAGGAUGCUAUACAACUGACUCGGAAAAUGUAAAAUGGGUAACGUACGUCCAAAAUGUCCCUGUAUUGUUGGCAUGUUCCCAGCUUCUGUUCAUGGAUUCUGUUUGCAGACAUGGCAGACUCUUUGUUUCAUCGGACAAGUUUCAAAUAAUUCUGGCAACUUUUUGUUGUAAAAUUACUUUUUUAUCAUUUAAUUCAUAUGCCUCUUUCUCAUUACCUGCAAGUGCAAAAUUUUUAGGCUCGUCCUCUUAGACCUCUUUUUCUUCUCUAAAUAGAUAAAAUGGCAUUUCAUUUUUCUCUUGCGAGGGUGCAGGUUUAUGCUGAAACUUUCUGUUAGUUAAAUUGAUUGUCUUUGAUAUUGGAACUUGUAGUUGAACUAGUUUACAUUUAGAAUAUAUGAGAUUACCAACUGUAACGGGAAUUGGUGCCGAAUUGAUUAUGUUAUCAGGUUUUUCAGUCUUUGUUCAUCUUUUAUUUCUGUUAAUAAUUAAUAGCACAGCUUGUCUUCUCUGCUUCUUUGGUUCCUGUCAAUUGUCAAAUAUAAACUGGUAAAGACAUUUUGUUUUGGCAUGGCACAUGCUAGAUUUUGUUUUUGGUUUGAAUGAUACUACAAAUCUGAGUAAUUGUCCAGAUUUUUUUCAUUCCUAGUGACAUGGCACUCAAUUGAAUGGUGACCCGUGAAUCAUGAUUGUGUGUGUUGGUAUUUGUUAAACUACGUGCUGGCAAGACAAAGUUUGUUAUUAGUCCUCGCCUUCCAUUCUUGUUUCAUAUUCUUCUGCUAACAAAUCUUGAUCAUGGUAGUCUUCUCUUUUCUUUGCAACCCACAUAUAAAGUCUCGGCCAUAAGCCUCGAGGCCUAUUCUCUUUUGCAAUGGUGAGUUCACUCUCAGGAAUCAGAUCGAAUUUGAAGAAACUGCAAGGGACUACAAAGCAAAUGGUGUGAAGCUCCUUUCACUCAUCACUGGCACAGCAUUACUCUGACUUUCUACAUUUUACUGUUGCGUAUGGUUUCUCCAUACCAUUCUCGUUGGAAGUUCAAUCAUUACUGUUUUUUUCCCCCCUCUUUUUACUUGCUCUUGCUAUUUUUGUUGUCUGAAAUUAUCUGAAGUUCCAUGCAUGCUCCAAUAGAACAAGAAAUGUAGGUGCUGACCAACUCAAAAUAAGUAGUUAGUUGCCUAGUAGUUGCUUUGCAUGAAAUUUGUUUUUGGUAUGAAUAAUGUUGUCUGAAUUUUACAAGCUUCCAUGCAACCCCUAAUUUAUUGGAUGUCUUAACCCAACCCCUCAUUUAAUAUUAGAUUUACCCGUUGAUUGAUGUUGACUCUUGAAAGUAAUGUAAUAUUUAUUUAUUUGAUAUUAAUGAUUAUAUCAUUUAAAUAGUCUAUUCUAAGAUAUUAUUAAUUUUCUCAUUUAAAUAAAAUAUUAUUAUAUUUAUUUGAUAUUAAUGAUUAAUUAUAAUAAAUAGUCUAUUCUAAGAAAAUAUUAAUUUUCUAUUAUGUUAUUAAUAAUAAUGUUUCAUUUCUAUUACUUUCAUCAAUAAUUUUUAAUUAAGAUAACUAAAAUUAAAACUAACAAAAAAUUAUGAUUUACAUAAUUAAUAAUAUUAAUAAUUAUUGUUAAUUUACAAAUAUAAUGAAAUAAAUAUUUCUUUUUCAAAUAUAUUUUUUAUUAAAUUUUUAAUUAAAAACUAUAUUUUUUAAAUAAGGAUAAAAUUAUAAUUUGAAACUAUUUACUCCCGCUCCGAGACAAAGUAAACACGUAAAUUGAAUUUUAAUUCCAAUUCCAUACUCCUAUUCCAGUGUAAGUAAAUAAUCUACUCUCACUCCACACUCUCAAUAUCAGGAUUCUUACUUCUUAGGAUUACCUCUCUAUUCCAAAAUAUAAACGCUAACAAAAUAUAAACCAUAUAGAGACACAUAUAUAUAGAAUCAUAUCAUAUCUCAAACGUCAAAUAAAAUUCUUAAUUAAGUAAACCAUAAGGUGAUUGCGUAUAAAAAAAUUAAUAAUAUUAAUUUUCAUAAGAAUUUAUGCUUGCAGUAUUACUUUACUUUUUAUUAACCAUUGCUUCAACUUAUGGUGGAUAUUAAGAGAACAAUAAUAAUAGAGCUAUACACGUUUGCAUACUACCAAUUAAAUUAACACUAUAAUUUGGUUUACCAAACAGAUCCUUAAUAUCAUAAAUGAUUAAAUUAUUGGGGUUUUAAAAUGUAGACUUUGCAUGAUUUCUUUAUAUUUAGGUGCCAUGGCUCCUAUAAGUAAUGUCAGCCACACUUUUUGUUAUUGGUAAAAAACUUUUCUAGGUACAAUUUGUGAAUUUGUACAACGUGUGGUAUUAAACAUUUGAAGAAUGAACCGACAAUGUCGUAUCAAUAAUAAAGAAAAGAAAACGAAUUGUAUAAUACCCAGGUGUUCUAGUGUAACUUGGAUUCUUUUUCUUUAUAGGUGCACCUAUUAUGUGAUUUUUUUUUUUUUAAAAAAGAAAACAAAAAAAAAGAACUCUUGAGAUUUUAAAAUUUUGUAAUUGCACUAUCUUGAAAUUACCAGGAGACUUCCUCUCCUUGAAGACACCCUUAAUCCAUAAAAGGUCCAAAAAAUAAUUCAUGAAAUGAAUUGAUUAUUUUAGAUAAGUUUCAAGUAUGCAUACCUUUUAUAACUCCAUAUUGCAUAACUCCUCAUUUCACUCAAUGGAUGCAUUUGUUCACUUUUUCUUUCUUGUAAAUUUUUGAAUGGCCGUAAUUUUAUAGAUUAUUAAUUAAGUGUUAUUAUUAUCAUUAUUGGCCGUAGAUGCAUAUGUGGGGUGGCGCCGUUUGGGGGGCAUGGAUCUCAAUACACCAGAGGGCCAGAAUAUUUAUUCUUUAAGAGGAACCACAACCAACAGCAAUACUUUAAGUUCCAUUCCAUUUCACUUCUAUGCACUAGAUUGCAUAAACAACAUUGAUCAUCCAAGGUCAAAGCCUCUCAAAGACGUUAGUUGCAAGAAAACGCAUGGGAUUGUGGUCAAAAUUUUCUUGCGGUGAAAGGUUCAUACAUUGAUGACAAUUAUUGGAUUGUUUUGGGCCUCAAUGGUUUUAAUAUUAUUCUCUUAAAAACAUAUAUGUUGAUUACAGACGAGAGGAAGAAGAUGAUCUGAUUCAGCCAACUGCAGAAGAUAGAGCACGCGGUGGAGUUCAUAUUUUGAAUUCUCUUGUUAAGUUGUUUUUAAUUUAUUGCAAGGUAGAAUACGUUGCUUUCUUAAAAAAUACUUUGAACAUCAUAUUUUUGUAUUACAAAUAUACCAAAAUUAAACUAAUUUUUUUUCUUUAUUAGUAUAAACUAAAUUUUGCCAGAAUGGUUGUCCUUGUAGGUGGAAUUCUAUUAUGAAACUAAUAGUCCUUCCUAGUGCUAACUAUCACUUUGAACAAAUGUGUCAUCUCUAACAACAACUUCCAAACUUGCAGCUACCUGCUACUCAGCAUUAGAAGCGAUAUCCACCUUGGCUUUCAACCAGCUGUAAUUAGGAGGAUGGUACCAUUGUUUCUGUUUGUCAAUUUCCUUCCUUGAAGCAUAAACCUUAAUUAGGAGGAGGGCAAGCUUCCAAAUAACAUUCCAAAUAGUAUUGUGAAAAUUUUUCACCCUUUUGGUCAUAAAAAAGAACCUUAUUUCUAGUUCUCUAUUAACAAUUUUAUCACUUUAAGUUCUCUCUUUACUAGAAAUAUCAUAUAUAUUAUUUUGUUGUUAAUAUAAAUACGACUAAAUAUUUAUGAUUUAAAGAUAGUUGUUGAAUGGAGGCCGUCACACACACACACACACACACACACAAAAGUAUUUAAAAGCAAUGGUGAUAUCAUAAUUUUUUGUACUGAUAUGAGAAUAUUACACUAGAUUUUUUUUAUGCAUUACAAAAAGUUUGAAUUCAAGAAUAAAUAAGCAAUAUCGGGAGCAAAUUUUACAAAAAGUCUCCAGGACAUGUCAUACGAAAAAUAGUAUACUAGUCAGUAGAUCUUCUUUCUACAUUACAAAAAAUUAGAAAUGCGAUCUAAAUCGAUAUCAAUUACUAAUUUUAUAGUGAAUGGGUCCUUCAUGAAAACAAUGAAUAUUUUUAUAAUUUAAGAAAUUAUUAGCCAUUUACCAUGAGUUUACUUUGUGUCCAAAAAUACUACGGAAACUUUAACUUGUUUAGUUUUUUUACCUUAAUUUAUAAUUUAUAUUAGUCGCUCAUUAAAAAAAUAGAAUUGCCUCAUAAAAUGAUAAAAUAAAAACAAACACAAAUGACAAUACUAGUUGCUUUAUAAGGAUAAUCCAGUCCUUUCGGCACCAAAUUACUGGUUAAAUUAUUUUUAGACUGAGUGACGAAGGGUCAUUUUAAUAUUCAUGGCCAUUUAAUCUAUCUAAACAUGAUAUUUCGAGUAGACUUAUGUUUGCGUAGGAGGCUAAUGUAAAAAAAGUGGCACUUUUAUUCAACUGAAUAAAUUUCACAAUUUAAAUUAGAAAACGAUAAAAUUUCAUAAUUAACUAUUAUUUGAACUAAUUGAAUCGGGAGCCAUCAUUUGUAGCGGCCCCAAAAGCAUAACAUUAUUGUGAGUAAUGUAUCCUACUUGCAAAAUAAACGGCAGAAGGCGGUUUGGGGACGGAUUAUCGAGGUAUUUGUUAAUAUUCGGAAAUGGAAAGAAAAGGGCAAAUAAAAUUUUAACUUAUUAUUAUUAUUAAAGAUUAGACAAAUAAAGGAGCUGUUUGAGUUUAAAUCUCAAAUCAAACCGUACCCAUCGCAAGUAAUGCAUGUGCACAUAAAAUUAUAUUUUGGUAAUUCUUUUCUUCUUUUUUAACCCCAAAUAAUCAAAAGCUCUCCAAUGGCAUUCGUAUCCACAACUCGUUCCUUUCAUUUUACUUCAAUUUCAAUAUCAGCUCUUAGAUGUAAUUUCUCAUCUUCGUUCCCUCAUAUCGGAAAACCCACAUCUUCAAUUUCGGAAAAUAAGCCCUCGUAUCCGACCACAACAGCUAAACUGAAGGAGUCGCUACGACUGACAGUCAAAGACCGAGCCUCACUCGAAAGAUUCCUCAAAGAAAGGUGCAAAUCAUCAGGUCAAGGUGAUAUUAAUCUUAUUACUCCUAAUGAAGCCUUUUGUAUCUUUGAUUACAUGCUCCGUAUGCACCCUUCUCCGCCUCAUGUCUAUUCCUUCAAUAUUUUGUUUGGUUGUCUUACUAAGAAUAAACAUUAUGAUACUGUCCUUUCACUCUUCAAGCGAUUCAAUUCAACUGGGUUGUUUCCAAAUCUUUAUAUUUACAAUAUCUUGAUUAACUGCUUUUGCAAAAUGGGUCGAGUUUCUCAUGGUUUUGUUGUUCUUGGGAGGAUCCUCAGGUCUUGUUUUACUCCAGAUGCUGUGACCUUUAAUUCUUUGAUUAAAGGUUUGUGUGCGGAGAGUAGAAUCAUGGAGGCUGCCGCAUUGUUUACGAAACUUAGAGUGUUUGGUUGUGAGCCUAAUGUUUUUACAUACAAUACUUUGAUUAAUGGAUUGUGUCGAACUGGCCAUACAAUUGUUGCUCUAAAUUUAUUUGAAGAGAUGGCUAAUGGAAAUGGGGAAUUUGGUGUUGUUUGUGAGCCAAAUACUGUUACAUACACUACUAUUAUUGUAAGGAAGGUUUUGUGGACAAGGCCAAGGAACUGUUUCUGCAGAUGAAGGAUAACAAUAUUAACCCUAACGUGGUUACCUAUACCUCUGUGAUUCGUGGUUUUUGUUAUGCUAAUGAUUGGAAUGAGACCAAGUGUUUGCUAAUUGAGAUGAUGGACCAAGGGGUACAGCCUAAUGUUGUGACUUUCAAUGUCAUCAUGGAUGAGCUCUGCAAGAAUGGAAAGAUGGAUGAGGCAAGUUGGUUGUUGGACCUGAUGAUUCAGUUUGGUGUGCGUCCAAAUGCUUUUGUCUAUAACACAUUAAUGGACGGGUUUUGCUUGACAGGUAGAGUUAAUCGUGCGAAGGAACUAUUUGUUUCUAUGGAGAGUUUGGGUUGCAAACAUACUGUUUUUAGUUACAGUAUUUUGAUAAAUGGUUACUGCAAGAAUAAGGAAAUAGAGGGAGUGUUAACCCUUUAUAGCGAAAUGCUCUCUAAAGGAAUUAAGCCAGAUGUUGUUAUAUAUAACACCUUGUUUAUUGGCCUUUUUGAAAUACACCAGGUUGAGCGUGCUUUCAAGCUGUUUGAUGAGAUGCAAUGUGAUGGCGUGGCAGCUGAUACCUGGGCAUAUACAACCUUUAUUGAUGGGCUCUGCAAGAAUGGUUAUAUUGUAGAGGCAGUUGAACUAUUUCGUACUUUGAGAAUUCUCAAGUGUGAACUUGAUAUUCGAGCCUACAACUGCCUCAUUGAUGGAUUAUGUAAAUCCGGCAGACUCGAAAUUGCAUGGGAACUAUUUUGUGGUUUGCCUCGUGUAGGCCUAAUGGCAGAUGUUGUAACAUAUAACAUCAUGAUCCAUGGGCUUUGUAAUGAUGGGCAAAUGGACAAGGCACAUGGUUUAUUUCUUGAUAUGGAAGCAAA